UCAAAUUUUCUAUUAAAUUGCUGACGUGGCACUUGUGCGGAGCCCACACAUUCAAUAAUAUAAAGCCACGUGGCUUUAAAUAAAAUAAAUAAAUAUUUUAAAUAUUUUAAAACUUUUAAUUCAAAAAAAUAAAAAUAAAAACUGCACCAUGACCAUCCCCUCUGUGUCCUCCCUUUGCUAGCGCUGCGCCUCCCCCCUUGCAAACACACUCUUUGCCUCUCUCUCCCUCCUCUUCCUUCACUACAGUCUAAUCCAACCAAACAUUGCCUGGUUCUGCUUGUGAUUGGACAUGGGCAGUAAAAGAUUGCUGUUGGCUACGAAAAUUUAAGGGAAAACAGAUUUUACAGAGUAGGAGAUGUAGAGGAAAGAGAUCAAAAGCAAGAAACAUAAUGUGAUCGUUGUGGAGGUCCAAGAGUAGAGGCCUUCUACAAGGUCAGCCAAAGAUCACAUAUAGUCUUUGGCAUUGCAGCCUUAGCCAAAGCAAAAGUCAAAGCCUUUGGCUUUGUAGAAUUUUUUUUUUUUUAAAAAAAAACAAAGAGAGAGAGAAAGAGACACAGGGACAGGGAGAGGGAGAGGGAGAAGGGAGGAAGAUGAGGGAGAGAGAAGCAAAAGAUGGGUAUGCGAGGGGAAAGGGCGCUGGCAGAGUAAGAAUGCAGAGGGUGCAGGUAUUUUUGUUUUUGUUUUUAUGGAUUUAAGUUUUAAAAUAUUUAAAAUAUAUUUUAUUUUAUUUAAAGCCAUGUGGCUUUAUAUCAUUGGAAGUGUGGGUUCCACACAUGUGCCACGUUAACAAUUCAACAGAAAUUUGACGGAAGCUAACGGCAGGGACCAUUUUGAUGUGUAGAGGGUAACCUUAAGGACUAUUAGUGUCACCAAAAAACGUUAGGGACGAAAGGUGAUAAUUUCGCAAACGUCAAGGACCAUUUGUGAUAAAAAGCCUUUAGUCUUUUCAGCUAUCCUGAUUGUGUCGAGAAAUUGGCAUCUCAUCCGUUCUUGUUAAGCUCUGAAGAAAGGAUGGGUAUGUUUGCUCGUUAUCUUCGUAAGUGGGAAAAGGUUGCUACAUGUACAGCAGUGAAAAAAGCUUUGCAAUUAUCCGAUUUCGAUAGGUUCAAAUCCUGGAACUCUACUGAAGUCCUUGGUUCCAUGGAUAAUUUUAUAAAAAAAUCUUAUGACAGUCAUUAUGGGAACUACACUGGGGAAGUGGUAGACCUUCUUAGUUUCUUGAGGAAUUUGAAUAAUCAUUAUCAUCAGUUAAAGGCUUUCUCUGUUAAUGUCGUGGAUGUGGACCGUGGUGUUCAGAAGCUGUUUCCUGGGUUUUUGGAGCUCCUGUACCAACAUUUGGAGAAAUUAUAGAUUCUAUACAAAUAUAUAAAAAGAGGAUGCAUGUAAGACAAGCUUAUAAGGGUGUUUUUUAUUUUUUAUUUUUAUCGUUUUAAUUAGCAGAUAUUUGCCAAAUAGCAUGACUUGUAUUACGCAUAUCAAGCAAACCUGCACAGCAUAGCAUCAAUCAAAACCCAUUUUUUGUUGCCUUUAACCCAACCUCAUGUGACAUGUUGGCAAUAUUGCGCUGCUUUAUUAGCCAUAGUAGCUUCCGCAUAAAAUAGUGAAACAACCCAAUUACUAGAAUGAGCAAGAAGAUGAACGCAUUGUUGCGUGUGUAAUUAGUCAUACGUAGUAAUAAUUUUGGAAGUUCAAGUAUCAAAUCUUCAAGGAGUAAGUAGGCAAAUGUCUGAAUACAAAGAAAUAAUUAAGGAGGCAUUUGGUAUCGUAUUCAAAUUGGGAACUCAAAAAUUUUGAUUUUUCUUAAAAACAAGGAGUUCUUAAAUCUAUUUUUAAGAUUCAAAAACUUGUUUGGUAUGAAAACUGUUUUCAAAUCUUAAAAAUUUGAGAACUUGUGGGUUGUUAGAAAAAAAAACUGAAAAAACAUAUAUUUUUUGUUUUUAAUAAUUGGGGUUUUUUUUUUUAAUUGUUCUUGAGUUUGAGUUUUUAAAAAUAGGGCUACCAAACAGGCUUUCUUUGUUUUUGACUCAAAUUCUGUUUUUAAGUUUAAAAAGUUGGAUUCAAGUUGAAUACUAAACAGGCCCUAAACAUACCAAAAUAAAAGUGACAAACAAAAUGGAAAAGUAAUUUUAUUUGAGUCUUGUAGAGAUUCAGUUUAAAAAAACAAAAUACCAAUAAUGGAAAUGCUAAGACAUCAAGGUUCAAUCCUUUAAGCAAAAUAUGUUUCAUGCUCUUUAAUCAAAAUUAGUUGACAGGACCCGCCCCGAAUUCCUCGAAACCUGAGACAAAUCCUGUGAAAAUUCCGACAUCAUACCGAUGCCGGACCCACUUACUAACGACCGAGACUUUCAACUAAAAUUUUGGCAGAGUCUCACCUGUAAAUUGAACAAUUCCAAAAAUUUCAACAUGCAUAAAACACAUUUAAUAUCACCAACCGGCAGCAUGCACAAGGUAAUUUCAUGCAAUUCACAUAAUCGGCCCUCGGCCUUCAAAUAAUUCGAAACAAAACUUCCAACAUGCAAGGUUUGAACCUCCUAACACAAUCACAAAUCGUUUAGGGCCUUAGCCUAAAUCGUACAACAAUCCAAAAUGAGUUUUAUACCUAUUUUAACCAGAACACACUUACGCAAUCCUCCUUCAGCCAAACAGAGUAUGAAUAAUUAUUUACUUACAUCUCGUUUUCAACCGAAUUUUAGGACCAACCUCAAUAAAGCAACAUAAAUAAAAUUUAGUUCGCGGCUGCACCUAGGUAAGACGUCAGGCUACCUACGUACCCUUACUGAGGGAUCAAGCCACACGUAGUUCUUUCUUCCAUAGUCAUGCACCAAAUGAUAUACAACCGUUUCAGUAGUACAAUUAAGUUAUUUCAAGAGUUAUCUUUCCCCGUUUUAAUUUAAAUCACAACAACCAAACAUAAUUCUUUUUAUACUCCAACCUUUCUCCGAUAUAGUAAAAUAAUCCCUUAUUUCUUUUCCCUGGUAGUGUCUCACACUCCAGAAAAUCCAACGCCACGUGUGAGACCUAAUAAUCACAUAUUCUUCACAUACAUCGGAAAAUCCAAAGCCACGUGUGAGACCUAAUAAUCACAUAUUAUUCCCAUAAGCCGAAAAAUCCAACGCCACGUAUGAGGUGUCUCACAUGCCGGAAAAUCUAACGCCACGUGUGAGACUUAAUAAUCAUAGCCAAGCCCGCGACUUAUUUUCACCACUCAUCAGAUCAAUUUACCCAUACUUAUCUAAUCCAUAAUUUCAAUUAUUAAAAUAAUAUCUAAGAGUUUUCAUACGCUAACAUAAAACACUCAAAAUCCCCCCAUAGCCAACAUAACUCAACUAACGGUCGAGACUCGUUAAUAAGGUUGUUCUAGUACUCCUCGAAUAGGAAAACUAUAUCGGAAGACUCACGAUCACUCGAGAGGUCAAACUACCCCAACUUGGUCAACCGGGCCCACGGGGCCCCGACCUCCGUUUUACGAUUUGAAAGUUCAUAUGGGUUCCACAAGGGUUGGGAUACAUGUCCUGCAAGUUUGGUUCUGAUCGGAUUGUCGGAUAGCUCACGAUGGGACGGUUACUUUACACCUAGCCAUAGGGUUGGCAUUUUCGGAGUAUCCGGGACUCCGUUUUACGAUCCGUUUAAUCCUACACGAUCCUAAGGAUGUCUAUAUUAUCAUAUAUUAAUUUCAAGACGAUCCAAUGGUUCAAACUUAUCGAACCCAUAUAACACACAAUAGGCGAAAUCCGUUCAAAGUUCAAACAGUAUCCAAAUUGAAAUUCGAGCACCCCUACGCGCUCGUGAGAACCUGUGGAUCACAUCAGGGCACAAUGCCCCUUUUCUAUAAUGCCCACGCGCCACCACAAGCGCUGGUAGCGCGUGGGUGUCUAAAGCAAUAACCCUUUGCCACAACUUAAGGCUCCUACCCUAGGUUUAACACUCUAUUUGGAGUCACUUUUUUUCUUGAACAUACCCCAAAAAAUGGCCGGAAGUGGCCGGAAUGGCAAUCCCCAAAACCAGCCAAAAUCCAAUUCAAAAAUCGAGCUACCAACACUCAAAAUUAAUGAAAUCCUACCCAACCAUCAACUAGAUUAUGAAGAAUAUAUGAAUUUCCAUACCUUGAUCGCCAAAAAUGGUGACCGAAGGAGAUAGAUCAGAGCCGGAGAAGUUUCGAGCGAAAACCGGCCUAAAAAUCACAUUUUUCGGCAGCUGAAGCGGCGGCCGGUGUCGGGAAAGGGCCGGAUCUUGACGACGGGGCUGAGCCGGUCCUUUUGGCACCGGUCCCGUCUGUUGCCAUAGCCGGAGUUUCGAAGAGAGAGGGAGAGGGCUGUCGUCGGGGGGAGAGAGAGAGAGAGAGAUUCAGAUUUUAUCAAACCCUUUUCGCAAAAAUUACGAUUAUGCCACUGAGGGUAUUUUGAUCAUAUCUUUUUCAUUACAACUCCGAUUCGGGCCCACUACAUGUCUAUAGACUCAUCUCGCCGUGCUCUACGAAACGGUGUAGUUGAAAUUCCCAAAUUCUUUCCUGGUCAAAAAGUCAACUUUAAACCUAAUAAAAUAUUCUAUAGGCAAAAUGGUCUUUUACCUAAAUAAAUUAAUAAUUACUUACAUUAUAACUCGAUUAAAAUUAUCAUAGAAAAACUUUAAUAGGAAGAUGAAGAAAUUAAAACUAAUUUAGUUUUUCAAUGUUAUCUUUUAUCAAUGAAGAAAUUAAAACUAAUUUAGUUUUUCAAUGUUAUCUUUUAUCAAUGAUUUAGAUUGAUAGAUUUCUCAAGUAAUAGAUUUGAAGGAGAGAUUCCAGCAGGUGUCAUCGGGAAUCUAAGAGGCCUUCUUUUCCUUAACUUUUCCAACAACGCUCUCACUGGUCUCAUCCCGUCAUCUUUAUGGAACUUGACGGCUCUUGAAUCGUUGGAUCUCUCCCAAAACCAGCUCUCAAGAGGGAUCCCCAAUAAUUUGGCACAACUCACUUUCCUUGAAUAUUUCAAUGUAUCCUAUAACCAUCUUUGGGGUCUUAUACCACUUGGCCAACAAUUUGGUACAUUAGUAGAAGUUUCAUACCAAGGAAACUCAGGUCUGUGUGGAAAGCCUUUGUCAAAGAAAUGUGAUAGCUCAAUAUCGCUACCGCCAUCAAUCUUUGAAGAAGAUGAAGAUUCCGGGUUUCAAAUUGCACUAGAUUGGUAUGUGGUUCUGCCAGGAGUUUUUAGUGUGGCUGGGAACUUUUGGACAAGCAAGAAUCAUGAAUGGUUUUUAGAGAAAUUUAGCAGAAAGAGGCAGCCAAGAGUCACACGGGGAAGGAAAGGACACAGAAACUAGGUACUUAUUUUAAAUCUAUGUUUAUCUUGCAGCUGCAGCUGCUGUUGUUUUGAAUAAUUGUAUGGGGUCUGGUGCAUUCUGUUUUAUUACAAUAAGGGUGGUGGUGUGUAUUUUGCCUGUAUUAAUUUGUGGUGCUGUAAGUUGCUUGUAUUAAUUUUUACAACAAGUAAGCAAAGAGAAAGACAGCUCAUUUUCCAUUUCCAAAAGUAUCUGUUUUUUUUUCCUUCAUCCUCUCCUUUAAUUCGUGCUUUUGAACGUUAUUUAUAUAUAAUAAUAAUAAAGCAACUUUUUUGAAAUUUUGAGUAGAUUCGUGACUAAAUUAAAGGGAUUGUGAGUGUUUUAAUACUUUAUUUACUUGGUAGUUAGAACCAGCUUUAAGACUUUGAAUGGUUAGCUUUGGAAGACUUUGAAGACGAUAAACUUCUCCACCUUCAUGGCUUCUUCUCUUUGAUUCCCUUACUUUUUAUUUCGAUUCUUCUGUUUUUUUUUUUUCUUCCCUUUUUUAUACUUUCUCUAGUUACAACUACGUUUGUCAUGAGUUGUGCGUCUAUAAAAGGAGUUUAUAAUUUCUCCACCCUUAAUUGUGUGAGAGCCAUAAUUAAGCAUACAUAAUUAGAAAACAAAAUUGCAAUGGGAAUGGAAUCGUGGCGGUCGAAGUUCAUUUCUCUACAUUGUUUUAUUUUUCUGUCACUCAUUGCUACUCACUGUUUUUUAUUUGUGCAGACUCAGGCACUUGCCCAGGUUGAUGAGUGCUCAGCGUUGCUGCAGUUCAAGGAAAGCUUUGCAAUUAACAAGUCUGUUUCUGCAGAUCCUCUUGCUUAUCCGAAGGUUUCAUUUUGGACGCGAGAAGGAGAUGGGAAUCGGAGUAAUUGUUGUUCAUGGGAUGGUGUUGAGUGUGAUGAAGACUUUGGCCAUGUUGUCGGCCUUGAUCUCCGAAGCAGCUGUCUCUACGGUUCUAUCAAUUCCAGCAACACUCUCUUCCGCCUUGUUCACUUGCAGAGGCUUGACCUCUCAGAUAAUCACUUCAAUUUCUCUCAAAUACCAUCAAGAUUUGGUCAUGAUCUUUCGAGCCUAACAUAUCUCAACCUUUCAUAUUCCUUAUUCUCUGGCCAAAUUCCAUCAGAAAUUUCAAAGUUAUCGAAGCUGUCUACCCUUGAUCUGUCUUUCAAUGGUCCGAAAUUUGAUGCUUAUGGUAUCCCUUUGAAACUGACCAAGGCCAACAUGAGAAGCCUGGUUCAGAACUUGACCACCAUAAAACAACUUCAUCUUAAUUGGGUAGAGAUGUACUUCACUGUGCCUGAUAUCUUGGUCAACGCAUCUUCUCUCACAUCUCUCCAACUUCGCGAUUGUGAGUUGAAUGGGGAAUUCCCAGUAGGCAUCUUCCACCUACCAAACUUAGAGGUUCUUGAUGUGAAUGGUAACUCAAACCUUACCGGUUAUUUCCCUAACUUUAACAAGAGCAAUGUUUUCAAGAAAUUGAAUGUUGGGGCCACAAAUUUUUCUGGUAUGCUGCCUGCUUCUAUGGGAAACCUUCAUUCCUUAAAUUUUUUGGACAUCUCUUGGUGUCAUUUUUACCCCCUUAUUCCAUCUUCACUCGGAAACCUUACCCAGCUCAACUACCUUGACAUGAUUUCAUUUAAUGACAUUCCAAAUAAUAAUUCCACAGGCCAAUUAGUUUCUGAAUAUUCCUUGUCUUGGAUAGCAAGUUUAACCAACCUCUACAGUUUGUCCCUUUGGGCCAACAAAUUCAGGGGGAAAUUCCCAAGUUUUGUGGCCAACCUCACGCAACUUUCAUUUCUACAAUUGGGUGGUAACGAAAUAACUGGUCAAAUCCCAUCUUGGCUUAUGAAUUUGACCCAGUUAACUACUCUAUACCUCGUGGGUAACAAUUUGAGCGGAGCAAUUCCUAGGUCACUCUUCCAGCUCCAAAAUCUUGAAAUUCUUGACCUUUCCUCUAAUAGCUUGAGUGGACAAGUUGAGUUUGAUCAGUUUUCCCAGCCCAAAAAGUUAAAGGAACUUCGAUUAGCAUACAACAAGUUAUCUCUGCAGAUCAUAACCAAUUUGAGUGCUACUGUUCCACAGCUUGAACUUCUAGAUUUGACGUCAUGCAACUUAACAGAGUUUCCAGAAUUUUUAAAAUAUCAAUCCGAAUUGCGCUUCUUACAACUUAGCGACAACAACAUUCAAGGGCAAAUACCAAAAUGGGUGUGGAAUGCAACUAGAGAAACUUUGUUGCUUCUCGACCUCUCUUCCAACUUCUUAACGGGAUUUGACCAAAAUCCAAUCAAUCUUCCAUGGCAGAAUCUAUAUGCUUUAGAUCUCCGGACCAAUAUGUUACAAGGAUCACUGCCAAUUCCACCACAAUCAAUCAUAAACUACGUGGUCGGCAGCAAUCAUUACAGUGGAGAAAUUUCGCCCUCGUUCUGCAACUUGAAUCAUUUGCACAUUCUUGAUUUGUCCAACAACAGCCUGAGUGGCAUGCUUCCACAAUGUUUGGGGAACUCCAGUGCUCUUGAAAUAUUGAUGCUGAUGAACAAUUCAUUUCAUGGCAGUAUUCCUCAAAUAUGUCCAGUCGCAAAUAGUUUGAAAAUGGUUGAUUUGAGUUACAAUCAGUUGCAGGGAAAAGUACCAAGAUCAAUGGCCAAUUGCACUCGAUUAGAGUUUCUUAACCUUGGAAACAAUCAUAUGCGUGACAUCUUCCCAUCUUGGUUAGGGGCACUUCCAGCACUACAGUUUCUCAGUUUGAGGUCUAAUGGAUUUCAUGGCAUGAUUGGGAAGUACGCGACUAACCAUGACUUCCCAAAGUUGUGCAUCAUUGAUUUAUCUGACAAUGGUUUUUCAGGUGUGUUGCCCUCUAACUGCUUAGAGAACUGGAAUUCCAUGAAAUUUGUUGACGAGAGCCAGCAAACUUAUUUUCAAGUCAUUUCGACAUCAUACAACAACUCAGCUAAAUAUUCGUAUAGCUUUUCUUAUCCAUACUCAAUCACGACUUUCGCAAAAGGUGUUGAGUUGAAAUUUAUAUGGACUCCUUAUCUUCUUAGAUUUAUAGAUUUCUCAAGUAAUAGAUUUGAAGGAGAGAUUCCAGCAGGUGUCAUUGGGAAUCUAAGAGGCCUUCUUUUCCUUAACCUUUCCAACAACGCUCUCACUGGUCUCAUCCCUGCUAAAAUAUGAAAAACUAUGAGAGAAUAUUUGUUUGUGGGAAUUUUCUGUGUAUUCUUCUCCUUGUAGGAGGUCAUAUUUAUAAUACAACGAAACCUGAAUGGGCAAGUAAAUAAUAAAUUCCUAAAUCUAUUUACAGUAGGAAAUCAGGAAUUAAAGUAAAUCAAUUACAAUUAUAAUAGGAAUUCUUGGUGUGUAAGGAAAGUAAGUCAAUAUCCACAAGUCACGCCAAUACUCCCCCUCACGUUGGUGCAUAGAUGUCGCCAAUGCCCAACUGAUCCAGUGAAUUGUGGAAUGCUUUACUGGAAAUCGCCUUUGUCAAAAUAUCCGCCAAUUGAUCCUCGGAUUUCACAAAAGGAAACUGAAACACUUUAGCUUCAAGCUUCUGUUUGAUGAAGUGUCGAUCUACCUCAACAUGUUUAGUACGAUCAUGCUGAACCGGAUUCUGUGCAAUGGCUAUAGCAGCCUUGUUGUCACAAAAGAGAUUCAUUGUGGAUGUAGGUUUAUACCCGAGUUCAAUAAGCAACUUUCUUAACCAAAGAAGUUCACAAAUCCCUUUAGUCAUGCCUCUGAACUCGGCUUCUGCACUGGAUAAAGCUACUACAUUCUGUUUCUUGCUCCUCCAUGUCACCAAAUUACCUCCCACGAAUGUGAAGUAACCCGAUGUGGAUUUUCUAUCUGUUACAUUACCUGCCCAAUCUGCAUCUGAAUAACCAUCAAUAUUUAGAUGACCAUGCUUUGAGAACAUAAGUCCUUUUCCAGGUGCAGACUUCAAAUAUCUAAGUAUCCGAAGAACUGCAUUCAUGUGGUCUUCACUUGGAGAGUGCAUAAAUUGACUGACAACGCUCACCGCAUAAGCAAUGUCUGGUCGAGUAUGUGACAAAUAGAUCAAUCUUCCCACUAACCUUUGGUAUCUUUCUUUGUUAGUUGGAACUUGAUCCGGAUAUUCUCCAAGAUGAUGAUUCUGAACAAUAGGAGUGUCCGCAGGUUUACAAUCUAGCAUUCCUGUGUCUGUCAACAAGUCUAAGACAUAUUUCCUUUGAGAGAGAAAUAUGCCUUGCUGCGAUCGAGCCACCUCAAUUCCCAAGAAAUACUUGAGUCCACCUAGAUCCUUCAUCUCAAACUCCGUAGCCAGAUAGUCUUGUAGCUGUGAUAUUUCCUGUUUAUCAUUCCCAGUAAUAAUCAUAUCAUCAACAUAGAUUAUUAAUGCUGUUACCUUCCCUUUUUGAUGUUUCAAGAACAGAGUAUAAUCUGAGUUGCACUGUUUGAAACCAUUGUUCUUCAUUGCCAUGGUGAACCGUCCAAACCAUGCACGUGGUGACUGUUUCAAUCCAUACAAUGCUUUUCGUAACCUGCAAACUGUUCCAGUCUGAGUAGUAUUAUAUCCAGGAGGAAUGUCCAUGUACACCUCCUCUGUGAGUUCACCAUGUAGAAAAGCAUUCUUUACAUCAAACUGGUGUAGUGGCCAAUCCAAAUUAGCUGCAAGGGACAAUAAGACUCUGACGGUGUUUAACUUUGCAACUGGUGCAAAAGUUUCUUCAUAGUCUAUACCAUAAGUCUGUGUGUACCCUUUUGCCACAAGUCUUGCCUUGUAUCGCUCGAUAGAUCCAUCUGCAUUGUGUUUUAUAGUAAACACCCAUCUACAUCCGAUAGUCUUUUUUCCUCGUGGUAUAGUCUCUAAUGUCCAAGUCUGAUUUUUCUCAAGAGCUUUCAUCUCCUCUUUUAUAGCUUGGACCCACUUAGGAUCUUUCAAUGCUUCAGAGACCUUGGUUGGAAUAUGGAUAGCAGACAACUGAUGCACAAAAGCCUUGAGUGGUUCAGACAGCUUCUCAGUGGAUACAUGAUUUGCAAUUGGAUACUUGGAUGUCUUGCCAAUAUCCGGUGAAUAACGGUUUGGUGGCUUCCCACGAUUUUGCCUGAAAGGUAAUUGAUAUCCAAUAGUUUUAUCAUCUAAAUGCACAAGUCUAGUAGGAGUAGUUACCUCAAGGAUAUUCUCAGGAGAUUGGUCUGUUGGUACUGUUGAGUUAGAAGGGGGGUCUUCAUCUUGUUGUUCUGUAUUGUCUGUAGAUGUGGGACUCGGAUCAGAAAUAUCUUCACAUGGAUCAGGUGGGUCAGGCAAUUGAUCGCUAUGAAUGGGCGAUUGGUCACUUUUCAACAGAGAGUAAUCUCGUGCUCCAGACUCGGGAUGAUCAAUCAUUUCUGUACAUGGGAGGAUUUCUUUGUUUGCCAAGUUGCUCCAAUUCUGUGCUUCACUUUGUAUCUCCCCCUGAAGCACAGAAUUGGAUGAUGGGUCAUGAAAGAACAGCUCAGAUUCCAGAAAAGUCACAUCCAAAGUGACAUAGGUUCGUUGGGUAGGAGGGUGAUAACAACGGUAACCUUUCUGAUGAGUGGCAUAACCCACAAAAACACAACGAAGCGCACAGGGAUCAAGUUUGCUACGUUGAUUUUUGUGAAGAUGAACGAAAGCCACGCAUCCAAAGAUUCGGGGUGUGAGUACCAAAACAGAGGGCAGAGGUCUGUGUUGCGCAAGCACCUGCAAAGGAGUUUUAAAGGUCAAUACACUAGAAGGCAUGCGGUUGAUCAGGUGAACUGCAGUGACAAUAGCAUCAUCCCAGUGAUGGCGAGGAACAUGAGCGCCAAUCAGAAGUGCUCGGGCGGUUUCAAGAAGAUGUCGAUUCUUUCGUUCAGCAACACCAUUUUGUUGCGGUGUCUGAGGACAAGUCGUCUCAUGGAUAAUUCCAUGUUGUUGGAAGUAAGUCUGAAAGUCAUGAUUGACAAAUUCUCCACCAUUGUCUGAGCGAAGAAUCUGGAUUUGAGCAUUAAAUUGAGUUUUCAUCUGUUUGUGGAAGGACUGAAAACGGGAAAACACCUCGUUUUUAUUCUUCAGCAAAUAAAGCCAUGUCAUCCGUGUACAAUCAUCGAUGAAUGUGACAAACCAUCGAACACCAGAAGGAGCAGUGAUAGGCGAAGGUCCCCAGACAUCAGAGUGAAUUAAUGUAAAUGGAGUAGUACACUUGUUCGUACUCAACGGGUAGGGCACACGGUGACUCUUGGCCAAAAUACAAGUAUCACAUGUGAAGUCGGAGUCUUUGAAACCUGAGAAUAAAUCUGGUAUAAGAUGCUUCAUAUAACUAAAAGACAGAUGUCCCAAUCGACGAUGCCACAACCAGAUUUGCUUUUGUUUGCUAUCAAAGGGAUGUGUCACACUGUUAGCCACGCCGGGACUGAAGUCAUCGACAUAAUAUAGCCCCCCUCUCUUAGUACCACGACCAAGAAUCUCCUUAGUGUGAAUAUCCUGAAGCAAACAAAAACUCGGGUAAAUGAGUACACAACAAUUCAAUUGUUCAGUAAGCUGACUAACUGACAACAAUUUAGUGGAUAAAGAUGGAACAAGUAAAGUAUUAGACAGUGUGAGAGAGGAUGAGAGUGCAACAGUGCCAGCCCCUGUCACAGGAUAAGUAACACCAUUGGCAUUUGCAAUACAGGUUCGUCGGGGUUGUGUAGUAUUCAGAAAAUCAUCAGGAUCAAACGUCAUAUGAUCAGUUGCACCAGAAUCAAUUAUCCAGCUCUUGGAAUCAAACUUAUCGGAAGUAUGGAAUCCAUAACCAGUACCAUUACUGGUCAUAUGGCAUUGUCCUCGAUCUGUAAGAGUAGCCCACCAAUCGGGGUAGCCAUGCGAUGUAAAACAAGUCUCACAAGUGUGUCUCGGAUCACCACAAUAUGCGUAAUUUGGUCCAUGUGUCGGGGUCGUUAGUCUAGAAGUCAUAAUCUGUGCAGCGGAAGAAGCAUAGGAUACAGGUUGAGUAGGAAUUUGGAUCGGAAUCUGGGCCUGAGUCGGGGCCGGAGUCGGAGUCGGAGUCGAAGUCGGGAUCGGGGUCUGAAUCAUAGACAAAGUCGAGGUUGGGGUCAUCAUCGGAGUAGGGGUCGGGGUCGUCUUCGGAGUCGGGGUCAGGGUCGUCGUCGUCAUAGUCGGGGUCGGGGUCGUCUUCGGAGUCGGGGUCAGGGUCGUCGUCGUCAUAGUCGGGGUCGGGGUCGGGGUCGUCAAAAAAGGAUCCUGAUUCUGGAUCGGGUUCAGGGUCAAAGUCUGCAUCUGUAGGGGCGGAGCCAUCUGGGCACUCAACUCAACGAUGGUUGGUUGAGAAUGAGAGAAGGAGUCGGUGGUGCUACCUCCAUGAGGGUUGAAAAAAUCAUCAACCCUCAUAGCGGCGGCGGGGUUUUGAAACUAGAGUCAGCAAUUCCAAGAUCGCCGCUCUGAUACCAUGCUAAAAUAUGAAAAACUAUGAGAGAAUAUUUGUUUGUGGGAAUUUUCUGUGUAUUCUUCUCCUUGUAGGAGGUCAUAUUUAUAAUACAACGAAACCUGAAUGGGCAAGUAAAUAAUAAAUUCCUAAAUCUAUUUACAGUAGGAAAUCAGGAAUUAAAGUAAAUCAAUUACAAUUAUAAUAGGAAUUCUUGGUGUGUAAGGAAAGUAAGUCAAUAUCCACAAGUCACGCCAACAAUCCCAUCAUCUUUAUGGAACUUGACGGCUCUUGAAUCGUUGGAUCUCUCCCGAAACCAGCUCUCAGGAAGGAUCCCCGGUAAUUUGGCACAACUCACUUUCCUUGAAUAUUUCAAUGUAUCCUAUAACCAUCUUUGGGGUCCUAUACCACUUGGCCAACAAUUUGGUACAUUCCUAGAAGAUUCAUUCCAAGGAAACUCAGGUCUGUGUGGAAAGCCUUUGUCAAAGAAAUGUGAUAGCUCAAUAUCGCUACCACCAUCAAUCUUUGAAGAAGAUGAAGAUUCCGGGUUUCAAAUUGCACUAGAUUGGUAUGUGGUUCUGCCAGGAGUUGUUAGUGGUCUAAUAGUUGGAGUGGUUGCUGGGAACUUUUGGACAAGCAAGAAUCAUGAAUGGUUUUUUGAGAAAUUUAGCAGGAAGAGGCAGCCAAGAGGCACACGGGGAAGGAGAGGACACAGAAACUAAGUACUUAAUUUAAAUCCAUGUUUAUCUUGCAGCUGCUGCUGUUGUUGUUUAGAAUUCUUGUAUGGGGUCUGGUGCAUUCUGUUUUAUUACAAUAAGGGUGGUGGUGUAAUUUGCUUGUAUUAAUUUGUGGUGCUGUAAGUUGCUUGUAUUAAUUUGUACAACAAUGUUUGUAAUAUGUUUCUGUACGAACUACAUUUUCUGUUUCCUGUUUGCUUAGUUUCUUUGAUUUCCUGUAUAUUUGGAUGCUUAAUGCUUACUCCGCAGCCAGUAUAUGUUGCUACUAUCAACUUCUAGUAAUUAAUUUGCCAACUCUCUUGAGGUUCUUCUCUGUCCUUCUCUGCCUUCUCUGUUCUUCUCUUGAUUCUUAUUAAGAAAGACACAUGAUUUUAAAAUGUUGAACCCAAAAUUUUACUUGCAUUGCUGCCUUGAUUUACUUGUUUACCACCAGAAGAUUUUUGGCUGUAUCUUGUAAUCACUUUGUAAGAUGAAUUAGGAAAAUUCCUUCCAAAAAUACGCCAUGAAAACUUUUGAAUGACCAACAAACCCUUAUAUAUCCCAUGGCAAGAACAAGGCCACAGAAAACCUACAAGCAUUUGUGGCUAAAUUUCCCAAACAGGUGAAGCCAUAGAUUCCACAGUGGUUCACUUGUAGCUAAGAGAGCAGUUAGGCUAGUAUGUCAACUCUGGCUGUAAUUUCGUUGUUUGUUUUCCAAGUCUUUUUCUGUUUACCUUUUCUCUGCUGCUUGUUUGUUUGGAUCACAUUGUUUCCAAGUUCUCAACACUAUCCCUACGUGAUUGUUCAAAGAGUCUCUCAGUGAAUGCUUAGUUUAUUCUUCUUGACUUUCCUAACCCCCAAAAGAAUAUCAUAUUAAAAAGCAAAAAAUAAAAUGUAAGAGAGAGAGAGAGAGAGAGAGAGAGAGAGAGAGAGAGAGAGCAACUUUUCAAGAAAACCCAGAACAUGAUAAACUCUUUUGGGCCAUAGAUCUGAGUGCCAAUGUGCUGAUUUGAAUCAGAUGGUAGGAGGAAAUUCUAUGUAAUAAUAAUAUACAUGUUGACCUAUUUAUGUGGCACAUACUUUACAACAACAUAAUACAACAAAUGACAGUCUUCAGGGAAGUGAGUGAAAUUGUGAAAAAUUUCAUGUGCUGUUGACAGGUUUGAUGUGCUUGUAGUUUUGCAAUUAUCAAAUUCUUUGCACUGCAAGCAAAGAAUAGAAAACAGUGCUUUCUCAUUCAAAUGCGUCCAACAAACAAGUCCAAGACAAUACAAAACAACUCCCCAUGACACUCGGCUCUAAAUGCAUGCAGGGGUGUGGGGUAGAUACAGCCAUCCAUCCUUGUGUCUUUAUAAAAUCUAAUGUCAAAUCUCUCUCUGUAUUUUAUUGAUAUUGUUUUGUUAUAUGCUUUCUGUCUAAAAGGACUUGGGGGUUUCCUUUCUGAGCCAAAUUCCAACCCCAUGAAGACAAACAGAUGGUUGCUGCCUCAUCAUCAUCUAAAAAGUCUUCUAUUGCUGUGGCUGGUAUCCAAUGCCAGUGCCACAUUUAUUUUCUUGAAGAGGAAACUGGGGAAACACAGCCUCCUAUGUGAUAUGUGACUUUUUGGUGUUCCUUGGAAGAAGAAGAAGAGGCAGAAAGAUGAAACUCAUAUUCUGAAUCUGAUGCAGCAUAUGGUUUCUUUUACCUUUUCAAUUGAAAUCCACAAUUAAUUAAGCAAAUUAUUAGCUGAAAAAUGAACCUAUUAGAGUUGAACAUAGUGAAAGUGGAUUGUUUUGAUGACAACCGUGAAAAAAAACGCUAACGUCAAUCGUGUGUGAGUACAUGACAGAUGGGUUGCCAAAUUCUAAAGAGGUCCUCCUCCUUUUAAAAUUGAAAUAUGAACACACACCCUACAGCUACAGGACCCCACUACUCUAUCUACUAGGUCCACCCCUAAGCUUAAUAGUAACCAUAGACUUGCAGACCAAUAUCGAGGCACGGCUCAAUUCUGUAGAUUGGCCAAACUUAUAAGUUAUUUCCCAACGGCCUUAAAACCAAAGUCUUGAAGAAUUCACUGCUACACUACACACACAAUAACAAAUAUAAAAACAACAAAAACAACAAACAACAAAUCUACUUGACCCCAAAAAACAAUAUUUAAAAGCAGGAAAAGGGAAAAAAGCAAAACAUUCAGCAUUGGUUCCAGUUAUUUGUGCCUUGGAACUUUUCCUUUGGCCCCUUCUCUCUUCCUUCGAUACCCACCACACAAUCACAUCACACGCACUUCUACGUGCCCCUUCCAUUCCAUCCCUCUCCAACUCUAAACUCUCACCAAAACUUCAUUUUUCUUUUUGUUUAAUUAGUAAAACUCUCUUAUUUUUUGUUACAUAUAAUAAAAAUCAAAUGUUAACCACAUAUAAACUUGUUUCGGAAUGACAAAUUAGAAGUGCGAAUAACGUUUUCUUUAUAAAAAUCAUCGAUCAAUUAAUUAAGUAAAAGUAAAGAAUUAGUUGGUGCGAUUUACAGUAUCCACUCGUAUACUGAAACUAUCAGCUAAUAAUCAGAUAAUCAGAUACUGUAAAUUGGUAUCUAAUGCCAACUUGCUUAUCCUAAGGUUCUUAACCAAAAAUCAAAAGAAAACACUCUCUCUCUCUCUCUCUCUCUCUCUCUCUCUCUCUCAUGCACAAGUCAAAACCCCUUAACGGCUAAACCCCCCCACUUUAUAACUACAAAACACUCUCAUCUCACAUUUUCAUGCACAAGUCCAUAUAAAUAUAUAUAUAUACACCCAUGAGUCUCUCUCCACCAUCUUUACUCUCUCCCCCUCCCCUCCUCUCUCCCUCUCUCUAGUGCAAGUGUUUUGAGCUAUAGUUAGCAGUCAUACCUCAGUCACUCCAUCAAAAUGCAUCAUCAGAAGACACCAUCUUCAGAAGACAAAGAGAAAAGGCCCAAGUUCUUCAUCAACGACCACAUUGACAUCCUCGUCGAGAUCCUCAAACGCCUCGACGGGCCCUCCCUCGGCGUCGCCGCCUGCGUCUGCCGCCUCUGGUCCACCCUCGCCCGCAACGACUCCCUCUGGGAACACCUCUGCUUCCGCCACGUGUCCUCCCCUCCCCCCUCCUCCGUCCGCCCCGUCGUCGUCGCCCUCGGCGGCUACAAGCGCCUCUACAGGGUCUGCGUCCGCCCCGUCCUGAGUCGACUCAGCGACUCGGACCUGGUCAGGCGUGUCUGGACUCGAGACGAGGUCCAGCUCUCGCUCUCCUUGUUCUGCGUCGACUACUACGAGCGAAGCGGCAGGCUCGGCGGCGGUGGCGGUGGCGGGGAUGCGUCCGCAUCGUCCCUCAUGUUCCUCUGCAACACCGUGAACGUCUGAUUCGUUGACUUUUUCGCUGUUUUGACUGUAGUGGGUCCUGAUGAGGGUUGAUAGUACUGGUAUUACUUUAGUGAUUUAGUAUACAUAUCAAUUUUUAUUUAGAAAAAAAAUAAAUAUUUUAUUUUAUAUUUUAUUUAUUAUUAUUGGGUAUUUAAAUAAUUGUCACUUGAUUUAUUUUGGAGGUGGGAAAAAGUGUGAGAUGGUAGUUACCUAAUUCCUAUGCUUAAUUAUUAUAGUAAAAUUGUUGUAAUUUUCUUCUUAGGAAUUGGUAUAUUUUGUUUAUUUAUUAAUUUAAUUUUCAAAUACAUUUGGAAGUCAGAAUCUUUGGCUUUAGGCUAAGUAGGCCUUGACAAUGAAGGUGGGUAGUGCCAAAGCUGAGUGGAUUCUCUUUUCCUUUUGUUUCUAUAUACAAAGAGAUUCCAAUACAAGCCCAUUUCUCUUUUUUCAAUUAAAAAAUAUAUAAAAUGGUUAAGACCAAUCAUUCGUGCACCCGACGUCCUCUGUUUAAAUCUCCCUUCUUCAAAAUCGUUUGUAAAAAAAAUACUCAUAGAUAUAUGAAAACGAUUGCUUUUUCAUGUUUUUUUUUUUUUUUUUUUUUUUUUUUGUGUUCCACUAGUAGCCUGCUUAUUUUGAAUCCAGUUGAUCAGUCCUUUUUUUAUGCUAAUUUAUUAAAUAUUAAAAACAGGUCAAUAUCUAUAGCCCAGUAUAAGCAAAGCCAGUUGGGCAUACAAUAGAAGAUUUUUAAAAAAAAAUAGAAAAAAUUAAAUAUAAUAUAUAUAUAUAUAUAUAUAUAUAAAAACCCAGUUGGGCAAUGGCACUGGAAACUUGAAAAGUGUUCCAAGCCCUUGACAAGUUUGACCUAAUAAAAAAGAACAACCUGGUGAGAAAAACAUAAUGUAGGCCAGUUAGCAAUUGGGCAAUGGUAGCUGUUGAGUUGAAUUAGGGUUAGCCACAAACUGUUUGAUUGGGACUGAACCAAACCAACACCAAGCAGCCUAAUCUAAUCUCACUGGGUGGUCCAACAAAUAGCUGAUCAUUGACUCAUUAUGUCACAUAUUACAUUUACACCCUCCCCCCAACUCCAAUUCCCAACCAGACUCAGAUUUUGGUCACCACAUCUUCAACCAGUUUUCUUUCCCAUCCAUCAUUUUCAAAUCCCAAGAUGACAUUCCACAUUUAUCUUCCCCUAGUCCAUGGGCCAACGCUAAUAACUAUCUUGUUUAAAGUAAGUUACACGUCAAUGAUCAACGACUGUCAAUUAUUCACGAAUAAAAUUCAAAUAAAAUAUAUAAUAGGUUUUUAAUAAUUAGUAUGCUUACUGAGCUAUAUCUUAAUGAAAAACAUGGAAAUAAUAAUUGAAGAGCUAUCUCCUCUUUUUGCUCUUUUUCUCUUUUUUUUUUUUUUAAAUAGAAGAAACAAUAAUAUUGUAAGAUUUUGGGUAUAUCUGUCCUAAAAAGAUCUCAACUUGGGACAUGCCAGACAAGACUUCUGGGCCAAAAAGAAGAAGAAUAUGUCAAUUGGGAAAAAGAAAAAGGGUACCAGACAAACUGUGGUGUAGUCCUAUCCAUCCAAUUAUCACAUGAUCUACACAUAGGUUUUGUUGCAGGAUCUGUAACACUAUUGUGGAAGUACAAUCAGUUCAUGCGCCUGAACUUUUCUGCUUCAUAUUGAUUCAUUUUCAGAAGCUCAUUAUUGAAUUUUUUUUAUUUUUUUUUUUUAAAAACUAAAGAAAGGUGAAUGGUUGAAGAAUAUGACCAAGGGAUCAAAAAUCUCUACACCACAAGGAAAGAGCAAGUGAAAAUUUGUUAUUUUAGAGGAAUUCCAAAUUUUACCAACAUGUAAUGUGAGGGAGUAAAGUUAUAUGCCACUAUCCACAUUAGGCUAAGCAAAUUAGGAAUGCUUACAUGUCCAAAUAGAAAAAUAAAGAAGAAAUCAUGUGUUGUUUUGUUAAUGUUCUAAUGAGCUACUUGAUUUAUUCACUAGCAUGAUUUUGGGAGUGUUAUGAAUGCUAAAACUAAGAAAUGGAAUGUGACUAGGCAUUUCUUCAAUGUACCAAAAAUUAAAAUACAAUAUAUUAGAGUUAUUUUAAAUAAUAAAAAAUCUUAGAUUUUGGUCACUAAACAAUGAUGUAGUAAGUGUUAAUUUUACUUGAUAUUGUACGAAUGAGGUUGAAGGUUAAUGCAUAUUUGAAUAAAUGAAACACUAACAUAUCAAAUUUUUUGCUUUAAGGUUUGAAAGAUAAUUAUGUUAGAACGUCAAAAAACAAACAAAAGAAUUACAAAACAAGUCAUGGGUCGAGAGAGGCCCAAUAAUGCUAAAAAAGAGAAUAUCUCAAAUAGCUGCAUAGAAAAUAUAAACAAUUAAUAAAAGGAACGAUCUAGAACUAGACUUAGCCUCGAACCUAUAUAUCAAACCUAAAAAGAGAAAAGCCCCAAACCGAACACUUGAUUUACAUCACCGACUACAGACCACGGAAACCAUCACGCAGGGAAAUGGAGACUAGAUAUGAUGGAAGUUCAUUGAUCCCCACAUUUCCACACAUGACCUUUGUUUGGCUAGUGAUGCAACAUAGUCGGCGAGACCAUUCAGUUCUUUAAGGACCCAAAUUCACUUGAUAUGAGAAAAAACAGAUAUAGGUAUGAGGAUCUCGGAAGUUGAUAUGGUAAAUCUUCUCAAAGACGCCAUUCAACUAUUGAGGGUCCCAAAAUCCCCCUUGAUCUGAUAGGAAACCGAUCUAGGUAUGAGGAUAUCGAAAGUUGAUAGGGUAAAUCUUCUCAAAGAUGCCAUUCGACUAUCGAGGGGGCCAAAUUCCUCUUUGAUCCGAGAGGAAACAGAUCUAGGUAUGAAGAUCUCGAAAAAGGAUAUGGUAAAUCUUUUCAAGAAUACCAUUCGACUCGUGGAGCUCAAAAUUUCACCGGAUUCGAGAGAAAACAGAUCUGGAUAUCCAAAUCUUGAAAAAGGAUCAGGUAAAUCUUCUCAGAGACACCAUUUAAUUAUCGUAGAGCUCAAAUUUCACCAAAUCCGAGAGAAAACAUAUUUGAGUACGACAAAUUUUUUUUAAAGGUAAAUUUUCUAGUUGCAUUUUCAAAAUUUUCCCAUUAAUAUUUGUAAUAAGAUAUUUUGAAAUGAUUUACAUGAUGGCAUCUUGAAAAUUUGUCCAUGUGCGAGGGAAAGACCAACAAAAGUUGAUGGAUCUUCAACUUGAAUCAAGAGUAUGAAGAUCCAUGAAUGCUUUCUUCAGCCUCGGUCAUAUCAGUUAAGAUUCCAAACUCCGAGAUUUGUUUUAUUUACUCAUAAAAUAAUAAACAAUUUGUGGCUCAUUAAUUAAUUCAUUCAAAAAUUUAUUAUUUGUGCAACUAAUUUUCAUACAUGAUUAUCUCUAAUCAUCAUGUAAAACCAUUUAUUAGCGAGUAAAUGAAUAAAUAAUCAAAUGCAGCCAUUACCAAAUCUCAGCCAAUAAACUAAUUAAACUUAUUAAAUUUAACAAUUAGGUUAAUCUCCAAAGUCCACUUGUGCCCACUACCAAACACUCCCCUAAUGGAAACGGAAAAGAAGUUACUCGAUGCCCAUAACGCACGGCAGCGCAAAAUAGCACCCUCCACCAUUAAAUACUAUUAACGCACUGUUUACUCUCACUGAAAUUAAAAAAAAUUCAACGAUUUUAUUACCUAAAAUAAAUCCUGUCCCAUUUCCGACACCGAUAUCGACGGAAUCGCCAAAUCCUCGCCGUCGUUCGCCGCUAUCUUACAUCCCGACCCGAAUCCGCAUGCCCGGUGACCAGAUUUCGCAGCUCAAGCCCUAAAGGAAGAAACUUUACUGUUUGGUAGCUCCUCCACUUUGGGCUAUAAAAUAUGAGUUUCUCUCAGUGUUUGUGCUUUAUGUACAGUGAGAUUUGCAAUUAGCUCAGCUUGAUUUUGCUCGAGCUCCCAAGCACACGUGGCGAUCUGGGUCUUCUUCACCUUCAUUCAGCUCAAGUUUCAGUGAGUGCCUUUUUUUAAAGAAAAAACUCUAUUUUGUGUGCUAAUCGGUGCUGUGGACUUCAAUUUUGUACUCAAUUUUUAAUCUUGGAGUUCAGUAUGGUGGCUUUGGAUUUCGAUCUCCGUGCAUUUGUUUAAAGCUGUGAAAUUUAGUGGAAUUUUGGGCUUGAUUUGGAAAAUUGAGCUGAUUUUCAUGCAUGUUAGUGGUUUGAAGAAAUAGAAUUUUUAUUUUGGCAGCUGAAGCUGUUUGGCUGCCGAGAAAACUGAUGAAAAUUAAAACUUAAUUUUUUGCAUUUAUGCUGCACGAGUCCUAAUUUUUUUUUAGUAAAGAAGGUCAAAUCUUGAUAAUUAUUGUUGGCUGUUUACGGUAAUUCGGUUAAUUUUAAAUCGGUUCGCAUUAAUUCCUGUUUGAGAUUUUGAACUUCGAAUUUCUUUUUGGUUUGAUAUAUGAUUUGUGCAUUUCAUUUUUUUAAAUAUGAUUCUGCAUUCAUUGCUAUUAAUAAGUCUUAAUUAGUUAAAUUUGUAUUAGCCAGUCGCAGUUCUAAUGAGAAAAAAAUUGAAGCUUGAUACUUAUCAUGAUUCUUACUUUGUCUUUGCAGAAAUGAAAAUGUGGUUACAUAUGAGAAUUGGGCUAUUUCCGAGUUUGUGCACAUUAGGUUGGUCAUAGAUUUUGUUUGAAGAUCUUUGGUUUUAAAGUUAUCUAUAUUCUUACAUGGAAUUUAACAUAGAGGAGGCUCUUAUAGCAAAAGAGAUCGCUGAGAAGCGAUUUGCUGAGAGAGACUAUGCUGGUGCUAAGCAUUAUGCACUAAAGGCUAAAUCACUGUACCCUGGACUGGAGGGCAUAUCUCAAAUGCUGGCCACAUUUGAUGUUUAUGUUGCUUCCGAGGCAAGAUUUUAUGGUGAAAUAGAUCAUUAUUCAAUUCUUGGACUGAAACCUUCUGCAAAUAAAGAUGCAGUGAAGAAGCAAUAUAGAAAGAUGGCUGUGUUACUCCAUCCUGAUAAGAACAAAAGUGUGGGAGCUGAUGGGGCUUUCAAACUUGUUUCCGAAGCAUGGACUUUAUUGUCUGACACUACCAAGAGAAGCUUUUAUGAUCUUCAGAGAAACAAACAAUCGACAACCACAGUUAAUCAGCCUAAUUUAUCUUCAGUUCAUGCUGGUGGGGUUCCGGGUUUCAACAAUUGUUCCAAUUCGUCGGCAUCUCAUGGUAGACUUGACACUUUCUGGACUGUCUGCACUUCUUGCAAGGUUCAGUAUGAGUAUCUCCGGAAAUAUGUGAACAAACGACUUUCAUGUAAAAAUUGCCGAGGCAUUUUCAUUGCUGUGGAAAGUGGGGCAGCCCCAGCAAAUGGUUCUUUUCCUUAUCCUCCUCCUUGGUCAUAUGUGCCUAGUAAUGGGUAUGGGAAUCAUGGAUUUGAUGGGGCUACGUAUGUUCCAAGCAAUGGUACCUUUUUCCCAGGAAACGGUGUCUCAGGUUUUCAUUCUGGACACGGGUAUGAAUAUAUUCCAAAUAUGUCGUUUCAGUGGAGCUCAUAUCCGGGAACCUCUACUGGUGUUGCGGGUCCUCACGGAUCAUCGGGUAUAUCCCCUGAUGCUGUUUAUCAGGCAAAUGGAAAUGUUAAUAAAGCUGGAGUGAAGGUUAAAUCAAGAGCGAAUGGAAAACGUUCCACUACAACUGCUGUGGCUAAUAUGAAUUCGAAUAUGCCUCCUAGAUCUAAUGAGCUGCCUGAAUUUAAGAACGAUGGACUGGAUAAGAAAAGGAAAGUUACUGUGGGAGCAAAUUUUAGAAAUGGGCAUGACGAAAGAGUAUCAAAAUCUGCUUCAGAAGCAAAAUUAGCAAAUGGAAAUGGGACUCUAGGAAAUGAUCAGAAAAUUCCUAGUUCAGGAGAACUUCUUGCUAGACGUUGUUCAGUGGCACCAGCAUUUGAUGCUAAAAAGCUGUUGAUUGAGAAGGCAAGAACAGAGAUUUUGAAGAAAUUAAAUGAGAUCAAUUUGGCUUCAGAAGCGGCUGCUGCUAUAAAGAACACAAAAAGACAGGUUGAAGUGCGUCAAUCCGAAGUAACUCAAGGACAUCAAUUACGGACAAAGGAUGCUGAGCCUCUCUCCAUAACUGUCCCUGAUCCCGACUUCCAUGACUUUGACAAAGAUAGGUCGGAGGAAUGUUUCAAGCCAAAGCAAAUAUGGGCUUUAUAUGACGAAGAAGAUGGUAUGCCUCGCUUGUACUGUCUGAUACGUGAAGUGGUCUCAGUCAAACCGUUCAAGAUACUCAUCACUUACUUGAACUCUAAAACUGACAGUGAAUUUGGGUCAGUGAACUGGCUGGAUUGUGGGUUUACCAAAUCCUGUGGAAAUUUCAGGGCAAGGAAUCUUGAUGUAGUUGAGCAAGUUAAUAUUUUCUCUCAUGUUUUGAGCCGGGAGAAAGCAGGUAGAGGAGGAUGUGUUCGGAUAUACCCGAAACGUGGAGACAUUUGGGCUAUGUAUCGCAACUGGUCGAGAGAUUGGGACAGAUCAACUCCAGAUGAAGUGAGGCACCAGUAUGUAAUGGUGGAGGUUCUUGAUGAUUACUCCGAAGAGCUUGGUGUUUGCGUGUUGCCCCUUGUCAAACUGGAUGGAUUCAAGACAGUAUAUCAAAGUAAUACAGACAGCAGUGCUGUUCAAUUGAUUCCGAGAAGAGAGAUGCUACGCUUUUCGCACCAGGUGCCGUCAUGGUUACUCAAGGGUGAAGAAAGUAACCUGCCUGGUAAGUGUUGGGAUCUGGAUCCUGCUGCAACUCCUGACGAGCUGCUUCAUGCUUCUGUGGAAGCCAGGGCUUAAGCAUAACAUACUAAAAAGCAGAGAAGGAUAGGCAUGGGAAGCAAGAUUUGCUUGGGAGUUCAUUUUAGCAUUGUUUAGGCAAUUGUAGGUUUUAACUGUACAAAUAUGUCACACCUGGCUAGAGGCCAACGUAACGUAAACCCCGUAUGAUUCUAGGGGGAGCUUAUGUUUACCCAGUAAAACUUGUGACGAAAAUUUCAAUUCCAGUGACUGCUUGUUUACAUGAUUACCUCAGACUCUGACUUGUCCAAAAUAGUUGUAACACCUAUUCAGGACAGAUUGGGAAAUCAACAGUUAUUGCAUUGGUGCAAAUUUUUUCCUUUAGCCUGAAUUCUUGCCAACAUAUUGCAUCGCACAAUACGUACGCAUAUUGUCUCUGUUUAUAUUCUGUGUUAUAUUUUGCUUGUCUCUGUUUGGGCAUGAACACGGUUUCAAAUAUGGAAAAGAUUGUGUUUUUUAGGUACAAGUGAUUGGAGGGGGGAGUUUGCACAAAUAUUCAUUGAGUAGAUGGGAAUUUCAAACCUAAGUCCACAUGAAUGGAGGUGGAAUGGCUCAACCAACUCCACAAGACCAAGCCCCAAGCCCCAAAUAAAAAAAUUAAAAAGAAGAAGACAUAAUUUGUUUAAACGGUGUCGUUUCAGUCCAUAAACUCUAACAAGUCAAUCCUUUUCCACAACCACUGCCGAUCCCUAGAACACCUGAAAGUGAGAGACACUGAAGGAGAAGCAGGCAAGAUAAAGAAACGAAAAUGGAUCCUCUACUGUGGCAUAAAAUAGCUGGGCUCUCUGGUAUUACCUUUUUCCUCUCUCAUACUUAAAUAUUUAUUGUCUUUCUGUUUCUGACAAACCCCAAAUAUGAUUUUGAUUGAAAAACAGGAAUGGCAGCUCUGGGGUUGGGCACAUAUGGUGCCCAUGGCUUCAAACCCGAAAACCCAACUUACAAAGAUGUACAUCAUAUAUUUUACUAUAUGCCCAUUUGAUUUUAGCUCAUAUUGUCCAUGGUUGUAUCCUCAUUCUUGAGUUUCUGACAUUUAAUUACGUUGCAAAUAAUGGGUAGGUUUGGCAAACGGCGUCUCUCUACCAUUUGGUUCACACAGCCGCUCUGGUUGCUGCCCCUAUCACGAAGCACCCCAACAUUGUGAGUUCAAAGUUCAAACCUUUUAUCAUUUUACUAUGAAUUGAAUUCAUACCAUAAUCUAAAGGGUCCGACCCUUCACAUUUUUGGAGUUGCAAAACUGAACAUUAUUUGGUUUUGAAAGGGGAUAUGUGAUGUUUGUUCAACUUCGUAUGUUGUGAUGUUGGUUAAUUAGGUACUGGUCUGCAAAUUCAUAUAUGAGCAUAUAUGAUAAUUUCGUCUUUGUUUUCCAGUUUGGAGGCCUUUUGACUACUGGAAUACUUGCAUUCUCAGGGACGUAAGUGCCAUUCCAUUCUUCUGCGCUUCAUUUUUCAUCUAAUUAAACAGCUUCAAUUCGAUUAUAAAACACUACGUUUUUGCAUAAUAGAUUCAUUCAAAAUUUCAGUUUCUUGCACAAUGAAGUUCCUUGAAUCUCAAUUUUAGAGGUUUUCCAUAUUGGUUAAAAGCACUCACCUUGUUACUUGUUAGGAUGCAAAGGAAGUCACAAGACUUGCCUAUGGUUUAAUUCAUUGGUCUUUUUCUAGAAAAGUAUUACUACCAAUGUAGUAAGAUCUACUUAUUUACUUUCCAGAGAGCUACGUUUGUAUGAUUAUGCUAGAGUUAGGAAUCAUCCUAGUCUGUUAGUAUGGUAAAAUCCUCUACACUGAGUAAUGAGGAUUCUAGACUGAUAAAUGUUGUAAUUUGUUAACUGGAAGAGUAACAUUAUAUAAAUGAAUUUUACAUUUCUGGUCUGCCAAUAUUUUGCUUCUGGACUCCAUAAAUUGAUCUCCUGGUACUUAUGGCUUAGCAAACUGCACAAUGAAGUGUAAUGCCUUGAGUACAGAGUCCAUGCGUCAUUCCAACGGACUUUUUCCAGUUGUUUGCUUUGUUGAAACAAUAUUCAUGGAAGUGUCCGUACUGUAUUCAUAUUAUCAGAAGUGAACGCUGAUUGAAAUACUUUUUUGCAGGUGUUAUACUGUGGCAUUACUUGAGGAUAGAAAGUAUUCUACGUUGGCUCCUUUCGGUGGCUUUGCUUUUAUCGCUGCUUGGGCUAGCUUGCUCUUCUAAGAUUUCCAACUUCUCAGGAUCCCUGCCCAAUUUGUGUUGUUGAGUUCACUAUUUAUGAUCAUAUACCCUUUCAACUGGGCAGGUAUAUCCCAAUGUGGAGUCUCCUUGAAUUUCAAAGUUGUCUUCCCCUUUGCCAUGCCAAUUAUAUAUGGUGUAUAUCAAUCUACUGAUUAUGCUACUUUAAUGUUAUUUGGUGCUGUUUGCAUGGGAGCUUCUACAAUGAGGAGUUUAGAGUGAGGAGCUCAUUUGAGGGGUUCAAUCCCACCAUCAAAUCACUUAAAAUGUUUAAGUCCAUUGGUUUCCUCACAUUUGUUGAUGCUUGAAUUGAACUCCUCAGAUAAACUCCUCACUCUAAACUCCUCAUUAUAGCAUUUCUGCUGUUUGCAGAUACUUGUAGAAUUCUUUCCCAUAUAAAUGAGAUUACAGGUUUGCAGAUAUAAUGUUUAUCCUUGUAGCAUGUUUAUUUUAUCUGACACUGACAAAGCCCAUUUCUGAUAAAGUGAAUAAUGAAUGCUGAAGAUUAUUGGCCCUUGGAUUGGCAUGUAUGUAAGGUUUUGAGGCCACGAAACACCCACUUGCAAACGUUCUUUUCAUUCUGCUGUGUGGUUUUUAGCUAGUUGCUUGGUUUUCCAACUGGACCAACUCCAUCUGGUAUCUCUGUCGGUGCAAAAGAAUGAUUUGUCCCGUAGCUUGGCAAGUUUUUAUAAAUAGAAGUGAAUUUGUUGAUUAAAAGGUUAAAAUAUAUUUUUCUUUUUGGUUUUUGCCAAUUAAAAUACAUACUGGUGAACUUGUAAGGUUCAAACGUAUGUCCACUGGGCACUGGCGCAGUGACAAGCUUGGGAAGAACAACAAAGUACAUACGAGAAACAGAGCAGAAUCCACAGUACAGUGGAGAUGAAGUGCCGUGACUGCUUUCAUGUUCAGUAAAAAUUCUCUAUUUUAUCAGUCUGGUUCUGAUCCCUAAUUGCAAUGCCUCUGUUUCCCCCUAAGCAGGCAAAAUCAUGUGACCAAACCAAACAAUCAGUGCCAGCCUAAAAACCUAUUUUGGCUUUAGCUGCAUCAUAAUCAUACUGGACCUCCUUUGAAAAUUAAAUGUGCCAGGUUGAAAAAUAGUCUAAUUUGCAGAAAAAGGAAUUCGAAUUUGAGUGUAAGAAAGCGGAUUCAUUGUUCUGACGAACAGACCUAGUCCUAAGUAUGCUACUUGACGUAAAGUUGAUCUGCAACGACAUUUUUUUUUUUUUUUAAUUUUUAAUUUUUAAUUUUUUUUUUUCUUUCCGGUUACUAACAACCUCACAUCUUUGACAACCUUGAAAGUUUAUGUUUCACUUGGGAUUUUGAGGAAUUUUUGGAUUUUAGGGAAAGCCCUUUGGCUUAACGCUUACGAAGCUGAGCUGUAUAAUACCACCUUUAGGGAAAAUAUCAACAUCUUUUGGUGCCCUAUCGUAACAGUCAAGGGUCACAAGGGUCCUACAGAUCUUAAACAAUAUCAGAAUGAGGCCCCGGUUAUGUCUUCAAGCCAGAAGGAAAGCAAAAAAAAGGUCAGGUCCACCCUUGUCAUUGCAUUGCAUUCAUCAAGCACCAACAUCCAGGCCCCUCCUAUCACAACCCCUCGCUUUUAGGACAUGAAAUUUAUAAAUUAUAAUCUCUCGUUAAGAAAAAACUUUUAAUAAUCAUAUUGGCCUCCAAUGAGCUCCUUUGCUUUCUAACAACUGCAUCGAUAAGAUGUUUCUUUUGCUGAAAAAGUUGCACAAAUUGAAGGAAAACAAAAUGAUCAAGAACCACCAAAGCAUAAAAUACCAUGAUAUAAUUAUGCAGCUUUUGAUUCCCCUAUUUGUGGGUAGAAUGAAUUAUGAGUAGUCAACGAGGUCUAACCCAAUAGAAAAAGGCUUUGAUUUGCAUACCAGUGGUCUUAAGUUUGAACCCCCAUAACACUUUGAUAGUGCAUGUGUGAGAAAUCUCCAUCCCCUUGUAGUUUAGACUAUUCGUUUGUAUUCCAAAAAUAAUAAUUAUGAAUAGAAGGGUGGUGGACCGAUAUGGCCCAACCUUAUGUACAAUGAUCUUCAAAUAUAAUCAUGGGAACAAAAUGAACAAUUUUUCUAAUCAUACAAAUAACAAAAGAGAUGUAUAAAUAAAGCUCAUCAUCCAUAUAGUGCAAGGGCUUUAAUAUGUACUAAGGUAAACAGAAACUUUGUAUAAAUUAUUGGAAUUUGUUUCUCAGUGUUGCAGAGAUCUCUACACCUUUUCUUCUUUACUCUGCACACUGCAUAUUUUUACCGCUACUUACCCUCUUCUUCAACUAAAGCAAACUAUAUCUCAGUCACUUCUAAAAACCCACAAGCCCUCUAGGGCCUCUUACUUGCUGCAUCCUCUGUGAUUACAUUCUUUUUUUAAAAAAAGUAAAUUUAAAGGGCUUAAAAACCUGUCACAUAUUAGCUUUUGUGUCUUUUCUUCUUUGCAAUCUCCUCCACCCAGUGUAACAUGGGGAAGAACAGUAUCUCUUCUACUGUUUCUCUCUUCUUCAGUUGGUAUGAACUCUACUUAGCUGACAGACCAAUGAAGUUGAGGUAAAAUAAAAUGAAAAUAGAAGAAUAUGAAGGUCCUGUUGUAUCGAAACCACGAAUUAGUCUUAUUCUAGGAAUCCGGUGCUCUACCUCUCUAUAAUUACGGUUUGUUUGAAUCCCUACAUAACUGUUGAUAUGCCACUCACUAUAGGAGACGCAAAUGGGCUCUCUGGAAGGUUAAUUCCUUGGCUGCUGCAUGGUAUAAGAAACCAAGCAUCAAAGAAAUGGGAAGGUUAAGAAAAUAACCCAGAUGAAAAAAAUUGGUAAAAGUACUAUGACUUCAAUCUGAACAAGCAUUUGUGGUAUACCUAUCCUGGUCAUUGUAAUUACUGUUUCUGUGCCUGAUUUUGCCCUCACUGGUGGAACCAUUAUUCAAAACAUCCAGCAAAUAAGUAAAUUCCUUUGCAGAUGGGACUUCUGCUUGCUCUGCAUGGGCUACAGUGACAUCAGGGAAAAACAUUAGCUAGGAAAUCGUUGAAAGGAAACAAGAAAAAAGCUACGCAAAAGAAACCGAAAAGUUGCAUUGUAUACCUUCUGGAUGUUUGAACUCAUCCAUAGGGUAGCCAUAAUAGAAAUGAUGGGACAAGGGCUUAGCUGCUAAGUGCAUCUCCGAAAGACGCCUUCUUUCAAGUUCGAGUGCUUGCUCAUUUUCCUCCAUGAACUGCUUCCUUAAAAAUCUUGCAUUCUCACAAACUCUGGGCACUGUAAAUCAGAGAAAUAAAUGUGAAUUAGGUAAAGGUGAUUUUACGACCCAAAAAGGCUAAAAUAGAUCAUUACUGCAUUUAUCUGAAAUUUGCUUACUAGAGUGAAACUCUGAAUCCGCAUCAAUGAAAUGUGAAUUGUAGCACAUAGCAUGCUGCAUUUUCUCUGAAAACUUCCUGGAUGGAUAGCUUAAACUUCAGAAAUUUAAAUACUAGUUGAAAAUCAUAGAGGAGAUGGAAUGGAAAACAUAAUGUUCUUCUCAGAUAAUAAAUAAGAGAAUUUUCAGUUUUAUUGAUAUCAAAGGUUCUUCUCAGAUGUUUUCAGAAACAUUUCCAAAAGAUUCAUAAGCAGGAAACUAGGAAAGGGAUAUCCACCCUACUCUCUACAAAUACGACUUUCUUCAUACCAUAAUGUCAUAACAUGCAGUCAUGUCAGUUCUAGAAGGAGAUUAAGGGAAAACACAAGGAAAAACAAUCCUCUAAAGCAGACUAAUAUUAAAUGGAAGCAAGAAUCAACGUUCAACAACCGACAAUAAGUAUUCUAGGAUGUUGACAAAGGUAUGAACAUCAUACUAAUUAAUUCUAGUGGACAGCAUUACUCCAUUUAGAGAACAAAUUUUAUGUUAUAUGUGCUUUUAGUUAAUAUUAUAAGGUAAAGGCCUUUCCUCAUUUGAACUGCCAACGACAAUAAGGGUGCUAUGAUGGUAGGAAAAAAAAAUAGUGGGAAAUAUCAGACAAUAACUAUUUGCUUAUGAACCAGAUAGUAUUAAAAAGAAAAGGGUCGAGAAAGAAAAAUACUGCUCAAAUCUAAGCACAAUAAAGAUGAUAAGGUUACUUCAACUUUGAACAAAUAGAAAAGUUUUACCUGUCAACAAGCCUAGACUUUUCCCUGUAAGGCUUCACCAGAACACGGGCCCCACAUACAAAAUGGGGAUUCCCUUUUGACAAAAUAUGCCUGACCGUCUCUGCAUAAACAAAGGUGACAAACCCAAACAUCCUCUUCUGUUGACAUGGGAUGCGUACAUCUUGAACCGGCCCAUAUUUGCUACAAAAUAAUGAUCAAAAAAUCAAAAUUGUGUAGACCAAGAGUCAAAGUAUAAGCAAAGUGUAAGCAAAUUCAAAUAAGAGAUAAAUGACUCCAAUAACAGUUCCUUAUGAAAAGAAAAAAGAAAUGCCUUAAACAUCCUUACUUGAAGUAGUUGGAAACAUCUUGCUCCGUGAAAUUACUCUCAGCUGGAAAAGUAAGAUAAAUCUGUCGAGAACCAGCAAUAAUUCCACCAGGUUCAGUUUUCUCACCAGCAUACUCUAAGUAUUUUGGGAUAUCUUCUGCCAAUAUGACUGAGUGCUGUCCAUGAGGCCUGUAUAACAACUCAAGUCAAGCGCUUCUAGCAAGCAACAUAUGAUGCAUAAAAACCUUUAGCAAUUAACAAAGAGUUACCUGUCAAGGAGUCGAAUACUGUUCUUCAAUCGAGCAAGAAGCUUUGUAAGGCUAUAGCCAGCCUUACCAUGUCUCUGGCUCUCUGUAAGGUAUCCCUCAGCCUGUAAAGUCCUCCCAUAUUUCUCAUAAUACAUCAUUGGCAAUGAGGCAAUUGAUAUUGGGAACCCUCUUCUUGAUUUCAAAAGCUCAAUUAUUUCAAUCUCCAGCUUUUCAAGGGAGCCAGGAGAGACAACAUGAUCAUCAUUUGAAAGCUCAUUCAAAUUCGGGUGAGAAAAGCUCUCUGCCAUGGGAUGGCCAUGGAAGUACCUGCAGUUGCUCCCAUGCUUACAGAACCCCUUAUUGAAGUAAUGGCAAACCUUAAGAGGAAACUCAGGCAAACUUGGAGACCUUCGACUAGUUCUCACACUCAAUGCAGGUUCAUGAUAGCAGUAAUUGCUUGAAAAGUCGGGCAAAAACUGCAUCUGAUUUUGGAGGCGAUAAUCUUCAAUAGCUGAAUCAGAGUACCCUGGUGGAACAAAUUCUACAUUUUGCAGUGGUUGCUGAUCACCAGGCAGUUGGGGAUCCCUAAAUGGAUUCACUGCUCCGAGAGGUGUGGGAGAUGAAAUUGGUCGAGUUAAAUUAGGAGUGUAUGGAGUGAAUUGUAAAGGCGGGUCUGAAACAGGAACUUGGUUCACCUGAGAAGGUGAGAUUGGAGCAGACACUGCCAGUUUGCAUAACCCAAGCUCAGUUUUUGCUUUGUUAAUCAAAGACUGGAUCAAAUUAUCAGGGCUGAACGCCAGUCGAAUCAUGUCACGCUCACCAUGGUCUUGCAACAGAAGAUACCCUAUAAUCUUAGACACAUUUUCAGGCUCUAUUUUCUGGAUCCUAUUGUACACUACUUUUGUGGACUCAGAAAAAUCCAUCUCAGAUUGCAGCCCUGCAGAAGACAAGUACAUUCAAAGGUACACAUUAUUAUAAAAGGUAGGAAUAGCAAUGCAAAUUAACACUUAUAGAAAGUUAGUUGUUAAUCCAACUAUGUUCCAGAAAACAUUAAUAUGGUGGAAGAUAUUAAUUUCUUUCUCAACAACCAGAAAAUUAUGUGGAUCUAGUGAUAAACAAACCCAUGAGUAAAUUCAUAUAAUCUUCAAGCAGCAAUGCUAUUUCUGGUAUAUAAACAAAGCCUAUUUAAAAGACUACCAAAUAAAUGAAAACAAAAUUGGGGGGAGAACACCAAAAAGGAAACCUUGUUGGUUCAUGCAUAAUCAAUUUCUGUAUCUGCUCCUCCUACUGAAACAAGUUGCAGGCAAAAUUUAAAGUUGAAAUUUUCAAACAAAAGUGGCAGAUGGAUAUAACCAAACAAAAGCAGCAAAAUCAUUACCACAAAAACAGAAGCAUCAACGCCAUAAGGAAAAGGGAUUCAGCAGAAAAAGAGACAUUUAUUUCUCUAAUUAGCAGCAUCAUAUUAACCUACUUUAAUAAAAAUUUUAAAUUUUAAAUAAAUAAAUAAAAGCAAAAGGAGGAGAAGGCGUUAACUUUUGGGGGAAAAACAAAAAACAUAAAACAGUGCUUCUGAAUUAUUUUCCGAUUUGAAGGACAAGUGAAACAUGGAAGGCAUCUUCUUCCAUAGGAAACAGUAAGAAGAACAUACUGUCAAUACACAGUCACAUAAAAUAUGUUCAAAUGCUUGCCAGCCAGAAGGGAACCAAAACAUUUUAAUUUUGUCCUUAUAAGAAAAAAGAAAAAAGCCUUUUCAUUUCUUAAAUACAAGAAACGAUUACAGAACUCAAGGGAAAACCAACAUCUUUUGAAAAACACAACCAUUUACCCACAACAUUUUCCUGAACAAACACUAGUCCAGGAUCAAGAAAUUAGGAAUAAAAUGAAGAAAAGAGCAAAAAGAACAGAGAGAGAGAGAGAGACAGAGAGAAAGAGAGAGAACUAGUUCUCAGAAGUUGAAGCAAGAGAGACAAAAACACAGGAUUUAAGUUGCUAGCUAUUUUUUUUAUUUCUUUUAUCACAGAUAUGGAACAUCUCUAGAAAUACCCAAGUCAAAAGACCAAAACUUUGGCCAUAAUUGAGCAUCAAAAUGAAGCAAAAACAACAUGAAAUGGCAGCAUGGAACCAUUAAUGAGAAAAGAUCUGACAUACCCACCAAAUCUUUUAAGAGCCUCAAUAUGAAACAAAGUCAAAGGAACCAAUCCAAGGCCCAAAGCUACUCCACAACCAUGAUUGAUUGCUCACUCUCGUCCUCCCUCUGCCUCUCUCUCCUCCCUCUUUCUGUGUUCUUCGCUAUUUUUAUCUUCUUCUCCUAUUAUAUUCCAAUUCUCUGAACCAGAAAGGACACAUUCUUAACGAAAAGCAAAAUGACAGAAAGGAUAGAGCUUUAGGGGGAGGGCGCCUUGUCUUUAGUUCAAAUCAACACACACUUACAAAUAUAUACAAACCACCCUCUCAUCUUCCUCUCCUAAAAAAUCACAUGAAAAAUUACAAAUUCUUUUUUUUCCUUUUCAAUUGAAACUGAAUUGUUAUUAUUUUUAAAUUAAAAUAAUUAAUAACAUUAAAAAGCACACCACUCUGUCUCUCUCUACACUCUCUCUCACUGCUUGUUGUCACUCUUAUCCUAAUGUGUCCCGGUUUCUCUGUUUUGCUGACUUGUAUAAAUUAAAUAUUAUUAUAUUCAUUUCAAAAAUUACAGGGUGUAGUCUUACUUGUCGUUACAGAAAUUUGCGGGAAUUUAUGGAAAAUUAGCCUGGAUUUUCGAAACAGCCUCCAACUAAAAUUCCCAAUUUCUCCUCCACCUAUUUUGAAAUGGUCCUUCCCUUCCAGUUAUCUUCUUUUUUUGUUUUCUUAACAAAUUUAUUUAUUUUUUAUAAUAAAAAUAUAUGAGAAUACAUAUAUUUCGGAAAUACCUAUGUGUCCUGUGUGGGUUCAGCCUGUCUUGUUGUCUUGUCUAUACAGUAGGUGGCUGACGUGCAGUGGUCGAUGGGCCCACACGGGCAGGUUGAGCGGUUUGGAUUUCAUCUUCACGUUGGGGUUUGGGGUGCGAAAAUAUAAUCUGCCAUCUGCAUGCUCGACACGUGGCAGGUUGCAGCGAGGUACAGUUUGUUUUCCUUUUUUUUUUUGUGGAUAAAAAUAACUGUGGUGCACUUUAGGUUAUUAAAGUUAACGUGGGACCUACGUCGUCAUCAUCCGUACCCACCAAUCCUAGUUGGCGGUCUGUGGGUCCCCGAUUUAAAGGGCUCAGUUCACUACUCCGUGAUUGGUGGUUGCAUUUUUCCCUUUUCUUUUUCUUUAAAAAAUACAAAUAAUAAUGAAUUCGUAGUUGUACUUUGUAUUAGUAGAUGAUUAGCUUCGUAUUUUAAUGAGCACAAAACACAAUUUGUAUUUUUUUAUUUCACGUUGGUUUUUAAAAAAAAUAAAAGAAAAAACAUGUGCACCACUUAGGAGGUGUAAUAUACUAGAAUAUAUUGAUGAAAAUUAGGAAAAAAUAAAAAAAUAAGUUCGGUAAUAAAAUAAAGGGUAGGGGUAAUUUAGGGACAAAAUAUUUUGUUGAUCGCUUCGUAGUGACCUAUUCAAAAGGAAAAUACACGUGAACAAAUUUAACAAAUGUGAUACUGUGAAUCUAAUCUAGAUUCACAAAUUGAGAAAUGCUUGGGAGGUUAUUUUUCUCCGGUAGAAGAGGAGCUUUCUGUCGAUUAAGUCACCUAAUUGAGUUUUUAGUAAUCUGGUUAUUCUAUUUCAAAAUACUAUUUAUAUUUUAGAACAUUCCACUAUAUGAUGUCAUAAUUACUGACGAUAUGUGAAUCGAGAGAGCAGAAACACAGUCAGUUGAUCAAAACAAUGUGUCAAAUUCACUUCUCUAUAACUUAGAGUAGUUUAAAAUAUUAUAGCCGCUUGACUAUAAUAAUAAUAAAGAUUAAGAAUAAGAUUUUAAUUUAUGGAAGGGAAGAUGAUGAGUACAUUUGUGACCAAGUACUAUGAUUGAGGAAUGUGAUAUAGACACCCUUGUCAUUAUCAACCAACAUAAAUAAAUGAAACGAAGCUGACGUCCCUCUGGCUUUAUUCGGCACUUGUUCUAAUCCAAAUCCAAUAAAUCCCAAUUAAAUAAUUUUUAGAUCAUGGGCAUCUUGAUUAUUUAAAGUCUACAACGUACUUAUUAGCCUUAAUGUUACAAUUACAUAAAUAAUUAUACCAACACGACAACACCAUAAUCCACCUACUUAUAAUACUUUUUGGUUUUAUGUGAGGCACGUAUUUUAUCACCCAAGUUAUAAAUUCAAACAUAUUUGAAUCGUAAAAUAAGUCUACGAUUGCCAACGGGGUUUAGGCUAGUGAAAAAAGACUUUGACAUGCAAAUUAGUGGUUUCAUGUUUAAACCCUGAUAGUACGUUGAUAGUGUGUAUGUGAAAACCUCUCUCUCCUUAUAGUUUAGACUAUCGCUUUUAUUAAAAAGAAAAACAAGUCUAUGAUUUAUUUAUUAUUUUCACCUGGUAUUCUAUAAAAGUUAGGGAGAAAUUUUGUACAAAAAUUAAAAAGCAAAAAGAGAAAGGGAAAGACGCAAAAAUUAUAGUUUCUUCACAUGCGUUCAACUAAUCAUCUCUAGCUUCUUCUUUUUUCCAGGCAACAUGUGGUUCACAAAUACAACACAGGGGGGGCAAAAAGGGUGUUGAAAGUUAUGCAGGGAAAAAGGAAAAAUUUGGCCCACUUUUUCAUCAGAUCACAAACAAAAACAACUAUCAUCUAUCUGUAUCUUCCACUCAACUUGAUCAACCCUAGCUAGAACUUUACUGUGUUCCAUAUAUGUGGCGGCUGAGCUUGAUGGUUUUGGCUUGUUAGCCAUGGCAUGGCCCCAUUGGUAACAUCAAGCAAUUGAGUGGCAGCCCUGGAGAUUUAGAGGGCAACCUUAUCAGGAUGCUGCAAGGUUUGAACACACAUAAAAAUCCAUUUUUACAAUUGAUGUUACCAUCUGAUCUGGAUAUGGUUUUGCCAUCUUAUCUGGAUAUGAUUUUGUUGUAGCAUAUUUGGUUUGUGGUAGUGUAAGGUGUGACAACUUUGAACAAGAUAGAAAACGAAACAUGUUCGUGAUUUGUAAAACAGAACACUCUUGUUGUUUGUGAAAAAAGAGAAAAUGAAAAAAUCAACCCGAAUUAUCAUGUUCGGAUAUGGUACGUGUGAUUUUGUUGUAAAAUGUUUAGUUGUCGAGAAAACACAACGAGAACACGAGUUGAAAUAUAACGAGUUUUAAGUUGUGAAUAAGAAGAAGGUACAUCAAUAACUUUUAACCAACUCUAUGCAUGGCUCUAACAAAUUGUUGACCUAGUGUCGGGCUUCUUGGUCAAAUGCAAGCAAUCACAUGAGUCUACUAAUAGGGCAAGGCCCACACCAUGUGCAUGUGAUGCUGGGUCAAUAAAACCCAAUCAUAUCCCAUGCAGGGCUUCAAUCAUUUUCUAAACUCUUUUUAGGACAAUUUCAUGCACUUUAUUUUAUUUUAUUUCUGUUUUUUAACCUUAAGAAAAAUUGUAAUAAGAAAAAUUGUACAUGCUAAACUUAUGUUUCAAUAGAAGAAGAAAAAAACAGAUGGAGAGAGGAAAAUUGAACUCGGAGCGUGAUGUAAGAUACAUCUUUAAAUUCUCGCAUCACAAAUGAAAUUUAGGGUCUGUUUAAGAGUGCUUCUGGAAUGGCUAAAAACGCUUUCUGAUAAUUAAAAGCGCUUUUAACAACGUUUGGCAAAAAAAUUUAGAAGCGCUUAUGGGUCAUAGAAAUACUUUUCCACGAAGCACUUUAAUUUUUUAAGAAAAUUCAAGAUUUUUAUAAUAAAAACGCUUUUAUUAGAAGCACUGAGCAGAAGCACUUUUUAAAAAAACAAUCUCAAACAAACCCUUAAUAUCGUUCAUAAGAUAUGAAAUUGCGACUUUCUCCAACAAACUGAAGACUUAAUUUUUUUUGCCCCUUACUACAUGUGUGAAAAUAGAGUAGAAGAUUGGGCCUUCAAAGAUAUGUAUCGCAUGAAAGCCCAAUAACUGAGAUUGCAAAAGAUCAACUGAUCAAGUGACAAAUUGUAAAUUCAUUUUUACCCUAGAUAAAAACAAACUUCGACCGUAAAAACGAAGAGAAAAACGAAACUGUUUUAAGUUCCAGAAGUUUCCUAAAAAAGGUAGCUUAUUGAAGGAUCUCUGCAUUUUCCUGCUUUUUUUAUUUUAAAAUCUCAACCAUUCAAGUAAUCCAACAGCUUAAAGUAGUCCACAUCAGCAAAGAAUCAGAACUUCGCUCCUCGACUGCCAUGAAACGACAUCGUUUAUAGGUUUCUGGCUUAUUCCGGAUCCGGAAUACCGUUUUGGCUGUAAUCAUUCUUCUGCAACUGCCGUGGAACCCGACCCGAUUAUCAGAGAAAAGGAGGAAGACGAUUUUCAGAAAGAGAGAAAGGAAAUGGCUUUCUGGGGUUUUGACGCCAAGUAGUUGGCUUUGGCCGUCGAUCUCAGCCCUUGAAAAUUGAAAUCAGAGCCGCCCGAUCUGCGAGGUUAUCAAUUACUGGUAAAGAAGAGAGUUCGCAAUGUACCAGUGGAGGAAAUUCGAGUUCUUUGAGAAGAAAUUGGCGGGAAAGUGCUCGAUCCCCGAGGAAGUCAGCGGAAGGAUCGAGUGUUGCUCGAGCGGCAGAGGGAAGGUGGUGAUCGGUUGCGACGACGGCACCGUGAGCUUCCUCGACCGCGGCCUCAACUUCAGUUAUGGCUUUCAAGCUCACUCCUCCUCCGUACUCUUCCUUCAGCAGCUCAAGGUGAGCCUCCAUUUACAACAUUUUAUCUUGAUUUAGUGAUUUUGUAUUUGGUUCUCCGGAAAGUUUGGAAAACAGAAAAAGAAGGAUUUGGGAAAUUUUGGGACUUUGGAACUUUGAUUUCUGGAUGUUAGGUUUAGUUUCAUUUUUUCAGUAAUUGUUUAGGAGAUGACACGUUUGUUGAUUUUCUCCUGUUAUUAUUAAAUCAGCAACGCAACUAUUUGGUGACAAUCGGAGAAGAUGAACAAAUUACUCCGCAGCAAUCGGCAAUGUGCCUUAAGGUUUUCGACCUGGAUAGAAUGCAGUCGGAGGGCACGAGCUCGAGCUCAACGAGCCCUGAUUGCAUUGGGAUCUUGAGGAUAUUCACCAACCAAUUUCCUGAAGCAAAGGUAGUGCAUGUGCCCAAUUAUUGGAAUUUGUGAAACAUUGAAUUCGAUUGAAACAAUAGGGUUUUGAGUCUAGUUUUGGCUUAUUACUGCAGAUUACGUCGUUUCUAGUACUAGAGGAAGCACCUCCAAUACUGCUUAUAGCUAUUGGCUUAGAUAAUGGUUGCAUUUACUGCAUUAAAGGGGAUAUUGCGCGAGAACGUAUCACCAGGUUCAAGCUUGAGGUUGAUAACCUCUCUGACAAGAGCCAGUCCUCGGUGACGGGACUGGGGUUCAGAGUGGAUGGUCAGGCCCUUCAGUUGUUUGCCGUGACUCCAUCUUCUGUGAGCUUGUUCAUCUUGCAGAAUAAAACUUCAAGGGGGCAAACCCUAGAUCAGAUUGGAAGUAAUGCCAACAGUGUUGCCAUGAGUGAUCGCUCGGUAUGCAAUCCAGCCUCAUCUUCGUUGGUGUAUUUUCAUGCAUAUCUUAGCAUUUUAUUUAUGUAUAUAUUUUGAUCAGGAGUUGAUAAUUGGUCGACCUGAGGCUGUGUAUUUUUAUGAAGUUGAUGGGCGAGGCCCUUGUUGGGCUUUUGAAGGACAAAAGAAAUUUUUGGGGUGGUUUCGUGGAUACCUUCUGUGUGUUAUUGCAGAUCAAAGAAAUGGCAACGAUACUUUCAACAUUUAUGACCUGAAGAACCGUCUAAUUGCCCACAGCCUAGUGGUUAAAGAGGUUUCUCACAUGCUUUGUGAAUGGGGUAACAUAAUACUUAUAAUGGCUGACAAGUCAGCUUUGUGCAUCGGGGAGAAGGAUAUGGAGAGCAAGUUAGAUAUGCUCUUUAAGAAGAAUCUUUAUACUGUUGCCAUCAACCUUGUUCAGAGUCAGCAAGCGGAUGCUGCCGCAACUGCAGAAGUGCUAAGAAAGUAUGGGGAUCAUCUGUAUAGCAAGCAAGAUUAUGAUGAGGCAAUGGCUCAGUACAUCCAUACCAUUGGUCACCUUGAGCCUUCUUAUGUGAUACAGAAGUUUCUAGAUGCACAAAGAAUCUACAACCUUACAAAUUACUUGGAAAAAUUGCAUGAGAAGGGGCUUGCUUCUAAAGAUCAUACCACUCUUCUACUGAAUUGCUACACCAAAUUGAAAGAUGUUGACAAGCUGAAUGUGUUUAUUAAAAGCGAGGAUGGUGUUGGAGAACAUAAGUUUGAUGUGGAGACUGCAAUAAGAGUCUGCCGUGCGACCAACUACCAUGAGCAUGCAAUGUAUGUUGCUAAAAAGGCAGGGAAGCACGAAUGGUACUUAAAGAUCUUACUUGAAGACCUUGGCCGAUAUGAGGAAGCCUUGCAAUAUAUUUCAAGCCUUGAACCAAGCCAAGCUGGAGUGACAGUGAAAGAGUAUGGUAAGAUUCUCGUAGAGCACAAGCCUGUGGAGACAAUUGAGAUACUUAUGAGGCUGUGCACUGAAGAUGGAGAAUCAGGCAAGAGAGGAGCCUCUAAUGUUGCAUACUUAAAUAUGUUGCCAUCUCCUGUUGAUUUUCUUAACAUCUUCAUCCAUCAUUUGCCGUCGCUUAUGGAUUUUCUUGAAAAGUAUACCAACAAGGUGAAGGACUCUCCUGCUCAAGUAGAAAUCCAUAACACACUCUUGGAGUUGUACUUGUCCAAUGACUUGAGCUUCUCAUCAAUAUCACAAGCUAGCAAUGGUGAAGAUCUAAAUCUCAGGGCUAGAUCAGGUGCAACAGCAACAUCAAGAUCAGGGUCCAAUGGGAAAUUUAUUGCUGAUGGCAAAGAUUCAAAUAAGGAAAAGGACCGUGUGGAAAAGCAAGAGAAAGGGCUACGACUGCUUAAGAGUGCAUGGCCAUCUGAGCUGGAACAUCCACUUUAUGAUGUUGAUCUUGCCAUAAUCCUUUGUGAAAUGAAUGAAUUUAAGGAAGGCCUUCUCUAUCUAUAUGAAAAAAUGAAACUCUAUAAAGAGGUGAUUGCUUGCUACAUGCAAGUUCAUGAUCAUGAGGGUUUGAUUGCAUGCUGCAAACGACUAGGGGAUUCAGGUAAGGGUGGGGACCCAAGUCUGUGGGCAGAUCUGCUAAAAUAUUUUGGUGAACUUGGAGAAGAUUGCUCCAAGGAAGUGAAGGAAGUUUUGACAUAUAUAGAAAGGGAUGACAUCUUGCCUCCUAUUAUUGUUCUUCAAACACUGUCCAGAAAUCCAUGUCUCACACUCUCUGUCAUUAAGGAUUACAUUGCUCGAAAGCUUGAACAAGAAUCAAAGUUGAUCGAAGAGGACCGUCGAGCUAUUGACAAGUAUCAGGUUAGUGCUUAUUUUUUGCAGCUGUCAUUGUUAACUUGUUUAUUAUACCUCUUCUUUCAUUUCACUGGCCUCCAGUAAAAGUUGGUUAACAUUCUUUGUUCCUUCUUGAAGUCUUCCUUGGAAACUUUUGUAAUGACAUGAUUGUGAUCUUGUCAAAGUAGAAUGUAUCAAAUAAGUUUGCAUGACUAUCUAGUUAGGUUUAAAAUGGCAUGAACAAUAAGGAAUAAAAAAAAAAAAAAAAAAAAAACUGAAGUGUUUCAAAUAGCUAUGAGAUAAGUGCAUCACGGAAAAAAUAAAAUCUAGGGAUCAUCUUCAGGGUUCUUGGAUAGGGUUACUUUGAACUGACUUCUAUUUUUUGUUUUGUUUUUGUUAGACAUUGAACUGAAAAUCUACAUUUUGGACAAUUCAACAUUUUCUUGACCAGUGAAAGUGUUUCUUUGAAAGAAAUUGGCAUAUUAUUUAGCAAGUGAGAAAAUAAUCCAAAUAACUUUAACAAACACUUCAGUCUAAACAAGGGAAAUGAUCAGGCCUGUUUGGCAUGUCAUAGUUCUUUUAUCUAUAUUACAUGAGUAGGUGAAGCUGAGUCUUUCUCAUGAAAGAUAUCUCCAGCUAAAGUAAUCAAUACGGGACAGGCAUGAUGGUACUCUUCCUGAUUUCUGAUGAGAAUAUACAUUUGUGUGUGUGUGUAUUGGACCAAAAAUAAAUCAUCUGCAAAAAAAAAAAAACAAAAAAACAAAAAAACACUUAACACCAUUUUAGGUUUCAAUUCAAACUAUUGUGUGGUUGUUUCGUGUGUGCAUGUGUGAGAGAUUAUCUAAUGAACCCUUUAAUUCUUCAGGAAACCACAUCGGCAAUGAGAAAAGAAAUUCAGGAUCUUAGGACAAAUGCUAGAAUUUUUCAGCUCAGCAAGUGCACUGCAUGUACUUUCACUCUUGAUCUCCCAGCUGUGCAUUUUAUGUGUAUCCACUCAUUCCAUCAGCGAUGCCUCGGCGAUAAUGAGAAAGAAUGUCCUGUAUGUGCUCCGGAAUACAAAUCUGUGCUAGAAACGAAAAGAAGUUUAGAGCAGAACUCCAAAGAUCAGGAUCGGUUCUUCCAGCAAGUUAAAAGUUCGAAGGAUGGUUUUUCUGUGAUCGCUGAUUAUUUUGGGAAGGGGGUCAUUAGCAAAACCAGUAGUGGACCCACAGGUGGUUCUUGAUCAGCAGCAGUUCUUUCAGCUGUGGCGUAUGAGGUUUGUUAACUGUGUUCAGAAUACUCAACAGCGCAAACCAUGCCCUUGUGGGCUUGGAAUUUUGGAGAUAUCGAAGGUUGAGCAACUUUGGAUUUCCUUCCUUUAGUGGCAUUGGAUGACUGGGCUUCUUCUUAUUGUUUUGUUUCCCGAAAUUUGGAGGAGUGAAAUCUUUUGUAUUUUUUUUUUUUGGCAGAUCAAAAUGGUAUAUCCUGAAACAGUUUUGCGGAUCUGCAUUAAUUCGAAAAAUAAACUGAAAUUUGUGAGUAAAAGGCAUUGUUAUAUAACUUAAUGUUCCCAUUUCUCACUUUCUAGCAGCUUUGGAAAACACCCUUAUCAUGUAUCAGCUGGCCACAUCACAACUACUGAGUUGUUUAGAUUUUCCUUAACUCGUUUUUUUUACUAAUUACUCGUCCUUCAAUAAAAAUUCUAUCGCCCUUCUCUCCACACAAAAAAAAAAAUAAAAAAAAAAUCAAUUUUUCUACCUCACUAACCAAAAUUAGCAUCGGGGAAAAAUUACCGAAUUAUCAGCCUUUAAUUUCAACUCGAAUUAAAUUCUAGUUAUUAUUUCAAUUUGCCAAACUGUAAAGCUACAUAGUUGAUGGAACUGUGGAAUGUGAUGUUUACUAUUCAGGUGACCUAGGAUGUUACAGUUGUUGACAACUUGUAAUCAUUAUAUAUCCGUAGCAUACGCAUCCAUUCUAUCCAUUUGUUUGACUGGCCCAGAUUGGAAGGUACACGGUAGCUUAUGGAAUCAGUUGGUAGUUAAAUUCUUCCAAAGGGGAGAAUCCUAGGCCCCUAACAAUAAUUUUCAAGCUUAACCUACUCCUUUGAAUGUGGCCCUUGUCUAUAUAUUAUCUGAGAAUAAAUAUUUUGGUACCCUCAGUCGGUCAUAAGUUAAAUCUGAAUGUUUAUGUUUUAUGAGCUUUACAUGCAUAAAAUAAGAGUUAAUUCAAUUGUUCGUACAUGCAUUGUGAACUUCAUAUGCAUCAAUAAUUAGAAAUUUUCCACGUCGACAACUCGUAAUAAAGAAGUCUUUAUUGCUUGAACAAAUAAUGAUUCUAGUGUAAAUAAUUAGUGAGAAGUGCUUUUUGAUUGAUGAUAUGCAUGAAAAUAUAUCACAUUGGUACUUUUCAUUGUUUGAGAAGUCACUACGAUAAGUCCCAUCUGUAUAAUCUGUUGAAAAGGUCAUAUUUUUUAUCAUGUUCGAUGAUGGCUCAUGUUUUGCAGUUGUCCUAUCAAUAGUAGUCUGUGGUAGACCAUUGCUGUCGGCGCGUACCCAACCUACCAUGUUGGUUCAAGCAAGGUUUGUGCAAUUUAUUAGCAAUUCUCCACCACCCCACAGUGCUUGGGACAAUCGCCAUGAGAGCGUGCUAGACUCUCAACCGUUAAUGCAUUGGAAUGGAAGUCAUCCGUGUUGAAUUGGCGAUGAUAAAAUAAAUAUCUAACUUGGAUGUAAACAAGCACAAGAAAACCCUUUUCGACCGAAAAAAAAACACUCUGAACCCUAGACAUCCCACCCAUGCUCACCCUUUUCAGCUCGAUGGUAUAACACCACCCAAAAAGGCCAAGUCCGGAUUCAGGCCCUCGCCUCAGCAAAUAUUAAACAAUGGUAUUAUAAUGCUAGUCCACAUCCAACUGAGCACUACACCAAAUCUCUCGACAUCCCCUCUUUGGUUAUGCAGAGACAGCCGAAUCAAAUCAUGUUAUCUUCGUCUUCCCUGUCUCUCAUCUAACCCUACAUUUAUUAAUGGCAACUUAUAAUGGGGGUUCCAACAACUGCUUAAACAAUUAUAAGCAGCUUCCCCGACACCUAAAUGCAGAGGCCUGUGACAACAUCAACUCAAGGAUGCUCCUUUAGUUACAUUCCGUGAACCUUGAUUACCACCAACUUCCAAGAUCUAAAAAGAGGUAAUUUGACUACUUGAGUUUGAAGAUAAAUUGACUUUAUCUAUAAACUUCCAAUCGAAUACAGACAUUAUACAAAUAAUGUGUUAAUUAUAAACACUCAGAGAAGUAGAAGCCAAAUUGUCAAUUUCUACAUUUCCAGAAUUUUGUGAUCAUCAAACCAGUGAAACUGACCCAAACACUAACAAUCGAACUCAAAGAUCAAAAUCAUUACUUUAAGGGGAAACAGUAACUUUAUAAACAUGGGCUGGAUGAUCUGCAACAAGAACUUGAUUGCCUCAUCAUGGUUCUCAAAGUAAACAAACAUAUAAAGAUCAAAAGACCAGCGAUAGAUACAUUAAAGGCUAUAUAAAAACAGAGUUCUCCAAAGAAGAACGAACAUGUAAUUUGACAGACUCGAGAGAAAAAAAAGAAAGGAAAAAAGUACUUUCCUACUCUGUUCUCUAGGCAAAAAAAAGAAAAAGAAAUAAAGAAAAUAUAUGUAGGUACAUAUAAGAUCAUCCUUUAUGGUUCCAGCUUCAAGGAAACAACCCGUGAUUGUCUGUUACGCUUUGCCACCUUGACAAAUACUACUGAGAGGCAAGAUGGAGCCCACCAUGGCCUGCGGACCUUUUGCUCCCCUUUCAGGCAAGCCACUGGACAUAAACUUGGUUUUAGCACACACACAGAUGGUAUCUAAAUGCAAUUCAAAUUUCAGAGGAAAAAGGCAUAUAUAUGUAGCUCAAGGGAAAUAUGAUUCCAGAAAGGUUUAAAUUCUCAGCUUGCUAGGAUAGAUAAUGAGAUCAAGAGAGAGUUUCACAAUGCUAUUGAAUGAGGCAUAAGAACGGUUUCUUAGUGUCAGCGUGCUAUGCUAUCAGUAGACAUUUGAGUGCAUGAAAUGAAUGGAUCAUGCAUGGCCAGUCUAUCUCACCAAUCCAUAUACUCUACAAAAACUCUCUUUUCUGUUUUACUUUUGGAAUAAUUAUAUUUUCCAAUAAUCAAAUGUCAUAUGUACCUGUGCAUAGAAAAUGCAACAGUAAGAUAAUCACAACCCUUAUUCAAAUCUAUUUAUCCAAUAACUCCAGAGACUAAAUGAAAUUUUUGAUAUAAGAACGAACACAAAGACAUUUUUUUCACAGCAUGAUAAAGACUGCUAGGAAAAUUUCUAGGCUACAGACCUUUAAUUCGCCUUAGUUCCUUACACAGCGUGAUAAAGUCUCCCCAUUUCAUGUGGCACCGUCUUAUAAACCGAAGAAUCUGCUCAGUAGUAAACAUUGACAUGCCUUCCAGGUAUUCUCCAUUGACUCCAUUUUCCUUAAAAGUUUGCCGGUAACUGCCGAGGUUUAUCUCUUCCAACCACAAACCGACAUCCUGUACGAAAGGGGAAAAUAAACAUGAGAAUACAUGUGGGUGAGCCAUGUAUCUUUAUAUUCGUUUUAUUAUAUAUGGCCAAAAAAUAUGUACAUGAGGCCUUCAUCAGGGCACAUGAUAAACUCAGGCUAUUAUUAAGUCACUGUUAUAAUAUAACAGUCCCUCCAACCCAAAAAUAAAAAUAAAAAAAACAAUAUUCACCCAAAUUUUUGUUCAGGACAACCUUAAACUUAGGGCAAUUUAAACUCUUUCUUUUGAGAUUAUCCGACUAGAGUUCAUCCAUAUCAAACGGCAUUACUUCACAUGGCAAAGAAAUGUUUUUGUCUGUAACUUGGCUGUGUUUAAUUUUAAUAUCAAUAAUCCCCUUUAGUCACAAAAUAUCUGUUCCCAGAGGUAAUCCUAAGAUUCCUAAGACCAAUAGUAAUGUGUUUGUCUCUUUAUUUUCACUGUAACGUACUUACUCAUAGCUACUAAUAGUUAGGUGGAGGCAUCUUUAGCACAACUUCAGAGUCAAAGACCACAUUCAAGCUUUAGCUCAUAGUUUUGUUCACUUGUGAAGUUGUUAAAAAAAAAAUUAUAAUCCAUUCAUCAUUCUAUGGACAGGGAAACAAUUUCCACACCCCAAGAUGAGGAGGGUCCUGACCAAGGGAAUAGCAACAGAUAAUACGGUAUUGCACUAACAACAAACGAUUGUUCUGUAUCAUAUUAGAAUCGUUUUAUAAAGUGACAAAGAGUCAAACGCCUGACACCUCAAGAACCAUAACUCAAAGAAAGAAGAUUGUGUCGAAUAAUAGUUGGAGGAGGAUGAAUUGAUGAGUGAAGGCAAUUAUUUCCUGUAGUAACAACAUGAGAUGGAUUCAAAUGAAACUGAUGAAUUUCCCAGCUUGCCAAGUAUGAAAGAUAAUUAGCAGAUUACAUGAAAAGUCUCCUCUAUUUCGAUUCAUUAAGUUGGUCUAUUUCACAAUAAUCAAAACUAAAACCUACCACUUGAUAACUGUUCCCCCAGUAACAACCCCAUCAAAAAGAAAAUACAUCACAAGAUGUUAAAAAAAACCCCAAAAUUUCAAAAAGUUAAUACAUACAAACACACAUAUAUACAAAGCCUAACUCAAAGAGAAACAGAUGUAUGAGCUAGCAAUAAAUUAACAAAAAAAAUGAAGUCAAAAUCAGAUGUCCCAAACAACAAUUCUCCAGUAACAACGCACAAGAUCUACUUGAUUGAAUGAGAAAUAUCCAAAAACAAGGACAGAAAAAGAGAAAAAGAGACUGAAAAUUGGUUACCUCAACAGUCCAAAUGAAGAAAUCAAGAGGCUCUGGUGGGUGUUCUUUGCUCAUCUCCCUCAUCAUAACGCCUUUUCAAGACCUUCAAAUCAUUCACAACCCAAACACACUCUCAGUCACAGAGACGACACAAAGAGUAAAGAGCUUAAAAAUAAAAUUUCACAAAAAAUAAAAUAAAUAAAUAACAGCUUGGUCUAAGACUAGUGGCAGUUACUGCGAUCCGAAUUUUCUUCGUUUUUUUUUCUUUUUCUUUUGUUCGUUGUAUUUUCUGGGAGACCAAACAGAAAGUUAGAGAAAGCUGGAUUGGGACUUACCGUGCGGAAGGUGAGUGACAAUUUUGAGGGUAUAAAUUCUCUACAUUUGUUUCAGAGCUUAAAGAGAGAGAAAGUAAGAAGAAGUCUGAAACUGAUGACUCAUUUGCUUUCUUGCCCACUCUUUUUUUCUGUCUCUUAAUGGAGUUGAUGGGCCUCCAUUUUUCUCCUUUAUUUUCCCUUUUAAUUUCUCUUAAUUAUCAUUGCUAAAUUUCAUAUAAUAACACUAAAUUACAUUUUUAUCCAUAUAAAUAUUGUAUCGGAUUGCAAAGCGAUACUGGGGAGAAGGAACCCAACACACAUCUCAUAUGCAAAAGUUAAUACUAUUAAUCGCUUUAGCUACGUGUCCUUCACAAUCCAUUUAAAUUUUUACUAGUAUCUCAAUUGUGAAGAACAUAUAUUCGUGAACGUAAAUCGAAAUACUAGUAAGACUAAAUUCAUUUGAAUUCUAAACCAUAAAAGGUUAUAAUUGUAAACGUCAAAGUGAAAUGAGAUCAAAACAAUUGGAAAUAAAACCCUAAUUUAGCCAAGGAGAAAUUCUCAUUAGUACCCCUUAAGGUAACUUAUAAAUUUGGUUGGUAAAUAAUUUAAUAUUUUAUUUUGGUUCAAUGCAUGUCAAAUCAUAGAGUAAUUGGUUAUUAAUAAUACACCUUAUGACGUUUACUAUAAUAACUUUGUCUUAAUUAUUUUGGGACCAUUAUGAAAUUAUUACUAAACCAGCUUCAAUUAAGGUGCAUGUUUGGGCCCACGUGGGCCGGCCUGAGUUCGAUUGAACUGGAAGACUACGAAGGCGACAAGUUGGACCGACCAAAUCGAAACCAUGCAGACGGUCAAUGAAUCUUAUGGUCAUCAGAUCGUACGGUCGUGACGGGAGUUUCUUUGAAGCUACAGUGAACAGCUACAUGUGCAACACGUGUCCAUACCGUCGCUUACGUUGCGCUAUCAUUGUCCCUGGACCACAUACCAAAUAAUAACCCUAAAUCAGUAAUUAGAAUUACAUCACUUCCUUCUUUUAGGUGUUUAUUAUAUUGUCACUUGUUGUCUCUCCUUUUGAUCUUGCACCCACUUUUUACUGACUUUUUAUUACAAAUGUACGUAUGCACCCCAAAGAUUACAAAAAUAACUUUUCUUACCUCUUUUGUAUUUUUUUGAUGUAAAUUACUGUAAUAUAAGGGAAAAUUUGAAUUCGGGUAUAAGGAGACGAGCACUCUCCUGACAAAAGUAGUCAAUGUUGUUUUACUUAUAACUCAUUAUUUCUAUAGUUAGUUAAGAUUUUGUAUUAAUAUAAACCUUAGUGUUAUUACAAGAUAUAGUUAUCAAUAUGGAUUGGGUAUGUGUAUCAAUGUGGACCGACAAUGGGGCCAAUUCAAGAGGUGGGUUAAACAAGACCUUCUUAAUAUGCUCCUAUGGACCUAAUCCAUACUAUAUAUAUAGCAAGGGCAUGACUCAUGAGGGAAGACAAAAGGGACCCAACUUAAAAAGAGCCCAAUUUUAUAGUGACAUAACAUAUAUUGAAAUGCAGUCUCGAUCUUUUGGACUACAAGAGUUCAAGAGAUUGUGGUCACCCACCGUUGGAUAUUAAUCCAACGGUUGAAAAAAGUUUUUUAAAAGGAGUGCAAGAGUGAGUGAACCAUUGAAUUUACAUCCAAUGGUGAGUGACCACAAAUCUCUUGGACCACUGUAGUCCAAGAGAUCAGGACUGUAUGGAAAUGUAUGAAUGAUUUUUUUUAUUUUAUUAUAAUUUUAAUACAAGCGAUAUUUUAAAUUACAAGAAUGAAGGAAGUUCUUCACACAUGUUACCAAUUCCAACUUGAGACCGUGAUUUGCAAAUCAAUAUAUUUUUUCACUCAACUAAACUCCGUUGACGUGGACAUUUUUUUUGUAGUGUUGUGCUGUGUAAUGGUUAAUCUUACAUUGUUAGAUUUAUAUAUUGUUAAAACAUGCUUUGAUCUAAUGGCUUAAAUUUGUGUAAAGGUGUUGGGCCCACCACCAUUAGUAUUGCUACACACGUCCUAAAGUCGUGAGGUCGCCCACACCGGAUCACCCCGUCGUCAAAUUUCCUCUCUCACUCGAGAGCCAGGACAAUUCAAGCGCUCGCAUUUUCCGUUUUUUCAGCUCCGUGUAUCCCUAAACCCAAAACCCCCAAAUUUUCCCUCCCUUUUUUCUCUGCGAGCAAAAGCCAAACAAAUGUUCUCACCAGGAACUAAGCGAUCCAAUGUGAACCCUCGUCGGGACCCAGGAUCUCCGGCCACUCCUCUCGUCGAGAACCGGCGAUCUGUUUCCGAUAACCCGGUCCCGAACCGGCCCAGUACCGGAACUCCGGCUCCCUGGGCUCCUCGCUUAUCUGUUCUCGCCAGGUACUCGUCUAAUUUAUCAUGCAUUCGUUCUUUGAAUUGCUGAAAUGAGUUCGUCGGUUCUGCAUGUGAGCUUAAUUGUUGGUUUUAAUUGGAUAUGGUAAUUGGAGAGUUGGGUUGGUGAAUGUAAGGGCUGAUUUUCAAUCGUUUGUGUUGUUUUGUGUUUGGUUAGAGUUUUACCAGCGAACCAAAGUGAGAAAGGGGAUGAAAUUAAGCCUGUAUAUGUUGGAGAGUUUCCCCAAGUUGUUCGUGAUGAACAGGCCAGUAUGGUCCAGAAGCAUGUUCAUGGUUAGUAGGGUUUACUCCAUGAGCUUGGUUGUUGAAUGAAAUGACUAACUGUAGAAUGGUAUCCGAUGUUUUCUCUUCUUUUUUUUUCGUCUUGCAGGUGAUACAUAUGUAUCUGGUGGAAUGGAGAGGGGAACAUCUUUGGCAUGGAUUAUAUGCGGAAACAGACUCUUCGUGUGGAGUUAUCUGUCUCCUGCAGCAUCGAUCAAUUGCAUUGUUCUUGAAAUCCCUGCAAAAGUUUUUGAAGGUGGGGAUGUGGGCAGAAGUGGUGGGAACUGUUGGUUGCUUUGUGUUGUCAAUUGGGAUAGCACGUCUACAAGAACAAAGAAAGUUGUUAAACACUGUAGCUCUGCUGGUAUUGUAUUGUGUAACAAAAAAACUCGAGCUGCGGUGUACUGGCCUGACAUUUAUGCUGAAGGCAGAACUGCCCCCGUUGUUAGUGUUGCAUCUUCUGAUGAAUUGGAGGCAAAUUCUUCGCCUAUUGAUAGGAAGACCACCCCAAAGCGACAGCAACUAAAUAUGCGGCACAGGAGUAGUUUGACUGGGUUUUGUACAUUUAACUCUUUGAUUGCUUCUGCAGUCCCUGAUUCCCAGAAUAUGUGUGUUGCGCUUGCCUGUAGUUCAGAUGGCGAGCUAUGGCAGUUUCAUUGCAGCCCAUCUGGUGUUAGCCGUAAGAAAGUAUAUAGGGACAAUCAGACUCUUUCCUCCCAAGGGGGUGACAAUGGUCAAAACCUAGGGAGCAAGGGUUAUCCAAGGUCACUGACCUGGUGUGUUCCAAGUCUUCCUAUGCAGGAAUCUAACAGGCUGUUUGUUCUUCUGACAGAUCAUCAUAUUCAAUGUUUUAAUGUUGAACUUUGUGAUGAAUUUGUUGUGUCAAAACUCUGGUCUCAUGAGAUUAUUGGCUCAGAUGGGGAUCUGGGCAUUAAGAAAGAUUUGGCUGGGCAGAAGCAAAUCUGGCCUCUCGAUAUGCAGGUGGACUAUCAUGGUAAAGUGACUACCAUUCUGGUUGCUACCUUCUGCGUGGACCGGGGUAGUGGUUCAAGCUACACACAGUAUUCUCUUUUGACUAUGCAAUAUAAAUCUGGAAUGAGUGUGGAGCCUACCCAUGAAAGAGUUUUAGAGAAAAAAGCACCUGUGCAAGUGAUAAUCCCAAAAGCAAGAGUAGAAAAUGAAGACUUCUUAUUCUCCAUGAGACUGCGGGUAGGGGGAAAGCCUUCAGGAUCAGCAAUCAUCCUUUCUGGUGAUGGAACAGCAACAGUAUCUCAUUAUUUUAGAAACUCUACAAGGCUCUAUAAAUUUGACCUACCUUAUGAUGCUGGAAAGGUUCUAGAUGCUUCAAUUCUUCCGUCUACAGAUGAUGGUGAAGAAGGGGCAUGGGUUGUACUCACUGAGAAGGCAGGAAUAUGGGCAAUACCUGAGAAGGCUGUUAUACUUGGUGGGGUUGAACCUCCUGAACGAAGUUUGUCACGUAAAGGUAGCUCAAAUGAAGGAUCUGCACAAGAAGAGAGAAAAAACCUUACAUUUGCAGGCAAUUUUGCUCCUAGAAGGGCUAGUUCUGAAGCAUGGGAUGCUGGAGAUAGACAAAGGGCUAUGACUGUAAGUGCGCGUCAAACUGCCCAAGAUGAAGAAUCAGAAACUUUACUGAGCCAGCUUUUCCAUGAUUAUCUUUUAUCUGGGCAAGUUGGUGCCUCGUUUGAAAAGUUAAAAAAUUCAGGGGCAUUUGAUAGGGACAGAGAGACAAAUGUUUUUGCGCGAAUGAGCAGAUCAAUUGUUGACACUUUAGCUAAACACUGGACAACAACUAGAGGAGCCGAGAUUCUGGCAAUGGCUGUAGUAUCCUCCCAACUCAUGGAUAAGCAACAGAAACAUACAAAAUUUCUCCAGUUUCUUGCUUUAUCCAAAAGUCAUGAGGAGCUGUGUUCGAGACAGAGUAUGCCCUCAUGCCUAUUAUAUUUGCAAUGUUUUAUCAUUUGAUGUCAAAUCCUUUCCAAUUGACAUGGCAUAUGUUGAAACUUGAAAGUUCAUGCAUGCAACAGUGUAGGUAUAGCAUGCAUUUACUUCCACGCGUGCUUAUCUAACCCACUGCACUCAAUCAAUUUCUUUUAGGUUGUCAGAUAUUAACACAUAAAGUUAUAAUUCGUUACCGGAGUUUAAUUUAUCAAAAAUAUGAUUUUCAGGGAAUUUUUUCUUUUUGGUGCUGUGCUCAUUUGAUAAUUUUGUCAUCAGAGUAUCUAUUGGAUGCACGGAGUAUAUUAAUUAGUGUCUAGAUGACAAUAUUUCCUAAGGUGUCCUAUCAUGGGGGUAGAAGGCCUUUUGAGGAGUAUAUUGAUUUGAGGUUCAGUGGGGUGCUGUUGACCAACUAAAUUAUGGUUUUUUGUUUCCUUUUUGGCAGGAAAUUCUUUGCAAAUUAUCUUGGAGCAUGGUGAAAAGCUUGCUGGAAUGAUUCAACUAAGGGAAUUGCAGAACAUUAUUAGCCAAAACCGCUCUAGUGGACUUAACUCCUCCCAUUCUAGUCCAGAAAAUCAAAUAUCAGGUGCUCUCUGGGAUCUCAUUCAAUUAGUUGGUGAGAGAGCCCGCCAGAAUACUGUUCUUCUGAUGGAUAGGGAUAAUGCUGAAGUCUUUUACAGUAAAGUUUCUGAUCUUGAACAAGUGUUCUCUUGCUUAGACAAACAGCUAGAGUAUGUAAUAAAUGCAGAGCAGCCAUUUGGGAUUCAGGUCCAGAGAGCUUGUGAACUGUCAAAUGCAUGUGUUACUAUAGUUCGUACAGCCAUGCAAUACAGAAGUGAGCAUCACUUGUGGUAUCCGCCACCUGAGCGCUUAACACCUUGGUAUUGUCUAGCUGUGGUGCGCAAUGGGAUGUGGCACCUCGCUUCCUUCAUGCUGCAGCUGUUAAAGGAGGCAUCUCAACUUGAUGUGUCUGCAAAAUCAGAUUUAUAUACUCAUCUAGAAGUGCUGGCUGAAGUUCUGCUUGAGGCAUAUGCUGGUGCUGUCACAGCUAAAAUUGAACUAGGAGAUGAACACAAAGGCUUAUUAGAUGAGUAUUGGAAUAGGAGGGAUGCACUCCUAGACUCGCUUUAUCAACAAAUCAAAGAGUUUGUGGAAGUUGGGCAUCAGGUAUUCUUUGUUUAUUACUAUUAUUGUUUAAAUUUUAUUUUAGCUCAACGGUAUCUCUUUGUGAUUGUGAUCCUGGUGCUGGAUAAGUAUGCAUCUUUGAAUUUAUUGUCUUAGCAGAAUUUAAAUGAAGGAACUGAUGAUCUAAAUGAAGAAAUUCUUGCGAAGCUUUCGUCAUGUUUGCUGCCCAUGGCAAAACGGCAUGAAUGCUACAGUACUUUAUGGAAAAUAUGCUGUGACCUGAAUGAUUCUGGACUACUAAGAAAUCUGAUGGUAUGACAGUUAUAAUUUCUUCGGCUUGUUACUUGUUUAUUUUCAUUUGUUUUCUGAAACUUAUGGAAUGGUUUCUCUGUUGGAAAGGUUGUUCUGUGCUAGUGUGUAGUAUUAGUCCGUUGGAAUUCAUUUAACCAUUGAAGCAUAGUAACCUGCGUUGGUUGUUUCUUGAAGCUCUUCCUCUUAAUGGUGCCACAGUUCUGAACGUUUACUUUGAAGCUGUUCUCUUCUAAUUAGAAUAAUUCUUCUGCAACUUUUUUCAUCAUUUCAAUGUUUAGUCCUACUUAGAAGUUUGUUAUUUUUAAGGAUUUCAUUAUUAUGUUUCUGUUUAAACUUAAAAACAUAGGUUUUCUCUUGAUCAUUUGCUUCGAAGAUAUUGUUUGAUGUGAUUUCUGUUUUCUCUUGUUUUCUUGUCUUAUUAGAUGUCUCCUUCGUUUUCUGAAAAUGAUUUGUUAUAUAGCAUGACAGCAGGGGACCUAAUGGAGGGUUCAGUUACUUUGUGUUCAAACAACUUUAUCUAAGGAGACAACUUUCCAAACUGCUUAGGCUUGGGGAAGAGUUUCCUGAAGAGUUAUCCAUAUUUUUAAAGUAUCAUCAAGAUCUUCUGUGGCUUCAUGAAGUGUUCCUUCAUCAAUUUUCUUCAGCUUCGGAAACUCUUCAUGAAUUAGCUCUUUCUCAAAAAGAAAGCUCAAUUUCAGAAGCUGAAGAGGGGACUGGUCCUGAGAAUCUGACUAUGUUACCGAAACUGGCAGACAGAAAGCGUUUUUUGAAUCUCUCAAAAAUAGCCGCAAUAGCAGGUAUGUUUUAUCCUUUGACUUUCCUUAAUAGUUUCUUCAUAUAAUUCCCCUCUUCUUGAGCGUUUUCUUGUUUUCUUUACACUGCAUACUCCAUAUGUUUUCUUAUUCUUUUAACUGUUAUUUAAAGAAAGUUUUAUUUUUAUUGCAAAAUCAAGUUGAUAUAGUAAUUUGUGCAAACCAUUAAGUCAAGCCACUUGAGGACUUCCCAUUUAAUGAGAAAUUGGUAAAUGCCUCUCUAGUAUAGCAAUCAAGGGUUGCUAGUUGUGAGAUAUAUUUUGGUUUCUGUGUUGUCUUGAUUUUUAUGAGUGGUUUUGUCAUCUAAAAGACCAAGUCAAACUUCCGCAUGUUACGAAUUGCUACAUGGUUCACUGCUUUGGGGUGUUGGAAAUGCUAAUAUUUUUUUGGCAUGGGAAGAUAAGAACAUUACUUGGUAAUUUUAUUUGUUUUAUUUUAGCUUGAGCUAUACUGGUUAUUUAAGUGUUAUAUAGUUGUUUGCUUCAUUGGCAGGUAAGGAUGUUGAUUCUGAGACCAAAGUGAAGCGCAUUGAGGCUGAUUUAAGGAUUCUAAAGUUGCAGGUCUGUUGUGUUUUAAAACAAAUUUAAUUGCCAUUUUUGUUUUUAGUUGAAGGGUCUUCCCGAUUAUUUUUCCUUUUUAAGAGCUUUCGUUAUUUGGGUAUCAGAAUUGGCAAAUCAGUCUUGUAUUAUCAUGCCUUCAUUAAAAAGAAAAAAGAGAGAAAGGAUUCUGCUUUUUAUGAUUGGGUAUGGGUUAACAGGAACAAUUCAUGUGCCAUGUCUCUUGCCCCUUCCUCCCUUCCACCCUUCAUAUUCCACGGUUGGCGGCAGUUCCAUGAAAAUUUUCUUCCAGUCAUUGCACUUGCAUGAUUAGAGCCCAAAUUCUCAAUGGUGAUGGUGCAUUUUUAGUCAUUUGUAUUAAAUUGCAUGAGCAAUUAAAUCAAGCUUAGCAGCUUGAGAAGGUUGUGCCUUGUUCUCUUCAUAUGUCCUAAUUGAACAAGGCAUAUAUAACAGAAUUUUCCACCCCUCCCACUCUAAUUAUUAAGGUGGAAAGUAAUUUAUUUUAUUUUCAAGGAUAGGACUUUUGGAAAUCAGUAGUGAUCAAGCAAAGCCUUGAAUUAUGACUUAUUUUUUAACUCUUGAAUAUGAUGAAUCUCUUUCAACUAUGUACAUUCACUGUCAGUCUUCACCUGAUACAUCAUCUGUUGUUGCAGGAAGAAAUAAUAAACCUCCUUCCUGAUGAUGAAACAAAGCAAAGCCUUGACACAAAGCUACUUCAUCCAGAAGAUCUUAUCAAGCUGUGCCUUGAAGGUGAAAAAGGUGCAGAGCUGUCACUGCGAGCUUUCGAUGUAUUUGCAUGGACCAGCUCCUCCUUCCGUAAGACCCGUGCAAACCUUUUAGAGGAGUGCUGGAGAAAUGCUGCUGAUCAAGAUGAUUGGAGCAAACUCUAUCAGGCAUCGGUAUCUGAAGGGUGGAGUGAUGAGGAAACCUUGCAGAACUUGAAAGACACCGUGCUUUUCCAGGCAUCAAAUAGAUGUUAUGGACCAGAAGCUGAAACUUUUGGAGAAGGGUUCGACAAAGUGUUGUCACUGAGACAAGAAAUCGCGGAGCCUCCAAUCAUAAAGGAUUCAGUUUCUUCUGUGGAAGCAGUACUCAUGCAGCAUAAGGAUUAUUCAGAGGCAGGGAAGCUGAUGCUGACCGCGAUCAUGUUGGGUAGUUUACAGGACGAUAACAUAGAACAAGAAGGUCCUGUGCCAAUGGAAUGAGAGUCAGAUUAGUAUGAAUCAUGGUGAUGAGUUCCUGGAUGUGUCAUUGUUUUUUUUUUGUUGAUACACUGAGAUUCGUAGUGUACUAGUCGACAAGUUACAGCUAAAUUUUCUCUUUUCCUUUUUCUUUUUCUUUUCCCUUGUGAAAUUCUCCAACCAAGUUUAUACGAACAUUUGUCAGUCUACUCCGAUGCUUUACUGGUUGUCAGUUGUAAGAAUUUUCUAAGAAGGCGGCAAGUUUUCUUUUUAUAUAUAUAUAUGAACAAGGGAAUUGAACCUGGGAUUGGAAUCCGCAGUAAUUCAUGCAAGCAGUUGCAUUAUCGGCAAUUUCUGUCAAAUUUAAGAAUGCCUUUAGUUUUGCCUUUAGUUUUAAGGGAAAACAAAGCGUGACAAAAUCAGACCAAAAUUGAAGAAAUAAGAAGAAAAAAAGAGUGCAGUUUCGGCGUUUCUUUCUUUGCCGCGUUGCCUUCCAUUACCUCGAAAAUACAUCUAAAUUUCAAGAAAAAUAGAUUUAUUUUGAGGCGGAAAAAUGCAUGAUGAAUUUACCGGGAAAUACUACUGGUUUUGUUGAUGAAUUUCGUUGAAGUAGAAUGCUUUUCUUCUUCCUCUUCUUCCAUUGCCAACUACUUUUGCAUUCUAUUAAAGCCUCUUAUUUUUGGUCAAAAACUACUGCGGCAGGCAAGCCAAUGUGAAGAAGAAGAGGGUCCCCUGCCAAUGGAGCGACAGUCGGGGUUAGUAUUGAAUCAUGAUGUUGAGCUCUUGAAUCGAAUCUCUUUUUUGCUACUUCUAUAAUUAAUAAAAUAUUCAAAAAUGUAGAAAUGAGUUUAGCCAAGUUGGCUAGUGGAUGUGCUUCCCACUCUGCACUGACUUCGAAUUCCCCCACUCUUAGGUUUAUAUCAGUUCAAAGUAGAUUAUCGCUUGUAUAUAUUUUUUUAAAAAAAUAAAUUUUUUUUUUUCAAAAGUAAUUGAUCAUUUGUUUUCCUUUUUUGUUCUUCCCAUAUAAAAUUGCUCUAAAAGGAAAUAUUUGUAAGUUUACUCGUUAUCAUUUACUGAGCGAUUAUAUAUUUUGAAGUGGAUAUUUUAGGUUAUUCUUACAUAAAAAUUUUCUAGAUUCAUAAUUGUUUGGUUAUCCUAAAUGUGAAGAAAAAUGUUGUUCGAUAAAUAAAAUUGAAAAGAAGAUGCGGGUAAUCAAAUAACUAAAUAAUUUUCGAUUCUGCUCAUUUUUUAUAUGUUAAGUAAUUCUUGAAAGAGAACUUAAAAAUUGAAUGGUUUCGAUGCUCGAUUUACAGCCCAUAAAUAGGGUUUCCUUGUUUUCAUUUCCCUUGAAAGUGUUCAGCUCUACCUAUGGUUACUGUGUCAUACCAAUUUCCAAACUGUUGUUAUUUAUAUUAAUUUCUUUUAUACAAUAUCCAAAGUCUUGCCUCUAAUACAAAAUCUUUUUCCGUAGGGUUGGUGCUGAAUAUCUUGGUUUGGAAUUUUUAAAGAGGAUUAUUGAACAAGACGACCCCAAAACGAAAUGAACAACACUAAUCUAUUUGUUAGUGGUUACUUAGACUAAUUAAGUAAAAUAAUGAAUAUUCGUUAAUAUACUAGACAAGACAAGCAAGUCAAGUACUUUGCACUACAGACCAAAGCAAAGACUCGUGUAGCUUUUGUUAUGUUUGGAGACUUUUUACAUUAUCUCUAUUAUUUUUUUUAUUCCGACCACAUGACGUGCUACUAUGCAUGAAUAAAUAUCAUUUGAGAACAAGCAAGCCUCAUUGACUUCUUACACCAAAUACUAAAUACAUUUCUUGCUCGUUUGUGAUUUCUUGUUUAGGAAGGACUUUUGUUUAUUAGCGCUUUUAUUAUAAAAUAUUAAAAAUUUUAUAAGAAAUUUCAGUGCUUUCUAGAAAAUCAUUUUGAAGUGAUUCAUGAAGAAGCUCAUAGCAAAUGCUUCUCCAUAAAGUGCUUUUAUGACCCAUAAGUGCUUUUAUUUAUUUUUAAUUUUAUCAAACGUUGUUGUUGUCACCAAAAAUGUGUCGUUUUAAAUUUAUAAAUACUUGCAAGCACACGAAUCGGAUAUAGUAUAGAUGUGUAAGAACCAGGUCGUACCCAUAAAGAUUGAGUGAAAAAUAUAGAAAACUAAUUAAACCCAAGUUAAUUUUAUUGCCAACCUAGUUGAAUCAAAUGGUGAUUUGUUCGUUGAUAAAGAAAAUUAAAUAAAGCAAAAAAAAAUGGAAAUUAAAAUAGAGAUUAAAUUAAUGAGAAAAGUAACUAAGGUAUUAGAAUCCACACCACUAUUUCAUAAAACUCUAAUUAUUUACCUGUUAAUUUCCACGCUGAGUAGCAAUCUAGAAGUCAACCUAUUACUUUCUCAAGAUAUAUCAUUUAGGCCCUUUAAUGAAUCUUUUUGUAAAUUCCCCUUCCCUUCAUUAGUACAAAUUCUAAGCAUCGCAUGUAAACAAAAUUUUUUUAACUACGAAGGAUCAAAGUUUCCUAAGCAUCCUAGGUGAAAAAGGUUAUUUGAAUGACAAGAGAUCAAAGAAAUUUGGAUACUAAAAAUACAAAACCAAGGAUGUAUUAAUAAAUCAACCCAAAUUCUUAACUACCACAAAUACACGAUAGAAGUGGUGAAAAGAAAGUUAAUCUACUAAUCAUGUGAAGUGGAAAUUAUAAACAUUGAAUAAUUUACUUCGGAAACUAGAAGAUAAAAACUAGAACUUCAUUUUAUAAUGAUGUUUCAUUAUUAACAAAAUUUAACUAGACAUAAAUAAAAUAACAAAAUAAUUACAAGAUAAAAACUAAAGUGGAAAUGAAAAAGGGAAAAUUGCAUCAUUAACCCUUUGGAUCCUUGCCUGUCGGCUCCCCAAGGUUCUCUCCAAUUCUAUCGCAUUUUCUCUCCUCUUUCUUUCUCUUUCUCUCUUUCCUUCUCUUUGCCGUGUAUCUCUUGGUACCUCACAUCUUUGCUCCAAGCUUUUAAUUAUAAUCAAAGUUUAGGAGCUUAAAUGAUAGAAUAAUCAAGAGAGAAUAAGAAUUCUGGUCUUAUCUAUGCACAUUACAAUAGAACACAAAGUGGCAAUAAUGUCAACUACACUUUUAUUUUAUUUUCUCUCUUUUGAGUGCCAAUUUUCCACAAUCCCGCGUGGCAAACGCGUAUAGAGACGAAGCCACACCACCACUCCCUCCCUCCCAGAAAAAAAUUUCACUACAAAACAAUACAAACAAAGAGAAAGAGGCUUACAUUACAUAAUGUCAUAAAACAAAAUAUGAAAAUAAAAAGAAGCUCCCUGUUGUACAUCAAAUUUAAUUUAUAAUCUCUAGGGAAAUUAAUUUUCUGGGUAAUUUACAAUGUGUAGUUUCCAGGUCGCUUCCUUUAUGGGGGCAAAAUUGUAAAAUGCAACAUAUCUCACGUCUAUAAAAAACCCCCAAUCAUCACUCAACUAAUCACACCUCAACCUCAUUUCCUCAUCCUAUUUCUAUCAUUAACUGCAGUGUCUUUCUUGACAUUAUUCAAUAAAUCCCAUGUUUGUUUUUUCUCUGCUACGCAUUAAUCUGGGGGAAAAGGCUAAUUUAAGUACUCUCCAAAGCCAGCACUCACCAAUUCCCUUUUCCGUGAAUCAAAUGAGGCCUAAUAUUUCAUUUUAGUCGCACAAAUUUCUUUGUGAGCUUUUUUGAAGCACUUUCCAAACCCAGCACUCAACAACUCCUUGAGCCUUCCUCAUUUAGUCAUAUACGUACGGUGAGUCCAAUAUUCCAUGCCAAAUCUUUUUUGAUCUUUUUUUUGAACAUUUUUUUUUGUCUGACCAUUUGUCUAAUUUUGUAGUUGCACCAAGAAACAUGUUCCUAGAGCCAAAAACAGAUGAUCAAGCUUCCGAAGGUGUGGGCAGCAGCACUAGCUUGCUCAUUCAAACCAUCAACACUUCUGGCCAAUACGUGCGGCGCAAGAGAUGGCUUAGAUAUAUUGCUCUAGGCGUUUUCAUCUCCUCACGCAGUAAGAAAACCAGAUUGCCCCAUGAAGCCCCUACCUAUGAACCUUUAGAAGCACCGGCACCACCGGCCCCUGCCUUUCAGCAUGCGAUUGACAUCCCUCUUCAGGACCGGUUUCUGAACAAGGUUGGUCGCAUUGUGAGAGAGAAGAACUUGAAUGCACUGCGAGGACUUGGUGGUGUUGCUGGCAUUUUGCCCCUUCUCAGUUCUCACUUUGAGGUAGCAAGCAAAUAAGUAGGAAAAACAAAAACAAAAAAAACAAAAAAAAACUUAAUAAUCUUAUACACUUGAUAAGGAAUGAUUGAGAAUGAUUGAACUUAACUUUGUUAAGUUAAUCAUAUUCGUUCUUUAUAUGACAGGAUGAUGGUGUUGAUGGUGGUCAAAAUCCACAAGGAUGGAACACGACCAAGUCCCCAGUUGAUGCAAAAAGCUUCUCCAACUUCUUGUUGAAGGCUUGCAAUCAAUAUACAGUUUUUUUCCUCUUACUCUCAGCAGGGUUUUCGUUUGCCAUUGAAUUCAUGAAGCAAGGAGUCAAACAAGGGUGGCACGACGGUGUUGCCAUACUCUUUGCGGUGUUCUUACUUGUUGCUUUCCCUUCAGUGGGGAACUACCUCCAUGAGAGAAAGCUGGUGAGGAAGCACCUGCUGGACAGGAGCAGACUGAUGGUGAAUGUUGAAAGGAGUAACAGAGAACCUACAUCAGUUAACAUAUCUAGUGUUGUGGUGGGCGAUAUAGUUCAUUUGAAGGAAGGAGACCGCGUCCCUGCCGAUGGUUUGUUCAUAGAUCAUGGUGAGGACUUGAUGUUGGAUGAGGUAUUGAACCCCAAAAUUGAUUGUCAACAAAACCCGUUUGUGUUGUCUGGUUCAAAGGUUAUUAAGGGGCAUGGUCGCAUGGUUGUGACAUGUAUUGGUGCCAAAACAGUUUUUGCUGAGAUGCACAGCUUGGGGACUAAUCAUAAUCCAAACGAAAAGACGCUGUUACAAGAUUUGUUGGACAAGCCAUUUGAUUGUAUGGAUUAUCUUGCGGUUUGUGUCUCUCUACUGAUUGCUCUCGUGGUGCUAAUACGGCUAUUAUUCUUCAGGAAGCAUGACAAUUACAAUGACAGGCCAGAACUGAAAGGGGAAGGUUCAAUGAACUUGGUAAUGAGGAUCUUUGAGAAAAUUUUCUUGAAACCUCAAGGACGGUUUUCCACUUUAGCAGGUGUUCUUGCAACCGCGGUGAUAGGGAUACAACAUGGAAUGCCUUUUGCGAUUACAGUUGCCCUUUGUCAAUAGAAGGAGAAGGUGGUCCAAAAUCAGGCAAAGCCUCAGAAUCUAUCAGCUUGUGUCACCAUGGGACUAAUAACAGUCAUCUGCAUAGAAACAACUGGUGAGCUAAUGUGUAGUCCGGGGGAGGUUAAGGAAUUUUGGAUGGGUGGAAAGGAUUUAUGCAGUGAUGAAGUGGACUCUGAAGCUGACCAAGUUGUUCUUGAAACACUGCAUCAGGGGAUUUCUGCUACCUCAUCCCCAACAAAAGAUUUGCUCAUUUCUUGGCUGAAGACCAGAUGGGGUGCUAACAUGGAGUUAUUGAAUGAAACAGGUAAUACCAUUGAGCAGAGACAAUUGAGCUCUGAUGAGAAAUGCAGUGGGAUUUUAGUGGAGAAAAUUGUGAACGAUGAACAAAUUCUGCAGUUGCACUGCAAUGGGGAUGCAUCAACAAUAUUACAUAAGUGUUCACAUUACAAUGAUAACAGAGGGGAAAGUAAAACUAUGAAAAACCAGAACAGAAGAUUUAAGCAGGUGAUUAAUAAAAUGGAGGAGAAUGGUCUUAGGCCCAUUGCAUUUGCUUACAAGAAAACAGAAGUCCAUGAAGUUACAGAAGAUGGGUUGAUUUUGUUGGCAAUCGUGGGCGUUAGACGCCCAUAUCAAGAAGAGCUUAAAUUGGCAGUCGAAGCUCUUAAAAGGGUUGGAGUAAGCAUCAAACUGGUGUCAGAGGAUGAGCUCUCAACAGUGAGAGCCAGGGCUUCACAACUUGGAAUCUCCCCCGGUUCAAAUGACAUGGAAAUUGAAGGAGAAGUUUUCCGAAGACUGAAUUCCAUGGAAAGGCAGGAUAAGAUGGAUAUGAUCUCUUUGAUGGGAAGGUCCCUCCCUAAGGACAAGUUUCUCAUGGUGGAUCGCUUAAGGAAAAAAGGUCACAUAGUUGCAUUCUAUGGAGGGUUGACCAUAAGCGACACUCCGACCUUAAAAGAAGCUGAUGUAGGAGUCAUAGAUGAUAUCCGGAGCACAGAAAUGGCUAGAGAGAAUGCUGAUCUUAUAGUUAGAAAUGUCUGUUUACUAGCCCCUAUUUGGAAGUCUGGUGCAUGUGCUUACCACAACAUUCAGCAAUUCUCUCAACUUCAGCUCACUGCUUGCAUAUCCGGGCUACUGAUAACCUUAGUGGCAACAAUGCAUUCCGGAGAGUCCCCGUUAUCCGCAGUUCACUUGAUUUGGGUGAACUUGAUUAUGUGCCUUCUUGGUGGCCUCAUGAUGGUGAUGGAGUUACGAGGCCCAGAACUACUCACUCAAAGACCUGCAAAGAGGACUGAGUCACUUAUAACACCAGUCAUUUGGAGAAACAUAGCAAUUCAAGUUUCAUCUCAGGCUUCUGUCUUGCUGAUCUUACAUUUCAUGGGAAAUGCAGUACCAAGCAUGGAUCAAGGCAUCCGGAAUACGAUGAUUUUCAAUACUUUCACCUUGUGCCAGGUCCUUAAUCUGUUGAGUGCCAUGCACUUGGUGAAGAAGGAAAUGCUACUAGUUGUCCUCCACAACUAUUGGUUUCUGAUGGCUUUGGGGGCUGUUUUGAUCAUGCAGGUGAUGAUUGUUGAGUUUGGAAAAGGGCUAGUUAGUGGUGCGAGGUUGAAUGCACUGCAAUGGUUGAUCUGUUUCCUUCUUGCUGCUCUUUCAUGGGGAUUUGAUUGGACCUUUAAAUUGCUUUCAGAUAGCAUCGAAAGAACAACUUCGGCAUUGAUGGUGAAUUCACAUGUGGGGUUCUCAAAUAGGAGGCGCAGAUUAUACAUUUCUAUUUGGUUGUUCCUGAUCUUCUCCGUAUCGUUGUUUUGUUUUCACCCAGUUUCUCAGCUCGCUAGCACAUAUAUCAGUUAAAUUGGAAGUCUCCCAUGGAAGUCUUAACAAAGUUAAUAAACCAUGUAGUCAUCUUGUGGUCUGUCUGUGUUCCUACUUGUUCUGCACAAUGCCAUCUCUAAAAUGUGAAUAAGUUAUUCUCCUGCCUUUUUACCAUGAGCCUUCGCGACAAUAGACCAGAAUGCUAAUAGAUAUUACAUUGUAGUUGAUCAUAGACAAUGUAGGUGAGCUUAUGUUAUUUACUCUUCGGGACAUUCUCCAAUAAGUAUUUAAAUUAAGGAUUAGUUACAUACUUCUAAUCUCGACUGUUGGAUUGCAUCUAAGAGAAUACGAACACAUUAAAUGAAUGCAAGCCAACAGCUAAGAUUAGAAGUAUGUAACCAAUCCUUAAAAUACUUUUUGGAGAAUCUCCCUUUCUGCCCUGCUAUGGUUUGCUGUUGUUUUGUCAAUACUGCGGCAAAUUAACCUUUUCACAGCAGCCAAGGAACAGUUCUAAUUUUAGAGGUUGGCGUUUUUUACCUCAAGCCUACAAAAACACCCAAGGAAAGUUUAUGCUUUCAUGAUUUCAUCAAUGGGGGCCUAUUAAAUAUUUGUCUUCUGGUUGGAGCUGGCAUGAACUUCUACAGUACAACUAAUCUUGUGGCCUGCGUUCACCAACCACAAAAAUUGCACCAAUUUGCCAGCCACGUGGCUAAGAGAUAACCUCUCUCUCACUAGAACAAUCAGUUUGGAAAUCUAAAUCCAAUUGAGAACCAAUAGAAUGUUGCUGAUGUGUAGAUAUCCUAAUCCACAACAUCUUCACAUUCCCGUUAUAACAUCCCAGCGCUCUAGUUGUCCAAGGCAUCUCAUUAGGCCUCACAACACCACCCCACUUCGAACAGGAGAGCAUAGUCAUGGCAACCUCUGCAAUCCAACAAUCAGCAUUUGCUGGCCAGACUGCUUUGAAGCAGUCAAAUGAGCUCAUCCGAAAGAUUGGCGGCCUUGGUGGCGGCCGCAUCACCAUGAGGCGCACCGUCAAAAGCACCCCCCAAAGCAUAUGGUAAGUACCUUGGCUCUAGCCUGUGAGAAUAAGAUAUUUUUUUCCAAGCAACUCUACUAAAACUUCCAUGUGUAUAGAUAUGGUCACUGAUACAUAUUACGCUAUUGGAGUAAAUUAAAGUAUCUAGUAGUAUUGAGAGUCAUGGAUUCGACGUAAACUUCUAAUCAAAAUGAUGUUUAGAUUACAAUGACAGAAUCUCUAACAAUCUAUUCUACCUCAAUGCAUAAAGUUACAGUGUUACAAGACCAACAUGCUCAACAUAGCAUUAGGAAGUUUACACCAUACCCAUACCUUUUAAAGCCAAGGCCUUGAGCUUAUUAUGCUAACCCUCUUCACUGUAAUUAACAAAACAGGUAUGGCCCAGACCGCCCAAAAUACUUGGGACCAUUCUCUGAGCAAACUCCAUCAUACUUGACUGGUGAAUUCCCUGGUGACUACGGAUGGGACACUGCUGGACUAUCCGCAGACCCUGAGACAUUUGCCAAAAACCGUGAGCUUGAGGUGAUCCACAGCCGAUGGGCCAUGCUUGGUGCACUGGGAUGUGUCUUCCCAGAAAUCCUGUCAAAGAAUGGUGUCAAGUUCGGCGAGGCUGUUUGGUUCAAGGCUGGAUCUCAAAUCUUCUCCGAGGGUGGCCUUGACUAUCUUGGCAACCCAAACCUUGUCCAUGCCCAGAGCAUCUUGGCAAUCUGGGCUGUCCAGGUUGUGCUCAUGGGAUUUGUCGAAGGAUACAGGGUUGGUGGAGGACCACUUGGUGAAGGACUGGAUCCACUUUACCCUGGAGGGGCCUUUGACCCACUUGGACUGGCUGAUGAUCCUGAGGCGUUUGCUGAACUGAAGGUGAAAGAGCUUAAGAAUGGGCGGCUGGCAAUGACUUCAAUGUUUGGAUUCUUUGUUCAGGCUAUUGUAACUGGAAAGGGCCCAGUUGAGAACCUAUAUGACCAUGUUGCUGAUCCAGUUGCCAACAAUGCAUGGGCUUAUGCCACCAACUUUGUCCCUGGAAAAUGAAGAAACCUAAAUGCAUGGCUGUUCAUAUGUAACAUUACCCGAACUUCUUGCCUUUGUUGAGGUUCUGUUGUUGUGGACUCCAUUAGUUCUGAUGUAAUCUUACUAGAAACUGCUUGUAUUGAAAUCACUUAUCCAGUAAAACCGCCCAGCUCCUUUGUGCUUGAACUCCUUAUUUGUCUAGAUGUGUUGAACAUUCAAAAGUUCCAGUCAACAAAUGCAUGCUUUGCUACAAUAUAGUAAAUCUAAACCAGAGAAUAAAUAUAUAACAACCAAAAUACAAGGGAAAAUAAAAAUUAAAACCAAAUCAUAUGAUUAUCAGAUUCAUCUUAGGUUUCUUCAUCUAUUCCUCCCCAUUAGGCAAAUUAAGUUUAACCAGCGCAUACAGAGAAUGUGGGAAAGAUUUCUGCAAACUUUUACCCACUGAACACUGGCUAUCAUCUCUAAUUUUAAUAUCAGCAUAAUGAAGACUGCCUAAGCUAUUAGUAUUACGGACACAUAGUAUAUGGAUUUGGCCAAUGCAGGGUGAAAGGAAUGAUGGGAAGAGCUAUCAUCUCUUACUAUAAUCUCAGUAUAAUGAAGAUUGCCCAAAUAGCUAAGGGCAGCCACAAUCCUGUUGCAAGAAAGGCUGUUUUGGGCUCUGGGCAAGCCAUACUGGUAUCGUGUCGAUAUAGAUGUCAACAUGUUUGUCAUAUGGAUGGUGAUAUGUUAUUUAUAUGGAUGUUGAUAUGUUGUCAGUGUGGAUGUCGAUAUGUUGUUGAGUAUCCCACUCCAGCUACAGUGGAGUGGGAUAUAUGUAUAUAAUAUUACACAAUAAGUGCCCACAAAGAGAAUGUACAAAACAAAGAGAAUCAGAGCACAAAGAGAAUGUAUGAAACAACAAAUUUGGAAAAUUUUCAGCAAACAAACUUUUGCCAACUGAAACUUUUCACAUGAUGGGAGGAGCUAUUAUCUUUCAGUAUAAUGAACAAUUCUUGUAGGGGUAACCAGUAUACAACGAAGAUUGCCUCUAAUACUAAGGGCACCUAGUGUACGAGCCUUCUGCCAAUGCAGGGUGAAAGAAGCGAUGGGAAUGACUAUUAUAUCUCACUGUCACUAUAAAUUCAGACUCUCUGUAUAAGAUAGCCUAUCUUGCACUAGUCUCUGGCCAAUUCAGCAUCUAGGGAGAGCAAGACCUAUGCAGUCAUAUCCCUGUAACAAGGGGGGCUGUUUUUGCUGGGGACAAUCAUUACAUCAAGAAACACCUUCAAGAAUGUCUAUACUGCUAAAUCUCAAAAGGAACACAAAGAAAUGCAUAAAAUCAGAAGAAAUGAUACCAGUGGCCAAUUUUAAGAGUGGAAGAAUAGAGGUAGAGGCAUUCUGAUGCUUAUUGCUUCGAGCAGAUCAACACAAGCGUCAAUGCAGCAGACAAACAAGUCAGUCACCAAAAAUCUUUGCAAGAACAUGACCCAUUUCUGAAAUGAUGGAAACGACUAUUAUCUCUCACAAUAAUCUCACGAUCAUAGAUACUGGAUAGGAGUUUAGUGACAGAGUGGCAAUCGUUACAGACACGAAGAUUCUUUAUAAUGCGAAUAGGACUCCCAGAUUCCAAAUUAAUAAGACCAUAUGCAAUAGCCAAUCUCUCGCUAUGGUUUUCCAAUUCAGCUUCCUUCUCUUUUUCCUCUUCAAGACACAACAGAACUUGACUUGUGUCAGGAACAUGUCCUUCGGAUUUCAGUUUCUCUCUCAUCUCAGUCAACUUAGAAUAUAUGUCUUUUGUCCGAGGAUGUGAUUUGUCACCGACAAUAAACCCAUGAAGCACACCUCUGUGCUCUAUGGAACUGCAUCCUGGGUCCUUUUUUACUCCUCUCUUUCUCAUAAUUUCUCUUACCUGUGAAACUUUCUCCCACUUAUCAGCCGCAGCAUACAUGUUAGAAAGAAGAACAUAGCAUCCAACAGUGUCUGGAGACACGUCAAUCAAAUGGCGAGCUGCAUAAUCACCAACUUCAACAUUUCCCUGGUUCCGAGCACCACUAAGCAAACUCAUCCAAAUUACUUUGUUUGGUUUCAUGGGCAUACCUUCAAUGACAUUCUUUGCCUCGUCCAGACAACCAGCGCGGCAUAAAAUGUCUACAAAACAACCAUAGUGUUCAAUUGUGGGUUCAAUUUCAUAAUCAUUUAUCAUCAGAUUGAAAUAGUAACGACCAAGAUCAACCAAUCCUGCAUGACUACAUGCAUUCAAGACUCCGAUAAAAGUUAUACUAUGAGGGCGCAUUCCAUUUUUGCGCAUCUCAAGGAAUAGCUCAAGAACCUGGUCGGCCAUACCAUGCAUUCCUAAACCAACAAUUAUAGCAGUCCAAUGCCCCAAUUUCUUCCUGUCUAUAGCUCGAAAUACAGCCAGAGCACUCUCUAUGCUCCCACACUUGGAAUACAAUUCUAUCAAUGAUGUACCAAGCACACCAUCUAAAUCAAAUCCAUGUUUUACCAUGAAAGAAUGUAUCCAUCUCCCCUUACUUAGAGUGGCUAAUCCUGAAACGGCAGAAAGAGCACUGACUAAUGUAGCAUGACUAGGCAUAAUAUCUUCUUCCAAAAUUUCCUGAAACAACUCCAAUGCUUCCAUAAACUGUCCAUUAAAUUCAUAACCUGCAAUCAUCGAAUUCCAAGUAAUUAUAUCUCUUGUUGGCAUCAGACCAAACAAUUGACGUGCCAUCUCAAAAUCUCCGGAUUUCAUGUAACCAUUAAUCAUGGCAUUCCAAGAAACCAAAUUUCUAUUUGGCAUCCUAUCAAAUAUCUCCCUAGCCAUCUCUACCUUCCCGCAUUUUGAUAACCCGUCAACUAAAACAGUCCACGAAAAAGAAUCUCUCUCCUGCAUUUGAUCAAACAAUUCCAUUGCAACUUCUACUUCUCCACAUCUCGCAUACCCAUCAAUCAAAGAAUUCCAAGUAACCAAAUCUCUAUCAAGCAUUUGAUCAAACACUUUCCUAGCCAAACCAAUCUCACCACACUUUGAGUAUAAACUAACCAAACUACUCUGCACAAACUUAUCCAAACCAAGCCCAAUUUUCAACACCAACCCAUGAAUCUGUUUCCCUUCCCCAAUCGCAUUUAACCGAGCACAACCCUUUAUCACACACGGUACAGUAAAAUUAUCCGGAACAAGUUCAUGAAGCAAUUCAUAGAACAAAACAAUAGCAUCAUGGGAACGUUGGUUCCCAACAUAGCAUUUGAUGAGAACGUUCCAGGAAACCAAGGUGGGUUCUUCAAUUUGAUCGAAGACGGAGCGAGCAGAGUCAAGAUUGUUGAUUUUGGGGUCUGCGUAGAGAGAUAAGAAACGGGAAGCAAUUGCUGGGUGGCUGAAAGUUCCGGUUUUGAGGGAUAUGGCGUGGUGUUGCUCUGCUUCUCGUUGGGUUUUACAGGUUUGGAGAAGCGAAAAGGGGAGGCUUUGAGGAGAGAGCAAUGGUUGAUGGAGAGAGUGAGAAGGCGUGAGUUGAAGCAUUGCUAUGGCUUUGGUGGAUCAGAUGAUUGACUGAAGGGCUCUGUGUGUGGCUUAUUAUAAAGGGAAAUAGCUCAAAAUAUCACCAAUUUUAUAAUUUUAUGUCAAAAUACCACCCCUUCUCAAAAAUUUUAAAACUAUGACCUAUAAAUACAUUUUUAUUGUAAAUUGAUUGCACCCAUAUCACAUUUUCAGAAAACCUGAGGGGAACUACGGGUUUAGAAUGACUUCGCCUCCGCCUCUUUUCUCGUUCGAUCGUCUACGGCCUCCGCUUCCUCUCUCCUUCGUUCUUCUACGCCCCUGCCUCCGCCUCUGCUUUUUCGAUUGUCUGCCUUCCUCCUCCUCCUCUGCUUUUUCGAUUGUCUACCUUCCUCCUCCUCCUCCUACUUGGCUCUUCUCCUUAGCUAUCAGCUAUUUCAUACCCAGAAGUGUUGGAUCCUGAGCAAGCAGUGAAAGGGCUAUCUGGUAAUCUAAUGACUAAUACUAUUAGUUGGAUAUGCUGUAUGUUUUCUCUUCAAAAUUCUAGAUUUAGUAGGGUUGGCAUACACUAUCAUGACCUGAUAUAUUUUCAGUCUGUUUUAAUUACUGGCUAUUAGGGUGUGGUUUGAAACUUUGACUGAUGGGGUGGGGGAGCUUGGACGGAGUUUUCUUAUUUUUGUGAAAUGGGUUUUGGAGGAUUAGGGAUUUUAGGGGAGUGUGUGAGUUCGCUGUUUUGGUGGAAGAUAUAUGCAGAAGGGUUAUGAUGAUGAUGGGGGUGGGUUUUUGUGUUUUGUUAAUUCUUUUGUUUGUCGGAAGAAGAAUGAGAUAUUUUUCCAACUCUUAUGAGUGAGUUGGGUUCAAAAGCAAUUAUUGUUGGUUUUAUAUUUUGAUUUAUUUGCAACUGUCUUUAUAGAAUUUAAUUUUUAAUAGUAAUAUAUGUAUUCUUCAUGAAUGGUUUUGCUCUGUUCAGGUGCGUCUGUCUACAUGGGUUUGUGCUUGAAGCAUAAUGCAAGUUUUGUUAAUAAAUUCUCUGUUUUAUGCUGUGCAGGUGUGAAUUGGAAUAAAUAAAAAAAAUUUGCUGGGUUUUUGAGACUUGUGAUGUUAUUCAUCAGUAUUCAUGCCUGGUUUCUUCUUGCAAUAAUUUUGUUGAUUGUGAGCUUUUCCCUCUAGCGCUUGUUGCUGAUACUGAUUGUGAAGGUGAAUUGGUUGUGCUUUAUGAUGUUUGAACCUCAUUUCUGUUUCUUCUCUUUCAUGCCAAUAGGUUGUAGGAAACUCCGCUCUCAAACAUAGGCAAUGAACAAUUGAGUUGACAUGCUGCUGGGAGAAUUGUUUGCAAUGCAGAGAAGACUUGUCUCUUACUUUUGUGAUGAUGAACUGGGUGAGAUUCUUUAAGAGUGAUGUGUCAUAUUUGAAUUUUUGAAUAUCAUAUUUUAGUUUUGUUUUUAAGUUUUGAACCUUGUUCUAUUUCAGCAUCCUAUAGACCUGUGUUAACUUAUAUCUACAUGUGAUAUGGAUAUAACUUAUGCUUUCAAAUUAAUUUGACUUGUGUUAUAUCUUGUUUCGUACCUUUGUUUCGAAAAUUUCUUUGUAAAGACCAAAAAGAAUAGUGUGUUUUUUUUUUUGGGUGGUAUUUUUGUUAAUGAUAAUUAUAGUAUUGAUUACUGGGUAGAGAAUGAGCUACAUUUUGUGCUUCAUGAAGUAAAAUGGCUGAGCAACUCAAAUUUGGUUUACACAACCAAGGCAAAAGGAAAAUACUAAUUUUGGAGCUUAUAUAUAGUGGUUAUAUAAGUUGCAGUUUUCGUUACUUGUAAAUCAUGAUUUCCUUAGCGUAUUUAAUUGCAUUGUGUUUCUCGUUUUGGGUAGAACAGAGUUUUCAAUGAUAGGAUUUAUUUGGAAAAAAGGAAUUCUGGUAGUUAUGCUGUGUUCUCUAUUUUUGCAUGAAAGUUGAAAGUAAGAUGUCCCCUUUAUAUGUGUGACAGCUUCAGGAUUAUGGCCUUCGUAUACUGAAGGGAAAUUGCUAUUUGAUCCUGUUAUAUCUUUUAUGGGACAAACAAAUGAGGGAAGUAGUGUUGAUUCAUCACAGAAAGCUGAGUCUUCAGAGCAUCCGCCAAAGGUUGACAAAUCAUCAGGGGAAUCUGAAUCUCCACAAAAACUCUCUACUGUUGAGGCAAAGGAAGGGGUCAAAAUAGAAACUUUACAACACUCUUCAACUGAACAGAUGGCUGAUAAGGAGGAAACUGAAGUUGUCAAGGAAGAAACAGAUGAUAAGCAUGCUGCGACGGUGGAGGAAACAAAGACAGUGAUAGCAGAGCCUGAAAAAUCUGAAUCUGAAUCAUCUUCACUGCCAGUUGAGCCCUUUGAACCCACUGUUAAGAAUGAUGGCCCAUCAGAAUCUGUGGGUUCUCAAGAUGACAACAAGAUUUCAGUAGUGGGACCCUCAGUAAAUCCAGAAACAAUGCAGGGUAAGUCAAGAGCUGUUGAGGUAGAUCAAGUUGAGGAGGGUCAUACUGUUCUCCGCGUGAGGCACAUGAUGUUGAUGUGGAUGAACAAAAGACACAGGUAGAGCAGAAGGAUGGACAUAUGACUCAGGCUGGAGAGAUUGUUGAAACAGUUGCUAUGGUUGAAGCUGAGACUCCAACUGAUAGCCAGCCUGGAGGUUUUCCUCUUUGCUAAUUUAGAAUCAUGUGCAGUUAUGAUUUUAGAUCUGUAGAUAACCUGUUGUUGCUGAUAUUGCUACACGGGAGGAGAACAGAACAACUUGGAAAAUGUGCAAGAAGGGAGAGCUAACUCAUACAACGAAGAACAAAUUGAUGAAGUUAAGAUCAAAUUAGUAGAAUUUGUGAGCUCUCCAUUAUUUAUAAUUAUAGGUAGGAAGUAUGUAUGUAAUAGAGCAAAGAUUGGUUGACUAUGUAAUAACAAUUGAAUUGUCAAGUUUUAUGAAAGAAAUAAUUUUUGCUUCUUGGGAUAGUAUUGUUAGGGUUCGGUGGCGAUUUAUUUUCCAUGUCUAAAUUGUAGUCUGUAAUGGAUGUGUGUGUAUUGUAUGUAGAUUGACUUAAUAUUGCUGUCCUAUUGCAUGUGUAUUGUACUAAUAUUGCCUGUGUAUUGUAUACAUAUUGUAUGCAUAUUGCCAUCGUAUUGCAUGUAUAUUGUAAUGCUAUUGCUAUCGUAUUGCCAUUAUAUUGCCCUAAUAUUGCCUCUCUAGUGUAUGUAUAUUGACUACGGCUCAUCAAUGGGUUUACGGUUUGGGCCAUAUUGCAUUUAAAAAUAAGACGAGGAGGAGAAAGAAACAACAUGCCUUUCAAAAACAGGCAGUCAGGUGCAUCAUAAUUGCAUCGUAAGACAUUGUAAGAAAUUAUUUUAAAAAAUAAUAACAACUAAAAAAUAAUUUACAAAAAAAGGAAGGUAUGAAUAAAGAGACAGAGAGCGAAUAAGGGGAGAAAGAGGCAGAACGAAGCUAGAGAGAGACAGAGAGAGAGCUGCGCUACAGAAAGAGAGCAAAGAGAGAGUUGCACUAGAGAGAGAGAGAGAGAGAGAGAGAGAGAGAGAGAGAGCCAAGAGAGAGAUAGAGAGCUGCGAUAGACAGAUACCAAAGAGAGAGAGAGAUGUGCUAGAGAGAGAGAGCCGAGUGAGCUAAGAGAGACAAAAUUUCUGAACAUGUGAAAAAUCAGCAAUAAGUGGACAAUAAUUAUAUUUUUAUAGGUGAUAUUGUAAUACUAUUGCUAUCGUAUUGUGGUUAUAUUGCUUUCAUAUUGCCUCUAUAGUGUACAUGUAUUGGCCUAAUAUUGCUAUCAUAUCGUAUGUCAAUGGCCAUUUGGUCUAAUAACAGAGUCUCCACUUCGUUGAAAAGUAAUCCUGAAUUCGAAUCUCAUGGACACGACAAUUGUUAUCCAUCCUUAUAUUAGCAUGAAUUGAUGUUGACCUUUGAAAUGAUAGUUGGAGUUGCACAUCGAUUCAUAUUCAAAAGGAAAGUAAUUCUCUCCCUCAAUGAAUCUUCGUUCAAAAGAAGGCAGCUAUCAAAUAUUGGUACAAAAAUGCAAGGUCCACAGUAAAUUAAUUGGACACAAACCACAUAUUACAAAACUAGGAUGAUUUUUGGCAUGCUUGAAAAGACAAGGGCCAAAUACAACAGAAAAGAAAAUCCAUUCAAGCUUCACACUAAACAUGGCUCAAGCACUCGACCAUGGUUUCAAUCCAAAACCUACCCAACAAGGGCAUACCACGUGUCCAUCAUAACAUAAUAGUGGCAUUUACAAAGCAUGAACUGCAAUAUGUUUCUUUUUCUCCUAAACAAAAUUGUUACUAAAAUGGAACAAAAGAUCCCUAACAUAGAGCAAUACAUGCAAAGAUAGUCAAUUGUCAUACACACAAAAUUAGUCCUCAUCCAUCCCUGCAUGCUGAUCUCUCUCACUAGGGCCACCUGCUGGUUUUGCCAUUAUAAUCUGCAAGAUAGUCAAAGCACUGUCAACAACCUUUUUUUAAUGAAGGUAUUAAACAUUAAAUAGGCUGCAAUCAGAUGGAUUCAUCAUUUCUCACAGAUUUUUAGCUAGCCAGAAAACCCCCAACAUAUAGAUUUUCUAUUUACUAUCCCUCCAUCCAGACCAUUGGUCAGAUGCGGUAAUGGUAUUUUUCAUAGUACCAUCUGUCAAAGUAUAUAUGACAGUUACUGACAUCAUGGAUGCACACAAAUGUUGUUUAUCUAACUCUACUGCAACUAGAGUUGUCACAAUCUUCCUCUUUCUCUUUCGAUCCAUGUCUACCCUGCCAUUAACAAUAUUGGCAAGAACAAAAUCAUAAUCUGUGACUUUCUUUUUUAUACUCAAACAUAAACUGAUUAUCAGAAAUUGCAGAACAUAGAAUUAUGGUGACAGAGAAGCACCACAUACCUGUUGGGUUGUUGUUGCUGCUGCUUAGACCCACUUUCAGCAGCUCCCUUUUGGUUCAAUAGCAAGUUUCAAUUUCAACUCAACUCUUAUGUCAAAAUUGCUUGCUACAACCUGCAAGAUAAGCAUAAUCAGCAGGAUUAAUACAAAGCAUUGUUGGCCAUGGCAUUGAAAGUUCUAAUACCAAUGAUGAGAACAGAGAGAAAUUAAAAAAAACAUUCUUUCUUAUACUCAAACAAAAACUGAUUAUUAGAUUAUAUGCAAAUUUAAUGUCAAUUCUCCAGACCACUUAAUGGCAUAAUUACUCGCUUGAAAUAGGAGAGAGAAAUACUAGAUAUGGAAUCACCUACUCCGCCAAUCAAUCUAAUUCUUGAUCUUCAUGAAUCGGAUCAAUUCAAAUACCCACGUCUUAAUAAAUACAUAGGAUGUACAGAAGACUAGCAAUACUGAUUUCAAUGCCAUGGCCUUUUUCCCUAUUUCCUUAACAGAGUUAAUAUGGGUUAAUAUUACAUGCACCCAUACAUCAUCAUAUUGGAUAUCAUGCUCUGUAACACCAGCUUGCAUCAUAUUCAACACAUUCCAAUUUGUCCAUACAUCAUUCAUGAUAAAAACACACUAUUCUUUUUGGUCUUUACAAAGAAAUUUUCGAAACAAAGGUACGAAACAAGAUAUAACACAAGUCAAAUUAAUUUGAAAGCAUAAGUUAUAUCCAUAUCACAUGUAGAUAUAAGUUAACACAGGUCUAUAGGAUGCUGAAAUAGAACAAAGUUCAAAACUUAAAAACAAAACUAAAAUAUGAUAUUCAAAAAUUCAAAUAUGACACAUCACUCUUAAAGAAUCUCACCCAGUUCAUCAUCACAAAAGUAAGAGACAAGUCUUCUCUGCAUUGCAAACAAUUCUCCCAGCAGCAUGUCAACUCAAUUGUUCAUUGCCUAUGUUUGAGAGCGGAGUUUCCUACAACCUAUUGGCAUGAAAGAGAAGAAACAGAAAUGAGGUUCAAACAUCAUAAAGCACAACCAAUUCACCUUCACAAUCAGUAUCAGCAACAAGCGCUAGAGGGAAAAGCUCACAAUCAACAAAAUUAUUGCAAGAAGAAACCAGGCAUGAAUACUGAUGAAUAACAUCACAAGUCUCAAAAACCCAGCAAAUUUUUUUUAUUUAUUCCAAUUCACACCUGCACAGCAUAAAACAGAGAAUUUAUUAACAAAACUUGCAUUAUGCUUCAAGCACAAACCCAUGUAGACAGACGCACCUGAACAGAGCAAAACCAUUCAUGAAGAAUACAUAUAUUACUAUUAAAAAUUAAAUUCUAUAAAGACAGUUGCAAAUAAAUCAAAAUAUAAAACCAACAAUAAUUGCUUUUGAACCCAACUCACUCAUAAGAGUUGGAAAAUAUCUCAUUCUUCUUCCGACAAACAAAAGAAUUAACAAAACACAAAAACCCACCCCCAUCANNNNNNNNNNNNNNNNNNNNNNNNNNNNNNNNNNNNNNNNNNNNNNNNNNNNNNNNNNNNNNNNNNNNNNNNNNNNNNNNNNNNNNNNNNNNNNNNNNNNNNNNNNNNNNNNNNNNNNNNNNNNNNNNNNNNNNNNNNNNNNNNNNNNNNNNNNNNNNNNNNNNNNNNNNNNNNNNNNNNNNNNNNNNNNNNNNNNNNNNNNNNNNNNNNNNNNNNNNNNNNNNNNNNNNNNNNNNNNNNNNNNNNNNNNNNNNNNNNNNNNNNNNNNNNNNNNNNNNNNNNNNNNNNNNNNNNNNNNNNNNNNNNNNNNNNNNNNNNNNNNNNNNNNNNNNNNNNNNNNNNNNNNNNNNNNNNNNNNNNNNNNNNNNNNNNNNNNNNNNNNNNNNNNNNNNNNNNNNNNNNNNNNNNNNNNNNNNNNNNNNNNNNNNNNNNNNNNNNNNNNNNNNNNNNNNNNNNNNNNNNNNNNNNNNNNNNNNNNNNNNNNNNNNNNNNNNNNNNNNNNNNNNNNNNNNNNNNNNNNNNNNNNNNNNNNNNNNNNNNNNNNNNNNNNNNNNNNNNNNNNNNNNNNNNNNNNNNNNNNNNNNNNNNNNNNNNNNNNNNNNNNNNNNNNNNNNNNNNNNNNNNNNNNNNNNNNNNNNNNNNNNNNNNNNNNNNNNNNNNNNNNNNNNNNNNNNNNNNNNNNNNNNNNNNNNNNNNNNNNNNNNNNNNNNNNNNNNNNNNNNNNNNNNNNNNNNNNNNNNNNNNNNNNNNNNNNNNNNNNNNNNNNNNNNNNNNNNNNNNNNNNNNNNNNNNNNNNNNNNNNNNNNNNNNNNNNNNNNNNNNNNNNNNNNNNNNNNNNNNNNNNNNNNNNNNNNNNNNNNNNNNNNNNNNNNNNNNNNNNNNNNNNNNNNNNNNNNNNNNNNNNNNNNNNNNNNNNNNNNNNNNNNNNNNNNNNNNNNNNNNNNNNNNNNNNNNNNNNNNNNNNNNNNNNNNNNNNNNNNNNNNNNNNNNNNNNNNNNNNNNNNNNNNNNNNNNNNNNNNNNNNNNNNNNNNNNNNNNNNNNNNNNNNNNNNNNNNNNNNNNNNNNNNNNNNNNNNNNNNNNNNNNNNNNNNNNNNNNNNNNNNNNNNNNNNNNNNNNNNNNNNNNNNNNNNNNNNNNNNNNNNNNNNNNNNNNNNNNNNNNNNNNNNNNNNNNNNNNNNNNNNNNNNNNNNNNNNNNNNNNNNNNNNNNNNNNNNNNCGUUCAGCAGCAACUCGGCGAGUCGACUCACCAUCCUCCCCAACUACCAACCAAGCCCCUCAUUCCAAAGGGCUCUGAAAACCUAAGAAAAAUCCAAACUUUACCAUCUUCGAAAACCCCUCAUGACCUCUCCAUAGCUCGACAUGUUAAAGCCCCUCAAAACCCCACCUCUCCUUCACCUACAAACCCUCCAUUCGCUAUUGGGUUCCCACCAUUUUAUCGAAUUCGCAUCAAGAACCAAGCUUUUCUCCCAACUCUCUCAUCCACCCUUCAAUCCUGCCCCAAACUUGGUGUUCCAAAUCCGUGACAUUCUGUGCGACCCUCAAUGGGAAAAGAGCUCAGAGCUCAGCUGGCUGAGCCCUAAGAUUAGAACCGAUCAUGUGUCAAAGAUUAUUGAGACCCACAAGAACACAGACUCGGCGUUAAGAUUCUUCUACUGGGUUUCUAAGAGACCUUCUUACCAGCAUGAUAUGAGCUGCUUCUCAUCAAUGCUGAAUAGGCUUGUGAACGAACGGCUUUUUGCGCCUGCAGACCGUGUGAGGAUUUUGAUGAUUAAAGCUUCUAGGAAGGAGGAAGAGCUUAAACGGGUAACUGAAUAUUUGAAUGAGAUGAGCCGACUUGGUUUUGAGUUUACAUUGUAUAGUUUUAAUACGCUUUUGAUUCAAUUGGGUAAGUUUGAGAUGGUUAGUAUAGCUCAAAAUGUUUAUACCCAGGUGCUAAGUAGUGGGAUUAAACCGAGUUUGUUGACAUUUAAUACAAUGCUCAAUAUAUUGUGUAAGAAGGGCAAGGUUCAGGAAGCAGAGUUGAUUUUGAGCAAGAUUUUUCAGUUUGAUAUGCUCCCGGAUGUUUUUACUUAUACAUCAUUGAUUCUUGGGCAUUGUAGAAAUCGUAACUUAGAUUUGGCAUUUGAGGUUUACGAUCAGAUGGUGAAGGCAGGUUGUGACCCGAAUUCAGUUACGUAUUCAACUCUUAUCAAUGGGUUAUGCAAUGAGGGGAGGGUGGAUGAGGCACUGGAUAUGCUUGAUGAAAUGGUAGAAAAAGGGAUUGAACCCACAUCAUAUACUUACACUGUCCCAAUUGCUUCACUAUGUGAGGCCGAUCGGCUGGUGGAAGCAAUUGGGCUUUUCAGAAGAAUGAGAAGCAGGGGUUGCCAUCCUACCGUUCAUACUUAUACAGCUUUGAUCAGUGGGUUGUCUCAGACGGGGAAACUCGAUGUUGCUAUUGGACUCUAUCACAAGCUUUUGAAGGAUGGUUUGGUCCCAAACACGGUUACCUUCAAUACAUUGAUAAAUGGAUUAAGUGAGACAGGAAGAUAUGACCUGGCUACGAAGAUUUUUUAUUGGGUGGAGAGACAUGGGACCUUGGCAAAUACCCAAACUCACAAUGAAAUCAUCAAAGUUUUCUGUUUGAUGGGUAACAUUAAUAACGCAAUGGCUCUUGUAAGCAAAAUGCUUAAAGUGGGACCAUCUCUAAAUGUGAUUACAUAUAACACACUCAUCAAUGGAUACCUCAGUGGAGGUCAGUUAAACAAUGCUAUGAGGUUGUUGGAUUUUAUGAAAGGGAGUGGAUGUGAACCAGAUGAAUGGACUUAUACUGAACUUAUUUCUGGGUUUUGCAAGGCAGGUAAGUCUGACUUUGCAUCUACUCUUUUCCGUGAGAUGGUAGAACAAAGAAUUAGUCCCAGUCAGGUUACCUACGCUGCUUUGAUUGCUGGAUACUGUAUGGAGGGGAAAGUAGAUACUGCAUUGUCAUUAUUUGAGCAGAUGGAGGAGAAGGGUUGCUGUCCAAGUAUUGAAACCUACAAUGCCAUUAUAAAUGGUUUGUCCAAAGAUAAUCAGUUUGUUAAAGCUGAGAAACUAUGUAAAAAGAUGGAAAAGCAAGGACUGGUUCCAAAUGUCAUUACCUACACGUCUCUAAUUUGCGGCCUCUGUAAAAGUGGCAGGACUGACCUUGCAUUCAAAAUCUUCCAUGAAAUGGAAGAACAAGGUUGCUUGCCGAACUUGUAUACAUAUAGCUCACUCAUGUUUGGGUUAUGUCAAGAGGGCAAGGCUGACAAUGCUGAGACGUUGCUUGAUGAAAUGGAAAGGAAAGGAUUGGCUCCUGAUGUGGUAACAUUUACCACACUCAUUGAUGGUUUUGUUAUGCUUGGUAGGCUAGAUCAUGCAUUCUUGCUUCUUAGGCGAAUGGUUGAUGUGGGCUGCAGGCCCAACUACCGAACAUAUGCCGUGUUGGUCAAAGGGUUGCAAAAGGAAAGUCAGUUGCUGACGGAGAAGGUUGUGGGGCUUGUGGCCCAACAUGAAGGAAUGUAUAGUUGCAGCUCUGGUGAAAGCUAUAACUUUUUUGAGGCGUUGUGCAAUCUCUUAGCUAGGAUGUCAGAGAAUGGAUGUGAACCUACUGUUGAUACCUAUGGUACUUUAGUGAGAGGCUUGUGUACAGAAGGCAGAUAUUAUGAGGCAGAUCAGUUGGUUCAGCAUAUGAAAGACAAAGGCCUGUGCCCCAAUAGAAGGAUUUAUCUGUCUCUAUUCUUUGUUCAUUGUACGAAUUUAAAAGUGGAAUCUGCGCUGGAAAUCUUUGGCUUGAUGGAAGAUAAUGGAUUUGAGGUUCACUUGUCAGCUUAUAACGCACUUAUUAGUGCUCUCGGCAGGGUGUGUCGGGCGGAAGAAGCUGAAACUUUAUUCAAAAGCAUGCUAGAAAAACAAUGGAAUACUGAUGAGAUUGUUUGGACUGUGUUAAUCGAUGGAUUACUGAAGGAAGGGCAAUCAGAUCUAUGCAUGAAGCUUCUUCAUGUUAUUGAAUCUCAAAAAUGCAGUAUCAGUUUCCAGACAUAUGAUAUCUUGGCCAGAGAACUUUCUAAAGUAAACAAGGGUAGGGGGAGUUCUCAAAUUGUUAACAGAGCAAGUGAUUUAAAGGGUGUACAUUGAUCAUGGUUUCUUUAUACACACAGAGAAAAAGGAAAUUCGUUAACUGAGUUCCAUUAAUGAACUAAUAAGAAAUUAUACUUUUUUCGCCUGAGGUGUGUAUAUAUUCUUUUGCUGUGACAACUUUGCAGUUUGAUCAUACAAUAAAUGGUAUGUAGAUGGCGCUUUGCCUUCAAACCUUGUUAACAUUCGUUUCUUUCUAUUACUGUCUUUGGUGAUUAUCAGAAUACUUUAGUUCUGUUGGCUUUUGAUUAAUUUGGUCGCAAUAUUUUCCCAAUAGUCACCAAGAAAAUUCGAUCGAUGGUUACUAAGUUUGUUAUCCUAUCUACAUGGAAGUGACAGGUUGUUUUCAGUAGAUAAUUGUCUUCAGUUGGAACUGAAAAUCUGGUGUGCAUGAAGCAGCAACCUAAGGUAGACAUGUAGGUUUGUUUAGACAAAGUAUAAAUGAAUGAUAUUUGCCAUUUAUGUGGGUUGAUGGUUGGUGCAGGACUGUGUGUACUGUUUGGCAAUUGAUUUAGGGGUUAGGAUAAUUUCUGCCUAUGCAGGCUUUUUAAUUACAUGGAUUAUCUUAUGUAGGAAGGCUUCUUAAUACAGAAAUGGUGAUGUGUGUGAUCAUCUAGGCAGGCUUCUUAAUUACAUGGAUAAUCUUCUUUAUGGUGCUCAUUUGGUUGGUUUUCAUUGUUUGACAUGCUUACACCAUAUUUAUUCUGGCUUAGUGUUUAUAAAAUGGAAUUGAGAGCUAGACAUUCUUGGCAUAUAUACUUGCAGGUGACACAGCUUGGACGUCCCCUAGUGGAAAGUUUCCUCUUUCCUCUGAAAAUUUUGACAAGAAGAUGUUAAGAUACACCUUGUUUGAUACCUAUGUUGGUUUAUUUCGCUGUCGUUACCUCAUACAAUUUUGAUUCAUUGUAUUCUUUACACCAAGAGUCAUUUAUAAAAUAUACCUCAGUUUUACAAUAGCAUAUGUUAUGGUUCAUUUAGUAAAUUUUGGUUUUAUGUUUUAGUUUUAGCUUUGAUGGUCAAAAUCAUCCUCUUCUUUUUUUGAUCUCUCUCUCGUCUCUUUUUUCCUUCUCUCUGUUAUUCUUUUCAUAAGAAAAAGAAAUAUAGAAACUAAAAGCAAAAAAUCUAACCAAAUUCCCAUGGGAUGGUCUCUUGAUUCUGUAUCGGCAAGUAUAACUAUUUUACUGUGAAUUAUCAACAAAAAGUAAUCUGCAGUUGCCACUGAUUUAAAUCAACUUAAAUAAUGUCUGUGAUUCAGAAUUCCAGGAUAAAUUAUGCUUUGUAGUUGACGUGAUGAAAUUAAUUUAAUUAGACAUUUUUGGUGUAGGGUUACUCAGGUCCUAAAUCGAGCUUAAUUUCGCACCAGGGCUCUUAGAAAGAACUACUGGCCAAGAUUACCGAACUUAGUCCACUUUUUGUAAUCUGCCUCUGAGUGUUCUAAUGCAAAUGCCAGUAUGUGUGGCCACUUUCCGAAUGUGGUGUUCAAUUUUUUUAAUUUUCCCAAAGGAUGAUAGUACUCUAAAUCUUUGUAGGGUUUUUUAUUGGGGUCGAGAUGAGCUCAGAGUUCGCUUUUUUGUCACUUUCUUUGUGUUUUGCUGAUCUUUGCCUAGUAUUUGCUGGGAUUCCCACUCCUUAAAUGAAGAAGGGUGGAAUGAAUAAAGGCUUGGUUCAUGCAUGAAGACCCUAAUAUUUCCUAUACACAAGUGAUAUUUUAUGGGUAUGAACUAUAUUGUGGAUCAAUCUAGAAAGGUAAAAACGCAUUCAUUAUGGUGUGAGUUCUAGUGUUCUCACCUUUCCUCCAAGUCUAAACCUAUACAAACCCCCGAGUAUGAGAAACCCUUUGAGUGAAAAGUAAAUUAUUAUGUGUAUGCAAGAGAGAAUUUUGUGGUGAAAAUCCCUGGAGGUGAUUUUGGAAGAAACUCUGGCUUCCCGGCAGUCAGUUCUUGUGAGAUUGUUCCUUUGUAAUCCUUGGUAUCUUCUAGUCCUGUCCACAAAAAAAUUCUUGUAAUUCCAUCAUUUUAUAUAGAAAAGAAGAAUUUGUUCCUGUCCUUCUACUAUUCAGUGGACAAAAGGCUCAAAUGCUAAGGAUGUAAUUCCAUUGUUUUUAUGUUUGAUGAUGUUUGCCUGUUUUGGCCAUACAAGGAUGGGAAAGUUUGAUCUUGAGUUUGCUAAUUGUCUUUUGGCAUUGUAUUAGGUGACUCUGGUUCUCAAAUGUAUAAUGGUUCAACCCCAGUUUCCAAUCCUAUCAUGGAACUGAAAAAUAAAUUUCUAAAAUUUUUGAUUGAGCCUGCAGUGUCUGAAAAAUUAUAACCACAUGCCACCAAUCUGAUUAUAUUCGUCCAAUUUGCAGUAGAUUUUCUAUCUCCGAACCUCUCUACUAAAACCCUGCAAUUAACUGAUCAUGCAUAUUGUAAGUAGUAAACUACUCUGAAAAUGAGGUUCUAAGUUGAAAUCUUUCUUCCUCUAAUAAACGAAUAAAAACUUAUAGUUCAUGAAAGGAUGAAAUUAAAAUUAGUUAGUUUAAAGAUGUGGUUGAAGCUAUAGAUAAAUGGAUCAAAAAAAUCAGUUUUUUUUUUUGGGUAAAUAAUAAAUAUACUAAACCGGGGUUGGGGAAAUUCUCAUAUCAAGAAGAAACUAAAGAGAAACCUAUCAGAACCACAUGGUGUGGUGCGGUUGGUAAAGUGUCACCUCCAGUUGACGAGUUACCUAUUGCCUCAUUAGCAUGGGUUCGAAACCCGUUAGAGGUACUUUGUGGUCAGGGAAAGCCGAAUCCCGAGCGGGGAUUAAUCUCAUCCUUUGAAUGCGAGGACAUCUCGUGGUAUUUAUCCAAAAAAAAAACAGAAGGGAAAAAAACCUAUCUGUAACUAAGAGAUGUGAGUUUCCAUGCAUUUCAGUAAAUAUAACAAAAUAGUUUUAAACUUUUGAAGAUUCUAGUUUCAUAAGACAUUGAUAUACUUGUCUAAUCGUAUCAUUUUCUCUCCAAAAAAAUCAAUAAUAAAUAAAUGAUAUUCUCCUACUACUGGUUUUUGGGUUCAAGUGCUUGGUUUUCAAGGAAGAAAACAAAGGGGGGCCAUCCACUACCAGAAAGGUUUAUGCUUUUGUUGAUUGAUUCUUGACAGAAUCUCUGGGUUGCUUGGACCCCCACAUGGCCUCCAUUAUAUGACUUGCUCUUUGUCACGCAUGAGCAAUUAUUGGCUCUUUGGUCAGUGUACCAUUUUGUAGUUAUACUCAAUCAUUUCAUACAAAAACCAUUAUCAUUUCAACUCUGCAAGCAUCUCUCAACUUUGUUAUUUUCUUUUCUUUUCUUGUUGCUGCAAAACCAUUCUGAGUUUUUGUUCUUGGGUUUUAUAAAGAAAUUAAUUUAAAAAUAUAAAUAAAUAAAUAUAUAUAUAUAUAUUUAUAACCCUUGUGAAUUUAUAAUAGUUGAAGCCUGAUUCAACUGGUUUGAUCACUUUCCACCAAAUAAAAAAUAAAAAAUCAAGGCCUUGCUCAGCACCAACGUUGCCCUUUUUCUCUGCUGCCAUAGGUCAACUACCAGUUUCUAACAAAACAACUCCAAAUCUGAGUAUAAAUGCUAAAAGGGCUCUGUUGUAUUCUGCAUAUAUUCUCUGUUUCCUUCCUCAUUUCAUGCAAACCUAUCCUAUCUCGUAGACCCCAAAAACAAGCAACAAUAAGAAUGGUAGGUCUCAGUUUUGGUGUGUAAAUUGACCACAAAACUUAAAGAUGUAAAUGACAAACAGAAAUGUAGCCUCUGGUUUAGUGAGCUUUUAUUAUAUUUCUAAUGCCAGCCCUUCUUCAGCUGCAUAUACAAAGUGCAUGAAAAAUGCAGGGCAAGGAAGGAUGCCUUUGUAUUUUUUUCCAUGUGCAAAGGGUCCCCAUAAAAAACAUCAGUACUUCAAAUAUAUUCCUUCUGAUCUUUGUCUUUUCUAUGCAUCCCCAUCUUCAAUUCAUGAACUUCAUUUUCAAAAGGCCAAGACUUUGAAGGCCAGGUUUCAUAGCAGGUACAAAAAAGAAUCAAUAUUCCCCCAAAGGCCACAUAAAGAUAAAUCAGAGUCAUCGAUGCCAACAGUGUCUUAAAAGACAACAAGACACAAAGCAUGACCUAACAUUUGAUGCUUCCAAACUCCAUUCCAACUGCUACUUCCAUUUUCAUUUUGGACUGUUUUUCUUGCACUCUUGCUUUUUCAAAAAGUGCUUUUGCCUACCCAUCCACCAACCCAGCCUUCUCUAGACUAGCCUUUAAAUCUUUCCCUUUGGAUUUUUGUUGCACAGCAGCCGAUUCUUAUUUAUAUUACAUCAUCCAAAAUAAACUACAAAAACCCAAUUUGCACAUUUUAAUGCCAAACUGAACACAACCCUUGUGCUAUAUAAACACAUCCAAUGCAUUUUGCCCCUUCAGCACCAAUUAUAGCAAAAAACAACAAAAACACCACCAACCCUUCAAGGCUUCAAAGUUCAUCAAACUCUGGUUUUCAAUGGGUAGGGAAAGUUCUGAUCCCACUGUGGUUAGUUCCUCCAUUGCUCUCUUACAAGAGAGGUUCAGACAGUUGCAGAAAGUGAAGGAGAGGAGGGAGGAGCAGCAGCUUCUGAAGAUGUUAUCUGAGACUGAUCAUCAUCAUCAAGGGGUUGGCUCAAUAAGGCAUUUUGAGCCUGCAAAAUUCUCUAUCCAAUCUGAUAUGGCCAGGCCAAGCUCUCCUGCAGAUCACUCACUCUCUCUGGGGCUUAAUUUGCAGACUAGACAAAUUGAUCAUUGUGCCAUGAAGACACAGCCUACCACAAUCUCAUGGCCCAACAAUACAACAGCUGCCUCAGCAUCAAGUGCUUCAAAAUGUUUUGACAAUUCAGACCUUGACACCUCUCUUCAUCUGUAGACAAAUCCUGGGUUCACUUUCUUCGUGGCUUCUCCAUGUUUCCUUUUUUUGUAUGUAAUAUUAGAAGAGUAUGUAACUAAUAUAACUAAUGUUUAUUCAUCUGAAAUAAUGAGAUAAAUAAAAGAAGAAAUGGAGCAGCAAUAUGCUAGCUGCUCUUCUCUUCAAUUUUUUGGCCCUUUUGUUGGUUUUGCUUAACAACAUUAACAAAUCAUGGGGACUAUAGAGAGAUUCAUAAUCAAGAAAAAUGGAUUGGGAGGUGAUGGGUUUCUUUUGUUCUGUUAAAAAAAAUAAUAAAAACAACUUCUGAAGAUUCAUAUCAACAUAUAUAUGUUCUUUUCUUAUAUUGAUUUUGAGUUUGUGAAGACUGAUGGUGAUGAACAAAAAAGUCAGCAAGGCCUGCUAGAUUCCUCAUAAACUUACCAUGCAGAUGUACUCAGUUAGAAAUUCCUAACACCACUGAUUGUUUAUGCUUUCUAUGGAUUACUUUCGGAGCAAAUACUUGGAACCAGAUAUUAUUAUUAGAGUUCUAGCUCUUGCUAGUGUAUUUUUAAUGAACCUUUCCUAUAAUAAGCAAAUUCUCAUAGCAACAUGGUCAGAUCUUUUAGGAAAAUGAAGUGCUAAUAAAUUGAAAUCUCCUGAUAACCAAGUUGUGAAGGUUAAUUUUCAUGUAUAUGUUAAGAAUAGGAAUAGCCUUUGAGAAAGAGAAAUAAAUCAAGGCAUAGUGAAAUUUCUAUUUUGUUAUAUUGGAAGUUAUCAUACUUUAACCUAUUCCAAAAGCCAACGGGCUUUAGCCCAGUAGAAAAUGAAUUUCACUUGUAGACCAGUGGUCUCAGGUUCAAAUCCUUAUGACACCUUAGUAUUGUGCGUGCCAUAUUUGGCUCUCUCCCUACUAUCGCUUGUAUUAAAAAACAUAUUCAAAAAGAAAGCAACUAUUACUGAGUCUAACUAGGCCGAGAACAGUUGUUAUUACUGAGGUGCUCCCUCUUAUUACUGAGAUUUUAGUUGAUGAUGCUUGUAUUUUGGCUAGGCCUAAAAUGUUUGCUAUUUAUUUCUCCACUUCAAUUUUAUCCACUUACACUCCUUUUUUAGUUAUAAAAUGGAGUGUAAGUGGAUAAAAUUGGAGUGGAGAAAUCACCACUCUUAUAUUUUUAAGUAAUAAUCUAAAUUAUACUAAAUUAAUUUAAUUUAUGAGAAUAUAAAUUCGAACUUGGGGAUUCGAUUUUUUUUUUUUUUUAAAAGUGAAAUAAAAAAUUUCAGUCACAAAUGAUUGACCCAAACUGAUCUGCAAUCUGGGCAGGGUAUUUAGCUGAGACUAAAUGAGUUAUUGGGCUCAUAUCAAAAGCGCCUACAAACCUAACCACUCAAAAUACACAAUAAUAGAAAAAUUUUAGUUUCAUCAUUUUAUUGAAGUACCAAAUUGCCCUUAUCGUCUCCAGAACCUUCCCAAACCCCCUCUCCGCGUCUCUCUAUCAGAAACCCCAACUAAAACCCUAACACCUCUCUCCACUCUUUAUCCCUCUGUCACUCACAACUCAUUGCUCUCUCUCCAUCUCUUGGCCUUCGCCAUCCAUCUAUCUAUCUCAAACCAAUAUGCAUAGGCUUCCUCGACGCUCCGUCUCCGCUAUCCUGCGCCACGGCGGCGCACGUCACCGGACCACCGCUGCUCCAAUCUCCUGCGCUUCUACCCACUUGGGUUCGGUGCGUUCUCUAUAACUCUUGGGUUUAGCUUUUUACGCUUUGAGAAAAUGAUUAUAUAUAAAAAAUCAUCUGAAUUUUUAUGUGUAUUUGUGUAGGUGGGAGAAACUGAUGCCAAAGUGAGAUGGCACUCAGCGUUGGCCUCUGGGAAGUUUAACCCUUGCAAACCCACGGCUCAGUUUGCCUCCAACAAUGGACUGUGCUUUGGCAACCGGUUUGAGUCCACUGCUGCAGCCUCUGAUGCAUCGGCCGAGCCUCCCGCUGAGAGAUUCGAGUAUCAAGCUGAAGUAAUGUCAUUUCACCUGUUGGGUAUUUUUUAGAUUGAUUUUGAGGAUCAAUGGUUUUGAGAGUGUUGUUUUCUUCAUGGUUACAGGUCAAUCGCCUCAUGGACCUCAUUGUUAACAGCUUGUACAGUAACAAGGAGGUGUUUCUUAGAGAGCUUAUCAGGUACCUAUUUGGUAUAUCUGAUAUUAUGUAGUAUUGAUUGUCAUUUCUUUCCUAUUGGGUUACCUUGAGAGUCCGAAAAUUGCGAUUGGACAGGUGGAGCCUGAAUUGAUCAUACAUUGGAAUUUGAGUUAACAGUACUAAACACACAUUGGAAUUCAAGAAAUAGUUGUUGUGUUUGAUUUAGGUGGCACUAAGUUAUUUAGCGUAUGAUAUGUUGACAUUAUGAAUUUUUCUGCAGCAAUGCAAGUGAUGCCUUGGACAAGCUCAGGUUUCUCAGUGUUACGGAGCCUGAUCUUUUGAAGGGUGGAGGUGAUCUUGAUAUCCGUAUCCAGACUGAUAAAGACAAUGGGAUCAUACAUAUCAUGUAAGCUUAACUGGUUUUUACAGUAUUUUCUUUCCCUUAAUGAUUCUUCUUCACCAUAUCAAUGGUGUGGUCUUUCCCUUUGUGUGAAGUGAUUCUGGUAUUGGUAUGACUCGGCAAGAACUUGUUGACUGCCUGGGAACAAUUGCACAAAGUGGGACCGCAAAGUUCUCAAAGUUGUUGAAGGUAUAAUAAGUCUUUGAGAUAUUGUAAGUUAUUUGAAUUUGAGAUCCUGCAUUGAGGUAUUUUAUAUGCUUACAAAUUUGGUUUAUCAGGAUAGUAAAGAUGCGGGUGGUGACAACAAUUUGAUUGGUCAGUUUGGUGUUGGCUUUUACUCGGCAUUCCUUGUUGCUGAUCGGGUAAGUUCUUAACCAGAAAACUGUGAGCUCCUACGACUUUUAAUCCGUUGCUUUCUUCUUUCAGUCAAGUGGCUGAAUAUAUAAUAGUGUUGGGGUAGUCCUCCCACUCCCCAAGUUUCUGCCUACCCUUUCCAUUAAGAGUUGAAACUUGUGUAUAGAAAUAUCUGAACUGCUCGAUUGUUAUGCACCUCCUGUGGGUUGUAGGUUGUCGUCUCCACAAAGAGCCCAAAAUCUGACAAACAAUAUGUAUGGCAAGGAGAGGCAAAUGCUAGCUCGUAUACAAUUCAGGAGGAGACUGACCCUGAGAAGCUUAUUCCUAGAGGAACCCGCCUGAGCUUGUAUCUCAAGGUCAGUGUAAAACAUUUUUUAACUUAUGAAUAAAUAAAUAAAACCCUGUAUAAUUUGCCUAUGACUUUGAUCUCCAAGCUAAUUCUUUAUCUGUCUGGCUACUUUCAGCGUGAUGACAAAGGUUUUGCUGUUCCAGAACGGAUACAGAAGCUUGUGAAAAACUAUUCACAGUUUGUUUCUUUUCCUAUAUACACUUGGCAGGAAAAGGGGUACACUAAAGAGGUAAGAGUUUUUUCCCCAUCUUCUCAAUGCUUGUACUUUUGUCAUUGGUUUUGUAUGUUGUAUGUUCAGGGAAAUUAUUGGGGACGAUUUCAUUUCAGGUUGAGGUUGAUGAGGAUCCAGCUGAAUCCAAAAAGGAUGGAGAAAAUGAGAAAACCGAGGUACAAAAGAAAAAAACGAAGACUGUUGUUGAGAAAUACUGGGAUUGGGAGCUCACUAAUGAGACACAACCAAUAUGGGUGAGCCUUAACAGUUUCUUCUUUGUAUGUUUACUCUGCUUUUUAUGGCAGUAACUUUUUUAUGCUCACAUGAUUCCAAUUGAUAUGUACAGCUUCGCAAUCCUAAGGAAGUCACUACGGAGGACUACAAUGAGUUCUACAAGAAAACUUUUAAUGAAUACUUGGAUCCACUAGCAUCUUCGCAUUUCACAACAGAGGUAUUUUAUGACUAUUAAGAUCCUCAACAAAUGCCACUUGUAGUAGAAUUUUGAAGUAAAUGUUGCAUAUUUCUGUAUUAUCACAUGAUGUCUGCUUCUUGAGUUGGAUAAAAGUUGUGUGGAGUUGACAAUAACUAAGUUAACUAUGGGUUUUUUUGUUGUAGAAUUUUUAUAAUUGCAUAUUUGUGGUAUAGUGGCAACUAUCAUGAUGUCUUCUUAAGUUGGGUAACAAAUGGGUGUUAUCUAAAUUUGAAUGACAAUUGAAAAUACAGCAUUAGUGCCUGAAGUUAGGAUGAAAUGUGUAGUUCUGUUUGACAAUGUACUCGUACUUAAUUGCUCAUAUAUUCUGCUUUUAAGUUGAAGAGGUUGGUAUUUGCAGGGUGAAGUAGAAUUCAGGUCUAUUCUGUAUGUUCCAGCGGUUGCUCCUAGGGGGAAGGAUGACAUAGUCAACUCCAAGACAAAAAAUAUAAGCCUCUAUGUGAAAAGGGUGUUCAUUUCAGAUGAUUUUGAUGGAGAACUGGUAAACAAAAUAAAGACAUUUUUACAACAGAGUAAUGCAUGGUUCUCUUAAAUGGAAGCUUAUUGGUUCUAAUUGCUUUUACAUUCCCUUUUGAGUAGUUCCCUCGAUACUUGAGCUUCGUCAAAGGUGUUGUGGACUCAAAUGAUCUUCCACUCAAUGUUUCACGUGAAAUUCUUCAGGAGAGUCGUAUUGUAAGUACAUCUAGCACACUGUCGUUUUAACCUUUAGGUUCCAAUUAGUUUACUUUAAACAAACUGUUGUUUCUGUGAUCUACUUGAAGGUACGGAUUAUGAGGAAGCGCUUGGUUCGGAAGGCCUUUGAUAUGAUCCUGGGAAUAUCCAUGAGUGAGGACAGAGCAGUAUGUUUUUGCUUCUGUUUUCUUAUCAUCCUUUUUUGUUUGUAUGUUUUCAGUCUUGUGGAAUUAUGGUACAAAUUUCAACAUCUUGGCAAUUACUCCUCAGCCAUGUCUUGUUCCUGAGUCCUGUAGCUGUGACUCUGAAUCCUGAUGUUUUCCAACCCCUCUGCUGCUUGGGGUAGCGAAUGAUAUUGCCCCUCUACGUUCUUUAAAGAUAUCCUUUGUUGUUUAUUGCAGGAUUAUGAAAAGUUCUUCGAAAAUUUUGGAAAGCAUUUGAAACUGGGUUGCAUUGAAGAUCGUGAAAAUCAUAAGCGUAUUGCUCCAUUGCUUAGAUUUUUCUCUUCCCAAAGUGAGGAUGUGAUGAUCAGCUUGGAUGAAUAUCUUGAGAACAUGAAACCUGAGCAGAAGGGUAUCUAUUACAUUGCUUCUGAUAGUGUAGAAAGCGCAAGCAAUACACCAUUCCUGGAAAAACUUCUUGAGAAGAAUUUCGAAGUAUGUUUUGCCUCUCAAAUAAUUUGAUAUAUUUGAUUAUGCUGUUUUAUGUAUUUAUGGAUGAUUUUUGUUGUGCUAUUCUUGUAGGUGUUGUACUUAGUUGAUCCAAUUGAUGAGGUUGCCAUCCAGAACCUGGAAUCUUACAAGGAGAAGAAAUUCCUUGAUAUUAGCAAGGAAGAUCUGGAUUUAGGUUAGUUCAUUGGAGCCCUUUGAGUUGAUCCGAUUGACUUGACAUUCUUGCUUCUUUGAUUAUGUUUCCUUUGCUAAGGAAAUCUGAUAUGUAUGAAUGACCUUUCUGCAGGGGAUAAGAAUGAGGAAAAAGAAAAGGAGAUUAAGCAGGAAUAUGGCCAAACAUGUGAUUGGAUUAAGAAACGUUUGGGUGACAAAGUUGCCAGUGUUCAGAUUUCAAACCGUCUUAGCUCGUCACCCUGCGUUCUUGUAUCUGGGAAGUUUGGUUGGUCUGCCAACAUGGAGAGGUAGAGUCCCUCUGUUGCUGAAUACAUAUGUCAAGAAUUCAUAUUACAGAACCUGAUUGUUAUCCUCUAAACUUGUGAUUGGACGUUUCCAGGUUGAUGAAGGCACAAACUGUUGGUGAUACUUCUAGCCUUGAGUUUAUGAGAGGCAGGAGGGUGUUUGAGAUUAAUCCUGAGCACCCAAUCAUUCAAAACUUGAAUGUACGUUUGCACGGAGAAAGCUACUCUCCCCAACUCUCCCAAUCUUAGAAGACUAUGGUUUUAGAAAAUACAGUAACAUUUUAAUCCUGGUUUGCAGGCUGCAAGCAAGAUCAACCCGGAUGAUGAAGAUGCUAUUAGAGCUAUUGAUCUUUUGUAUGAUACAGCUUUGGUGUCUAGUGGUUUUACCGUGAGUAUUCAAGCUUGCUUCACAUCUCUUGUUAAAACUGCUCUUAGGAUUAUAUGAUCUAUAGCAACCAUUCUUCAUUGUAACUUGACCAUUAAGAAAUCCUAGGCCCUGAAAUGAAAAUGCACUUGACCUCGUGGUUUGGUGAAAAUGAGAAUUGCUUUUUUGGAUUUGAAGGUGCCACUAUUUGUUGGUUUGAGACACUAACGCUACAGACAAGUAUCACUCUCUAGGAAUCUGUUGUAGCCCAUGCUAAGGAUGAUGAUUUGCAUGCUUAUUUGAUCAAUGUUUGAUCUUCUUACACAUUCAACUUGUAUGUCUUGUUGAUGCAGCCUGAGAAUCCAGCACAGCUGGGUGGAAAGAUAUAUGAGAUGAUGGGUUUGGCUCUUUCUGGGAAAUGGUCUACACCUGUCGCCGAGGUUCAGCAACCAGGACGCCAACACCACAACCCAGAGACGUUAGAGGCUGAGGUUCAGCAUCCAGGAACCCCACAUCACAACACCAAGAUAUUAGAGGCUGAGGUGGUUGAGCCUGUUGAAGCUGGUACCCAGAAAUGAGGAGCAAGAGGCAUUUUUCCUUUUUGACACUAAAUUCUCUUUCUCAUGCACAAAAUUCAGUGGGUAGGUCUUUUAGUGGUGCAGUUGAUAAAUGUCUGGACAUGAGUGUUAGAUAUAUAUAUAUUUGAGGGAGCUGGUGACCAGAAAUAAGAGCACAAAGCAACUUUCAUUUUUUGGUACCAAAUUUUCUUACAAAAUUUCAGUGGUAGGGCUGGCUGGUGGUGUUCAUAUAUGGAGACGAGUGUUAUGAUAUAUUUGAUGGACGUAGGCUGUUUGGCUGAACUCUAUGGGAUUACUUAAUAAUCUUAUGGUUAUUUUGACUAAUUCCUUUCUCUUUAAUUUGUACUUGUUUUAGUUUGUCUUUUAUUUAACUAAUGUGCAGCAUCGGAUUGAUCUGCUAUAUUCACCCCAAGACUGCAGAUAUUAUUUCCAUAUGACAUCAUUUUAAAUUCCGAGCCUCUUUAUUUAGCAUCAGUGCAUUUAUACGCGUUUAGAAAAAUCUAAACUCUUUAAUUGAUCUAAUGGAAUUUAAUUAUUUCACAUCAGCACAAUUGUAUUAGAUUAAAAAGUCUCCUUUUGCACUGUAUCACUUACUCAUCUAUUCCCCCUUCUCUCCUGUAAUCGCAUCAUAAUUAUCAAAAGCUGGAAUUUGAUCCCCAGAUCAAUUCGACAUGGCUCAUACCAAUAAAUUAUCUUUUUUAAUGUAUUAAUUUUGACUUAAAUAUGAUAUAUGAAUUAGUUCUCAUAAAAAAAAAAAAAAAUGGCUCAGAAUCCUUAAAAAUUGGUUCUCAUAGAUAGUCUGAUUCUAAUUUGUUAAUGGUGCAGUUUGCAAGGAAUAUAAUGUGAAACUAAUAUUUAUUUUCAAAUUUGAUCAAUCAAAAUUAUUCAAGUAUUAAGUGAGAUAAAUGUUUCCUAAAAUAUAAUUUUAAUUUUCCAUGUAUGCUACGGCAUUUGGCAAAGAAACAUGUGCAAAAGUCAAGCAGGCCAAGCAGUGAAGUUACCAUUUUGACCUUGACAGUACAACGUGUCGUGAACGACGUGACUGGUCAGCAAAUAAAAAACAAUACAAGAAACGUGCUAAGCCAGUCAAUUCCAACCCAAGACCGGCUGAGCCGGUCACCCCCAACGUUAAAAGUCUUCACUUUCCCGGUAAAAACACCGUUGCCGUGUCCCAGGGGCAAAAUGGGAAAACCACCUCUUCAUAAAAAGUGAAUUAAACUUCCCAAUCUGUCUCCGCGUCUGCUCUCGUCUUCUCUACUGAGCUGAAUUUCUCUCGGGCUUCGUCUGGUAAGCACUCUCUCUCUCUCUCUCUCUCUCUCUCUCUCUCUCUCUCUCCCCUUCUCUCUUUGUUCCUUCUGUUUGGUCGCUGAGAAAAUCGUAGAAAAUGAAAGAAAUUUUGUUUAGUUGGCAUCGAAUUUGUUGCUGUUGAUCUAAGAAUUUAACGAAAAGUCCACACUGAACAAAGGCAAG
RNAcentral lists this long non-coding RNA (90521 nucleotides) under Prunus persica (peach). Its description in RNAcentral is "long non-coding RNA (PPER_LNC003799)". Lineage: Eukaryota; Viridiplantae; Streptophyta; Magnoliopsida; Rosales; Rosaceae. The record is from RNAcentral.